UUGACAGGUACUGCAGACCGAUAAUGACGAAACCCAAACCAGCACCAGCCAAGCCCGCUGCUCCUGAAACUCCACCAACCCCACCUCCUCAGGGAAGUGAGCAACCUCAGGGCAGAGAUGCAGAUGCCAAUCCCGGCCCCAUGGAGAAUCCUGCUGAUGGCGACAAUGAGGCCCCACAGGCUACUACAGAACCAAUGGAAACCGACAAGCCAGAAGCUCCACAAAGUUCUGCGUAGUUCUGUAGAGUAUCCGCCUUUCUAUGGUUCUUAUGGCGUUUCAUUUGAUUCUUUAGCAUAAUACACUUCCAUUUUGAGCCUUAAAACACGGUUUGGACGGAGAGGGAGAGGCCCGUGGUGUGCUAAAUGGAUGAUAUACCUCUAGGUGUAAAGCCUUUUAUCUGCUUGUGGUCUGUCAGUUUUUAAUUAUUGGUACAAUCGGUCUCUAGAAUUCCGGGUUUUUUGAAGAGAAGUUUUGCCCUCGGGGUCUCUUUCCCCCCUUAUGAUGGGAUGGAGACCGAUUCGUUUUCAUUCUAAUCUUGUUUUACAUAUGUCAUUGAUACUCUUUCUUCCUAUAUCUUUGAACUUAUCUCCAAAAUUGCUCGAUUUUGUUCUGCGAAUUUUGCAUUGAUGCUCUUGAGGACAGGUUUUGAAUUUUAUAGUAGCAUUUUGUUGGCAUACGAAUAUAUGCGUCAAGGUUCUUCGUCGGUGCAACAUUCAGUGCGCCUUCGUUGACGCCCGGUGGAAGUGUGGGUUUAGGUCUGAGACUGGCUUUUCGAUUUCCGUUCUCACCGGCAAAGAUGAGGACUGAUAUGAUAGAUGAAGCACAUUCCUUGCUUAAAGUCAUGGAAGAAAACGACCUAAACUCACAUAAUAUCAUUUUUAACGGCUUGGCUAGGAUGGGUGGCCCAAAUCAAGCUUUGGAAAUGUUUGCCAAAACGAAGCAUUCUAAGAUUGAACCGGAUGCAGUUACUUAUAACACUAUUCUUGGUCGUCUAAGCUGAGCUGGUUUGCUUGAAGAGGCUGCAAAGCUGAUGAAAGGGAUUCGACAGGAUUUGAAUAUGAUCUCAAUACUUACUCAUCAAUUCUUGAGGCGGUUGGCAAGGUCGAUGAUAUUCAUAAGUCUUCCUUAAUGGCACUACAUACAGCCGGUUUUAAUCAUUGUUUAGAAUUUAGGAUGGUUGGAGACUUUCUUAAGAACAAGCAGAGUGUGAACUCACUCAUGAGUGACUAAUUCUUUCGCAGGUCAUACACCCUAUUAAUUGACAGCUUAGCAGCAUUGCAUCCUAUAGAUUUUUAGUAUCGUCGAGGUUGGGAACUUGGCAAAGAAAGGAAAAAACUACUGGUCGUUAUAAAGACGAUGCGUUAUAGAACUUCCUCUUGUACCGAAAUUGGAAAAGAUGCCACCCUACGACCUGAAUAAGGGUUGCGGUUUGGCUUCAUAAUCUGCACAGCCUCAUGUUACUUAUCCAAGAGCUGGACAAAUUCAGCUCAUUACUGCUGAAAAGGGUAGCAAUUUUGAUGCUCCUCAUUAAGCCAUCUAACGUUCCAAACCAUGUAUUUGCAAUUUUUCGUAUUCGAGCUAUCUACACUCCCAACUAAAUAUUUACAAUUUUUUGUGCUCUCACAAGUGUGGAGUGUAGCCGGCUGCCCAAGGAGUGUUAGAAAAACAAGCCUUUCAAACAUCACUUACUCCUUAAUUUUCGUCUUUGAUGACCAUUUGGUUUUUAGUUUUUAUUUUUUGUGCUAAAGAUAUAAAAGAAAUAGAUGGGAGAAAUGAAGAACAGAAAAGGAUGAAGGGAGGUGGUGAAAGGGAGAACUCAAAGAUGUUAUAUGAAAUCGCAUCAUUACAUAUACGUUCCUUUCAUAUUUUUUCACCGUCACUCUCUCUCCCAUGUAUCUAUAACACGAAUGAAAACUAAUAACUAAAAAUUAAAAACGAAAUUGUUAUUUGAUAGGCCCUUAUCAUAUUACCCCAAUCCCAGUAGUAAUACGAAAUAUUUAAUUUCUAAUUACCAUAUCUGAUACAAAAUCAACAACUUAUUUCCUCAAAAGAAAUAUAAAGGGGAUAACGUCUUCCCCAAUUGAUACAACAGCUUGCAGUUAACAUAAUCCAUUAAUAUUACAGAUAGAUACCGAUAUUACCCGCUAGCAUUUUUGGCAGAGUUAUCAUUCUCCUCGUCAUCGUCCUGCCAUAUUUUCGCUAUCUCAGCCUGCGCUAUCUCCAUAAUCUGCCUCUUAUGCAGUUCAAGUCUCUGUGGCAAUCCAUUCUCAUCUUCUCUAGUUCCACCAUUUGCUUCCUUUUACUAUUUUCAAUCUUCUCAUGUAUGUCGCUGAACUUUUGAAUGGAAUCAGCAAGCAAUCUAAAGGAACCCCGAUCAUCAUUCUCCCUUCCAUACCUUCUCGUCUUGGGUGGUAGCCCAUCUGAAUCGUCAUCCCCUCCCUCAGCUGAUUCAGAAUUCCCUGGACUAUCCCUCAUCUCAUCCAACCCAUUUGCACGGUUUAAAUACAUUUUAGGGUUCAUGAAAACAUACUCCCCUGAGUCCAAACCACAAGAGAGGCCGGCUUGCUGUUGUAAUGAUGACAUAAACAUAUCCAUCUUUGUGAAGUAAACCCACUUACUAGUGGCACCACUAGACUUUGCGAACUUGGCCCUCUCCUUCUUGUACUUUUUCUUCAACCUAUCCAACUGAUUGCGACAUUGUGUGUCUGUCUUUUCAAUCUUGGACACCUCUGAUACUUUCUCUGCAACCUCUUGCCACUCCUCAGAGCGAAGACUCUUUUUUCCACGUUGAAGGAACCGGUCACCCCAAGCAUCUAGUAACACAAAGUCUCACGUUCAAUCCAAUCUGUAAGCACAUUUCGACCACCAAUUGAUUGUCUUGGAGCAGAGGGUGCAACGGCAAGAGGAGGAGGAGCUGGCAAACGAGGAUCAAAUUCAUAACUUGAAAUCAAACUCUUUAACUUACGCUUCUUUGGGUGAGUUUUCAAAUCAUCAUCAUCUAGCCUUCUAACCAUCAUCUUCAUCAUCCUCUUCAUCAUCACUAUCAUCCUCGUGAUCAUCAUCCCCAACACCUUUAUGAACAGAAGGAUAGCCAUUUUGACCAUUGUUAUCUUCUUUUUCCUCACCCAAUUCUUCAUCAUCAUCAGUCUCAUCUUUUUCCUCAUCAUCGGCAUAGUCAGUACCGAUUGGCCUAGGAUAUGGAACACCACCGCGAGCAGGAAGCUUUUGGCGUUGCGAAGAACCAUAGCCCUGCUAGUGAUUCCCACCAUACAGGUUUGGAGGAUACCUUGCGUCAUUUUCGAUGUCAUCCAUUUCAACACGAACUCAAGAUUAACAACAAAACAACCAUAAAGAAGAUAACUCAGAAAGACUCUAGUUCCUAGUUCGAAACCACCAGUUUUUCCAUUUCGGGAUUAAGCUCCAUACACCCCCAUUAUUCUUUUUCCCCUCUGGAUUCUAAAUCCAACCAACAACUUCUCCUCCUUCAUAGAACUAAACUAGCUCCAAAUCAGCAUUUCGUUAAAAAAACACGAAAACAGCAAACCCCACAUCAAAAUCUUCCUCAAAACAACGUAUUGCCCAAAGAAAAUCACAAUCAGAGAAUAUAUAACACAGUUAGGUCAACAAAAUUGGGAAGUAAACCUAAACCCCAUCAACCUUCUAGUUAAAAUUUCACAAAUUUAUCUUUCCAAACGCAUGAAAUCUAAAAACAAAAACAAACCCACGAUUCAAAUUUUAAAGAUUCUUGAGCUAAAUUCAAAUUCCAAGAGUUUCAAAAACAAGAAAUGAAUGAAACCCUUAGCUCUUACCUCAAAAUCCAAACUUCCCCAGAAAUUUGUUGGGUGGAAAGCCAAAUUGAAGCUUCCUAAAGAGGUUUAACUCGACAUUUGCUAAAAAUUUGCAAUCAAUUGUGUCUUUUUUGGGGAAACUAAGAUGGGAAGAAGGGAAAGACAAGAAGGCAGAGAGAGAGAGAGAGAGAGAGGGGGAGUAAAAGAAUUGGGGAUUAAAGAGGGUCACUGCAUCUAUACGCGGCACGCCUAACUGCCCGUACGUUAUUUUUCUUGCGGUGCAGAUGCCUUCCUGUUGUAUUCGGGUGGGCUGGGCCCUGCAGAUUUGGGCUUCUUGUAGUUGUGAGUACAGGUCUUAUUUUGAUUUGGGGUUUUUGUCGGUUUGUCUCCGAACUUGUAUAGAGCUGUUAAUUUUUUCUCAGAAUUUCAAUUUUAGCUCAUUUCCCACUGAACUUUUAUAAUUGGCCAAUUUCCCCCUAGAACUUUAACUUCAGGCAAUCACCCCCUAAAUUUUUAUAAAUAGUCAAUUUUUCCCUAGCGUUAGAUUUUAAACAUUUUCAUCCAAUUUUUCAUUAUUGCCCCAAUACAGUUGUCAUGUGUUGUCUCGUGAUGAAAAUAGAUGGAAAGUUGGAUGAAAUUUUUUAAAAUCUAGCAUCAAGGGGAAUUGACUAUUUAUAAAAGUUCAAGGGGAUAAUCGGCUAAAAUUAAAGUUCAAAGGGGAAUUGACAGCUCUAUACAAGUUCGGGAAGCAAAUUGACAAAUAUGCCUUUGAUUUUUACCCAUUUUUGGUUUGAAAUUUUUGCCAACUUCAGAAAUUUGGAAAAAAUGUCAUUUUCUCAAGGUUUGAUAAAGAGAUGGCUUAACCGUGGGUUUUCUAGAUGUUAGUGAUACUUUUAAUCAUGUCAAAUUUUUUCUUGUGGGCUUACAUCUUUUGUUCGUAUCUCAUGAUAAAGUUGGUGCGCUCUUAUCUCUAUGUACUUGACAUAUUCAUUGGCAGUUUUGUGUGCAUAUUCUUUAUAGAAGUGCUCACUAACUACUUGAUUAUUUGCAGUUUCUCUUUGAGAACGGUGCUGCUUGUAUUCAAUUCAAAGAGAAGGUGCUCCCUUACUAGUCACAUUGGUAGUUUUGUGCAAAAGCAUCUCUUAUGUGAUAGGAAUUGAAGAUUUUCCUACUUGGCAUUUUCUCAUCGGUUCACCUACAAAGUAAAUAGUAACUACCAACCUGACUUUUCAAUGAGCUUGACUAUUGCUUUUAGAAUAUAGCAAAAUUCAAAAUUCAUUAUGAUAAAACUUGCUAUCACUGCAUUACAGCAGGCAAUGCUGUCAAACUAUUACUUUUUCUGAAGAAGGAAAUGAACAAAACAAAACUAGCAUGAUUGUUUACUAACAUAAACUCCCAAAAUCACUACAAUUGCAAAUGUUCUAUCAUGAUAUACAUUAUUUAUUGGGAGAAAGGAGGAAAAAACCAUUUUAUGGUAGGAAAAUGAGUUAGAAUAAAACUAGGUCAAAUGUUCGAUACUCUUUUAUUAUAAUAAAAAAAUGAAACAAGGAACACUCUGAGAAAAAUCCUUGCAUGCCUAUCAAAAACUUGUCGAUAAUGAGUGAACCAAAAUUAAUUGGAGUUUGUACUUGAAAUUGGAUAAAGUAAUACACUAGUUAUACGAUCAGGGUCAUCCAAUAAAUUGGCAUUGAACUCACUAUUUUCAAGAAUCACAUAUAGUUAAUAAGAACAGUGCUAGACGAUAACACUAACUAUGUCGUCACAAAUAAAUAAUUAAAAGGCUUAAAUGUCAAAAUGGUCCAUGUGUUAUAACUAUAUGGCAAAUUUAGUCUCGUGUUUUCGAUUUGGCUAAUUUAGUCAUCGUGUUUGUUUAUGUUAGCCAAUUAAGGACAUUUCAUUCAAUCUCUUUUAAAAUAUUCAUAAGAAAAAUCAUAUGAGAAAUAAUUACCCUUUCUCUUUACAGAAAAUACAAAUCAAUGAGAAAUAACACAUAUAAGAAAUAACACUUCCAAUCUGAAAAAUGAUUAAGCUUGUGAUAUAGAAAAGAUAGGGGGGUAAAAAUAUUAGGGAGGAGGUCGGAGAGUUGGAAGGAGAAUAAUUUUUCUUUUAAUUUUUAAUUUUAUUUCAUUUUAAAUAUUUUAAAUCAAAUAAAUUAUAAUUUAACAAAUAAGUUUAGAAUAAGAAAAAUUACAUAUAGAGUAUACUUUUAAUACUUAAUUGUAUAUUGAGACAACACUUUUUAAACAUUUCAAAGAGAGAUAAAAGUUAAUACAUGUGAAAAAUGAUAUCAUUGCCUCUCUUUUUUUCUCUAGAGUGUAAGUUACAAAAUUACCCUUUAUAGUGAAAAAGUCUUUUUCACACUUAUAUCUCUUCAACCGUUGCUCUUUUCUCUCUUCAAGAAAUAUUGGUUCCAUUUAAUUAUUCAAUUUAAUUAUUCAAAUGAAUGAAUGAACUUGUGGGUCUACGACCUCUACCCAAUUUACCAUCCCAUUCCCAUUCCUAGUUGGACAAUUAUAGUUCCCAUCUAGUUUUACUUAUUUGUUAGAUGGGUAUAAUUCCCUUCUUUUUUUCCUUUUCAAGUUAAAUGUGCCUUGAAAUUGGAUUGAAGGAUGUUCUUGCUGCUUUAUAGUAUAUGAUAUUCAAAUCAAACACGAUUUAUCAUAGAUAACCUUCCAUUGACCAAUUUAAGAUGAGUUUCAAAUCAAACAAAUUUUGAAUUAGAAGACCUUUGCCUUGCUUCUCUCCCAAAAAAUUCUACUGUUUUAUUUCAAUCUCUGUUAACGAAAAAAAAUUCUAUCAAAAAUUCGAAUUUGUAAAAUGAAAAAAAAAAGUACAAGAACUGGAUUUUGCAAAUGAAAAUUUAUCGAACACACCUACGACUUAAUAAACCAAAAGAUGAAUUAGUGAAGUUUUGUUAAGAUUGUCAUUUAUCGUAGAUGGAUUGAACUGAUUCUACAAAAAUGGUCGAGGACGGGUUGAACUGCUGCAAAAAUGGUCGAAGAUGGGUAGUGAUUCUAAAAAAAUGUCGAUGACGGGUUGAAUUGAUUCUGCAAAAAUGGUUGAGGAUGGGUUGAACUGAUUCUGUAGAAACGUUGAACUGAUUCAGCAAAAAUGGUUGAGGACAAGUUGAACUGAUUCUGCAAAAGCGGUCGAUGACGGGAUGAACUGAUUCUGCAAAACAUUGAACUGAUUAUGUAAAAAUGGUAGAGGACGGGUUGAACUAAUUUAGCAAAAAUGGUCGAGGAUGGGUUGAACUGAUUCUGCAAAAAAGGUCGAGGACGAGUUGAACUGAUUCUGCAAAAAUGGUCAAGGAUAGGUUGAAUUGUAGGAGGAAGGGUUGAACUGAUUCUACAAAAACAGUCGAAAAUGGGUUGAACUAAUUCUGCAAAAAUGGUUGAUGGCAUGUUGAAUUCACAAAAAUGGUCGAUGAAUGAUUGAACUGAUUCUGCAAAAAUAACUGAGGAUGGGUUGGACUAAUUUUAGUAAUAAUGAUACAAACUAAUUCUGCAUAUAGUUUUAAAACUGAUUUUGCAAAAAUAGUCGAAGAUGGGUUAAUUGUCACAGCCCGUCCCGGGAUUCUUUAUAUCGGGGACGUGAAAUGAUGGAAUUACCCUUGACGGGUAUUAAGGUAUGUGUGUGUGUGGCAUAUUAUUUGGACUAAAUACACAUAUUUCAUAAGCUUUUGGAAAAUAAUUUAAGUUGGAUUAAAAUUGGGUUGUAAAUUUGUGUGGUUAGUGAAUGAUAUUGUGACUUGUUUUUGGGUGGACUACACAACACACACACAGGACUCCCCUUUCCUUUUCCCCCGUGCUCUCUCUCUCUCCUCUCCGUUUCAAUCACUUUCUCCCUCUCGAAACCGUACGGACGAGACCAAAUUCCCUCUAAACAUCGCGGAUCGACGCCAAAAAGGUAAGGUUCUUCAUCCUUUCGAUCUCCUGAGUCGUUUGGUACUAGUUUUAGAACGAGAAACCUUCGAAAUCACGUGAAACCUGAACCCCAGUUUUAUGUCACUGUUCAUGCAUUCGUGAUAUGUUGAUUUUCAGGGAAUUCUAAGCUUAUAGUGAGCUUAGUGAGGUCCCAAGGAAGCUCGGAGUGCUUCGUUUGAAGGUUUUGGACGUCGGGAUCAUUGAGUUCGAAAUUGGCCGGUUUUCUUGGAAUUUCUCGGUGAGAUUUUGUAGUUUUUAGAGCCUUAAAGUAGUGUAACGUGAAACUACAUGCUUAGGGCUUCAUUUUGAUAUAAAAUACGAAGAAAAUGGUUGAGAAAUGACGGAGAACAAGGAGAUUGAAAAAUCUCAAGUUUUCCGGCCACCGGAAAAACCAGUCCGGCGAGCUCGAGGUAGGAGACGCGCGUGGGAGGCGCGUGGACCCGUGCCUGUCCAGGCGCGUGGGGGCGUGUGCAGCCUCAGAAAAUUUUUCUAAAAAUUUCUUGACGUCCAUGACGUCGAGUAGGUUGAUGUGGUAUAUUCAUAUACCCAAUUUAAGCACCGUAUGAGAAGUUAUUACGAAUUAUCGGUUAUGUGCUUCAAUUAACGUUUUUAUAGUUGUUUCGCAUAUAGGUGACACUUAUCCCAAGGACGAGCGCAUCCAGGGACGUCACGGGGGUUAUGACCCAUCAACUUACCAGUGAGUGGGCAGUAUUUCUGUUUAUACCUAUACUAUUGAUAUUUUUCCCAGAAAUUGAGUUUAAAUGAAGUAUGUUUUAAAAUGCCAUGCAUGCAUAUUAUGAGAAAUAUGAAUUGAUAAUUGAUGCAUAUAUAUAUGUGAAUUGGUGCUGUUGACGCACAUGUGAGUAUUAUGUUAUUCAUGUGAAUCAUUGAUGAUGUGAAUUGCAUUGAGAGCUCAUAACCUACACCCUUGGUGUUAGUGCUUAUAUUAUUCACCGCACCACACGCUCACCUUGGAUCCAAGUAGGUGCAUGUCGUAUAGACCAUGUGAGGGUUCCGACAUGCUAGUCGUAUAGAUCACUAGAGGUGGUUCCGACUAGUAGGUGACCUUAGAUUAUGCGCGCAGAUGAUUGAAGAGAGAAGCACUAGAGCGUAUUCUUACACCGUUCUUAUCGUAUAGACUACUUUAGGUAGUUCCGAUUUAUGUGCAGAGUAGUGCCGUACAGGUCACCGUGGUGAUUCCGGCUGGGUUGGAUAUUGAGCUAUAGAAUGAACCAUACAGGACCAACUGCGGGGUCUCCGGUUGUUUCAUUAUAUCACCUGUUAUAUUGAUGCAUCCAUAUUCUGUCAUUGACAUUAUUGCAUGGCAUACUUGCUGGAUUUUGGUAAAGAUUAAUGUUUUGAGAGAUUUGAACAAAUAUUAUGCUAUUAUGUUAUUUUCUGGGAAAGUAUACAGGUUUUACAGUGAGGGGUUAGAAAUGUUUUAAAUGAAAUGUUUUGGAAAACUUUGGUUUUACUGACCCACUCAAUUUUGUUUUGCGCCCCUCCAGGUUCUAGUUAGCAGUUGGUGGCUCACGAGGUUUUCUUCGGCAUUCUGACAGACUUCCUACAUGUAGGACUCACCUGCGGGUGUUGUAAUUUAAUUAUAGUCCUACUUGACUGCACCUAGUAUUUAUGCUCUGAAAUUGUGUACUGCACACUUAAACUCACUCUAGCGUGCUAGUUGGAUAUUACUGCUAGUAGUUGGUUUUUAUUCCUUCGUAUUUCUCAUAACUUUUGCUUCCGCAUCGUACUUUUGGUUACGUCACGCUCACGUGACGGCCAUCACACCUUGAUUCUUGAAUCGGGGUGUGUCAUUAAGCUUAUGGCACAUUAAUUUUGUUGGAGUGAUGAAGGCUGAGUUAUAUUAUUAGCCCUAAAGCUUUAAGGGUAUGACUGAUAUUUUAAAACAUUGUUUCCAUGUUUUUGGGAUGGGCUUUAGUUGUUUUUUAUAUUUUUGUUUCUCCUUGACAUGCUUAAAAACUAGUAGAGUUUCUUGAAAUAUAGUAUUGUCUCUCUAUAUAGAGCUCCCUUUUUUUUCUAUUAUAAAUAAACGGUCCAAAUUUAAUUUAGAGUUUCUUAUUAUAUAGUCCUCAAAUUGAAGAUUAUAUUAUAGAAACUUUUCCAUUCCAUUGGAGAUGUUCUAAGAAAGACGUCCAUCACUUCUACCCCUUGUAUGAUUUUAUUUUGGGUGCUUAGUUGUUUCUAACCUCAACAGAAUAAAGUUAGAGAAAUUGAAUUAUAUGGUUUUACAAGAGAUAAUCCUGAAGUGGGAACGAAACUCCCAUGAAAAAAUGUAUAAUAACUUAAAUAAGUAUGGUGGCAUAAUGUUUAGUUUAUACAUGUGUUUUCAUUUGAUUAAUCAAUUAAGUAAAAUCUUUUUUAAACUAGAACCAGAUUGUAGUAAAAAUUAGAAAAAUGAGUUACCAAGUGAAGAGAAGACCGCAUAGCGCAGUGGAUUAGCGCGUUUGACUUCGGAUCAAAAGGUCGCGGGUUUGCCUCCCACCAAUACUUCAUUUGUAGAUAUUCUUAAUUUUUUGUUUCACGGAAAUAGCAGCUGCAUGUUCAGUUUAUUCACCACCCACUUUAUUCUCACAUGGUUCAAUUUGUGGAUGUAAUUAUUUCCAUUGGAUUUUAAUUCCGUAUCUCCACAAUCACAAUGCAGCAGAAACAGUUUGUAAAUUUUCUGGGGUUUGAGGCAUUGAGCUGCCUGGUCUAAGCAUAAAUGUAGGACUUUAAUAGAACGGACAAUCGGAGACAUGAGUGAAUUAGACUACAAUUCUUUUUCUGAGUGUGCUGUGCAGUCACUGACUGACUGCAUGAAGAAUUUGAAUUGGUGCCGGAGUACUGAUACAUUUAUUUCCAACAAUGUCAAAUUAGGAAAUACGAAAAGAAACAAUCGUGCAUUGGAUGAGUAGGGUUGUGUAGGGAUUUUCAAGUUAAACACGGAUAAUCCAAGAACCUCGUCCUCAAGUACAAUCUAUUCAUACAGAUACUCAAGUAGAGAUGCAGAAACUUGUAAGAACAUAUUGAAUAUUGAAUCUUCUAUAAAUCCACUGAACUCCACGAUCGAUACUAUACACUGAACAUGUGUGUACAAGGGAAUCACAUUCGGACUCAAGAUCUGUGUUACAUACAAAUCAUUUUCACUACUCCCUCAACGUCCUACUUGUAUAAUGCAUUUGAUAUCGGGGAAAAUUUUUGAAGUCCAAGAGGAAGAGAGCCAAAGAACAACUGGCUUCAAAGGAUGAUGGUAUAGGAAGACUCAAAAUAAUCGGAAAAGAAGAUUACCGCAAUUAAAAUAGUUCACUAUCUUUACUCGGCAACCUUUUUCCUCCUACCACCACGUCUUGGAGUAAGAGUGACAAGCUCUUCAGCCUCUUCCGGUGGUUGCUAAUUAUUUACAAGGUCUUUUGACGAAUUAUAAUUAAUUUAUAAUUAAUUGAUAAUUAAAGCACAUCCAAAGCCCAACUCCAAGGGUGAGCCCAAUUUUAUUCUCCAAGGUCCAUCACUCCAAUCACUUUCUAUAAGGGACAAAGCCUUAUAAAGUAAGGAAACCUUGUGGUGGUGAGCAAUGUGGGACAAUGAAAUUCUACUCAAAAUUUCCAACAAUUUGUCUUCUUCAGAAGUUCUUUUGCUGCAGAAAGCUCACCAGCAACCGCAUCACCACUUAACAUAGCCUCAUCAAGGGUCCUCUGUAGUGAUUCCCUAACUCCAGUAAACUCGGCCCGAACCCUAGAGAUCUCAGCUUCAAGUUUCGUGUACAAAGUUUUUGACUAUUUUAAUUGAUUUUCCAUAUUGGAAGCUUAACUUCUUGAUUUUGCAAGAGCUUCCUGAGUGCUCUAGAGUUCAUGUUUCAAAUUCGUUUCAAUUUUCAAUUCUCUAUCCAGAAGUUCCUUUAAGUUUUCAUUCUCUCGGGUCAAAUUAGCAAUUAAUUCUUUGUUUCUACUUGUGUCACUCAGAGCAAGUUCAAGCUUUUUCUUUAGCUGUUGAAAUUUCUCUUCCCUUUCUCCCAAAAGCUUAGCAUCCAAAUCCGCCUUUCUACAGGAGGAUGUUUUCAGAUUAUUGUAUUCCUCCUGAAUAGAUGAAACUCCCUCUUCGAAUCAUCUAAUUCAGAAGUUAAAGAACUAACUGUUGCAUUCAGUUCAUCGAGAGAGGAAUUCUUCAAUUCUAAUUCCUUUUGAUUUUUCAAGAGUUCAUCUUUCAACAUUUGACUAUCUGAAAGUGCAUUGGUUAGUUCAUCCAUCAUUUGAUUGUAGGUAGCUUUCAAGUCCCUCAACUCCAAAUCUUUUUCGGCAAGGAAUAGCCAAGACUUCAGACAUUGUUUUCUGUAUCCUUGAUUUCUGAAUUAAGCUAAUCAAUCAUCCCCUGUAGGACUUCAAUUGAGUUUUGCUUUUCCUUCAAAUUCUCUUCAAGUACUACCUUUUCUUCUCCGGCCUUUGAAAGGUUGGUUUUAAUACUGUCAAUUUGAAUUUUAAGCUCCUCAAUCAAUUUCUUUUCACCAUUUAACUCCUUUCCUAAGCUUGCAAUUGUACUUUUUGCCAAACUCAGUUCGCUUGUUAAAGAAUUUUGCUCUUCCUUUGCCUUUGCAAGUUGCUUGCUCCAUUCUUCUUGUUCACCUAGUAACUGAGAUUCAUAGCUCUUCCCCAAUGAAACAAUAGAAGCUUCCUUUUCUUUCAGCUUGGUCUUCAUCUAUGCAUUUUUAACCAAAGUAAAUGUGGGUUAAAUCAAACAAAGUAUCUAAAAGUAUUUUUAUGAAUAGAACCCAAAUGUAAAUGUGUGUAAAAGGGAAUCACAUUCGGACUCAAGAUCUGUGUUACAUAAAAAUCAUUUUCACUAGUCCCUCAACGUCCUACUUGUAUAAUGCAUUUGAUAUAGGGGAAAUUUUUUUAAGUCCAAGAGGAAGAGAGCCGAAGAACAACUGGCUUCAAAGGAUGAUGGUACAGGAAGACUCAAAAUAAUCGGGAAAAGAAGAUUACCGCAAUUAAAAUAGUUCACUAUCUUUACUCGGCAGCCUUUUUCCUCCUACCACCACGUCUUGGAGUAACAGUGAUAGAUGUGGAGCCAAAAAUAAUCACAAGGCAACACGUGGAUUUUUGGACAAAAGAGGACAAAAUUACCCUCAAGGCACACUGUAUUUCCUACGCGCGAGCAGUGGACAAUCAUUGGUCAAUCAAGCCAAGAGUGCCGAAAAUAGGUAACAAAUCCAAAGUUAUUUCAUCCAUCCUCAUCCUAUAUUGUCCACAGGGUAAUUAUUUCAUAACCUUCAAAACAUACCUUAUAAAUUGUGUUAAUUGCCAAAUAAAUCACCCAUUACACUAAAAAAUUACCCAAAAGGCCGGCCAUUCUCUCUCCCAAGAGAGCCGGCCAUGCUCUAUAUAUUGAACCCCAUUUUCUCUAAAAAGCUAAGUACACACUCUUGCAAAACUCCAAAAACUCUUUAAACACUUUUCUCUCUAAAUUCUAACUUUGGCAUCAGAGGUUCUUCGGCCAAAGCCCCCCCAUUCAUCGUGGGCGCGUGAGGCUUUUGGCCUUAACUAAAUGUGUUAAUUGUUUUGUAGGUGCAAUUUUGUCCAAGAUCAAGGAGGAAGAAAUUUGCAUCCACAAAAUGGUGCUUUGAUUGAGAGAAGAGUCACACACUCGUAAAAGACUCAUGCAUCAAAAGGUUUUUCUAUUUUCUUGUCCAUUUGUAGAUUUUUUGUACGUUCUUAUUAUUAGAAAUUUUUAUUUGCAAAGAUUCUUUGAUAAAACGUAAAAGAGAAAUACAAUGGCUAGAAUUUUAGAAAAUUCCAUAAGUGAAAAUUCCAAUAUUCAAGAAAUGGGACCACGACAAUCCACGAGGCUAAGUGUGAUCAUAGGAGCGGCACCAUCGCUACGGGGCUCCACCAUGGCAACCACCGCGGUGGCCACCACGGUCACCACUACCCAUGGUGAGGUCCAUGGCACCGCUACCACUGCCCGAGCCGUGCCAUCCAAGGCUCAAGACACAAAGGUCACUGCCCAAGCCAUGUCACUUCAAGCCCAAUGCGAACUUAACGCGUUGCCAAGCUAAACCAAAGCCUUGCACCCGUGUGCAUCACACUCCGAGCAACAUGUUUCCGUCGAGCAGCCCACUCUCAUAGCCCAGCCUCUCUCUCCGAGCAGCCCACUUUCGUGGCAUUCCAAGCAGCCUAAAUUGAUCCAAGAUUAGUUCAACUAUCCUGGCUCCAAAUUUCCAGAUUGACGAUCAAACCAAGAGCAUUUUCACCACAUUUUUCUGCGGAUUUGGCAUUUCCCAACUCAAAUCUCGCGCUUGGAGUCUACCACACUUCCACUGCUCAAGAAGAUGCAUUCCUUCCAAGCUAUUCCAACCCAAAUGGAGAACAACACUUGUCUCGACAAGUCAUAGAGUUGACGAACGCCCUCUCACAGCAGACAACUUUGGUGAACCAACUCUUACAGCGCAUCGAGAUGCAAAGUGUCCCACACGAGGUGUCCUGAAGUAGGACAAGGGCAGACAAAGAACCUUUGCAGCAGCGUCUCGGCAAGCAGCCACUUGACCAGCCACUAACCAAGCGUUCAGGCAGUGUACACUCCUGAUUGGGCCUCCGAGAUAGCGUAUACUUCCGUCUUAGAGCGCGAAUGAGCGUGCACUUUCGACUAAGCCCACAAACGAGCAUACAUUCACAGUUGGGGUCACACUCCAAUAGUCAACAUGAGCAACUUUCCAGGCGAAGUGUUCAUUCGCGGCUAAGUCCGCAAGGAGUAUCCUCCACCUCACAUCGGAGUAGGCAGCACGACAAAUUGAGAGAAGCAGUCACUCAAUUCGGCUCAAGUUUAACCGGCAGUCUGUGAAGAACUCGCUCGCCUGCUAGGAACGCGCUACACGCAUCACAUUCGUGGCAUAGACGAGCCAACAUAUGGAAAAGUAGCCUAGACCAAUAAGUCACUGUUGAGGGCAGCCGAGAGCUCCAUUACCUCAACAAAGGCAAAUUCAGGAAAAAGUAGAGAGACUCUUGACCAAGCGAUUGCGCAAUUUCCAAUGCAACAAGAUCAUCGAUGAGGCACUACGACGGAAAAUGACCAACAUAAGCAGGUUACUUUUCACCGAUGAGAUCGACCAGGCAGAGCCUUCACACGAGUUCAGCAUGCCACAUUUCACAUCUUUCAAAGGGGAUGAAGACCCGGAGAGACACUUAAAGCACUACCGAAGCACAAUGAUCCUCUAUCGAAACAACGAUGAUCUCAUAUGCAAGAUAUUCGCCACCACUCUACAAUGUGAAGCACAAGAUUGGUUCUACACCCUGCCGCCACAAUCCAUUUGGAAUUUCGACGAAUUUUCUUUGGUUUUCACCAAAGAAUAUUCAUCCUAUCGCUCAAUAAAAAAGAAGUCCGACCAUUUGUUCCACGUCAAGAAGAACCCAAAGAAGUCGUUUUGCAACUAUGUAAGGAGGUUCAAAGCAGUGAAAGCAAGGAUAGUCGGAUGCAACAACUUAAUAGUUAUAACAGCCUUCCAAAAAGGACUUCUAGCAGACCACCUGCUAUUCGGAAAAUUGAUCAUGAAAGAAGAUUUAACUCUGGCAGACUCUUUCGCUCUGGCAGAGAAGCAUGCACUUUGGGACGAGGCUCGCCAAUGCACAUUCAAGGACUUGAAGAAGUACCCGACAUCACCUCCCUACUAUCCAAACCGGAAGCAGCGGUGGACUUAUUCGCAUGUUUGACGGUAUCUAAAGCAGCAUUAAGCCCUACCAUCAUGUGAGAAGAGCUGGGGGCCCAACUACCUGUAUUCUACAGUUCAAAAGCUCUCCUCGAUGUUAUUAAAAAUUCAAAAGAUAACUUUGACGAUAGUUGUUGUAACUUGGAAGCUCAAGUUUUACCUUCAAACGCAUGCAGUCAUCCUUAUGACGCAGUAUUUCGCCUAAUCCAGACACGCAACGAUAAAAGCGUAAGACCUUGGCGAAUGCAAAGUUUUUUGAUGAACUCAACAACUCGACCCAAAAGACGCACCAAGGGCAAACGAACAUUGGAAGGACACACUCGAAAGCAAGUUUUGUCUUUGUCGCCCUAAAAGAUUCUACAUAGAGCAACAUGUACCGGUAGUUCAACACCACUUCCUACUAUGUGUCACACGGUCCCAGCCGACCCUUGCUUUAUAAUUCAACUCUAAAAUGGUCCAAUACCAGCAUUUGAGCAUCCUCUGCUGCAUGUAAUAUGGCUCUAGCUCCAUGGCUCCCUACCACGCAUUCAUGACGCAACAGAGCGGCCCAACGACUCCCCGAAGGUAGCAGAGCGCGCCCUAGCCGCGCCUGCUCCACCCUAUGGAGACUUUUGGUAUUUGCAUGUCCACAUCGCAUCCAAUUACAAAGGUUUAAGAGCAGGCGUAGUCCUUGUCAUCCAGACAAUUCGAUGUCUAGGUUUCAAAGUAUCCAACAACAAAGCAGAAUACGAUACCCUAUUAGCAGGCUUCCGAAUGGCAAAAGACUUGGCAGUGAAAAAGCUCGCAAUUCAUUCUGAUUCCCAGCUAAUCACUAGCAAGACUGCUUUGGUUUUAAUAAUGUCAAUUUGAAUUUUAAGCUCCUCAAUCAAUUUCUUUUCACCAUGUAACUCCUUUCCUAAGCUUGCAAUUGUACUUUUUACCAAACUCAGUUCGCUUGUUAAAGAAUUUUGCUCUUUGUUUGCCUUUGUAAGUUGCUUGCUCCAUUCUUCCUGUUCACCUAGUAACUUAGAUUCAUAGCUCUUCCCCAAUGAAAAGAAGCUUCCUUUUCUUUCAGCUUGGUCUUCAUCUGUGCAUUUUCAACCAAAGUAAAUGUGGGUUAAAUCAAACAAAGCAUCUAAAAGUAUUUUUACGAACAGAACCCAAAAGUAAAGGAGUAUGAUCUUUCGAGCUCAGAGACUCGUACAUUAACGGGAUGCAUUUCUAUAAAAUAGAGAAACCAGGAAAGCAAAAGGGACCACCAGAGUGAGGAUCGUUUUCAAGGAAGCAUUUAAGAACACAAAAUUGGGAAACAAGUUAAAACACUCAUUACAUUAAAGUUCCUUUUCAAAGAGACUAGACUUUCGUCAGCAUCUAUGGUAUGUCUGUGUUGUCUCAGCAUGUAAAGAAAAGCUUUCUAUGGUAUUGAAUAGAGACUUACAGAUUCGACUAUGGCAUCAGUGACUUUCUUUUCUGACCGAGUCAAUGCAUAGAGCGCACCAAGGACACCAUAACUAAAAAUACCAAUGCCAUUCAGGAGAGACAAAACGUGAUUUGGUGCUGCAUUUGUUUAAAGUGCUUCUUGUUCAAUGAAUAACCCACUUUAGAAAAUUAAGCCUUAUAACAAAUAAUUAACAAAAUAAAAAGGAAAGAUAUUAAAUACAGAUUUCUUUAGGGAGUCUAGUAGACAUUCGUAAUUUCGUACCUCUGUGUUUUUACUCCCCACUGGUGUCUUUAGCUCACUUUCUUCUGGAAAAAAAAAGGAAAUAAAGGAACUAAUGCAUAAACCGCAUGAAAUAAGAUGGAAACUUGUUACAAAAGAUAAUAAUUUAUAGUAACACCAGUCCAUUUUAAGAAAAGAACUAAAAAUGCAGCGCAUUGUAAGAAUCUUUGUAAAAAGAAUAUAUAAAGAGAAGGUUUAGUAAAUACCCUAAACUACCUUUGAAAUAUUAUUGCUUAAUUAAUAGGAUCCGCACAUAUAUCCUAACUUUGCGCAUUUAAAGGAUAUGAACUAUGUUUUGUGAAACCCAUUAGGCCUAAGCCCAGGAACCAAGCCCAGACCUGGACCCGAAUCUGGCCCAACCUAGUCGGAUCCCAAUAUCCUAGGCCGCUUGUGGGCCUGCACGUGGGUGCGCAUGGGUGCUUGCCUUGGUCGGCGCGUGGAGCACUCGUGCCUCUACCGGAGGUACUGUGCUCCGCCAUCGUCCACGGCGGUGUCGACGACUUUUCUGGUGACCUAAAAUGGCGCGUGAGGACCUGUGCGGUAGGGCAUGGGGGUACCUGAGGUCUCCCACAUGUUUUUCGACGUCCUGAAUCUGUUUAUGAUGUUCUUUUCUUGAAAUUCAAUCGUUUGAGUAUAGUUUUAUUAAUUAGACCCUUUAUGUGCUUAGGUGUAUUUAUUGCAGCGUUUCAGUCUUCGCUAGUUGCAUGACUUUUCGACGGCGAAUUAUCUAUAAGUGGACCCCUUCCAAAAUGCAUAAUUUUACUAUUAGAAAUGCAUACAUGAAAAGCAUGACUUAAUGGUUACGUUUUGAUGUGAAAAUAUAUAAGCACACAAAUUAAAACCCUCUUUUGACAAUUGUAGUAUAUGUAUAAGUAGGGAUCGUUCUGGACCGAGGAUUAGGAGAGAUUGCUAAUCUAUGCUAAACUAACUUUAAAACACAAAACUAGGCUUAAAAUACUUAACUAGACUCAAAGAAUGGAAAACUAGACUCUAAUACACUAAAACAACUCAAAUGACUCAAACAGCACAAAACAAGCUAAUUAGACUCAAACUAGACACUAGGAGUAAAUUUGGACGAAAAUUGGUUUUACUUUGACUCAAAACACUUAAAAACACAAACGAAAACAAUUUCUAACUAAUAUGACUCAACAAAGUAAAGGGGGAUUUGGUUUUGACGAAUUUAAAGCAAAAACAAAUAACUAAAGACUUAGAAUAGAUUGUAAACGAAUUUGGGAAAUAAGAUGGUUGAUGGAUUAGCUAGAGGUCCAUUCUUCACACAUGACACUCUUGUACAUGAAUCGAUUUCCAAUUGCUUUUCAAUAAAUUAUGAAGCUCAACACCCCAGAUUAACCGUGAUGCACUAAUUAACCCUCAGAUUUUCCUUUACUUAUUGAAUUGGAUGAAUGCAUGCGACAACCCAAAUCAUUCUCCAAAAGUCCCCUAUAUGAAUGCAUAAUAGAGAUACAAUCAAAGAUAUUUACGGUCCAUGAAAAUCAUAAGUGUUGACAAGACAUUCGUAACUGUGAAUGCAUGAUACAUUGGCCAAGAAUUCAAUUAACGCAAUUGUGAGUAGCAACCUUUACUACUUAUGAAUAUAAAUUUGUAACGAUUAGGUGAAACUCAUUUAUAUUCUAGCAUUAAAUUCAUGCAUGAAAACUAAGUAUGCAUCCCUAAUUAACAUACAAGAAUCAGUUUGGAAGAAAACAGUUAAUUAAAUUGCAUUCACAACUUAUCAAAUCACAAUUGGAAGAAAUCAAUUCAUAUCUCAAGGAUGUUCAUGGCUUCGAAUCUCCCCCUAGCUAAAUAGGGGUUUAGCCACUCAUGUUCACAGCAAAACAAAAGAAAAAAAAAAUUAAAACACUGUAAACAUAGAACGAAUUACACCUAGAAUGCUCCAACAAUCAACCUCGAACAUCCAAAAGGCCUCCCUUCUUUUUUUCUUGCUGCGGCACAAAGGUGGAUGAAGUGUAUGAGAUGAGUUUUGUGAUCAGGAAUAUGUUUUUGGUUGAAUAGGGCUGCGGCAAGGAUGUAUGGUGGUGGAGAAUGAUGUAGAAUGGUGAAUUGUUGCGACUGAGAGGUGUUUCUAAAUGGUAGAAGGGUGUGUGUCGAAUUUUGGCUGAAAAACUUAUAUUUAUAGGCUAGGGUUUUCACAAAUCCUGAUGGGAAAAAGCUAGGGUUUUGUAGAAAAAGGCUUGGCCCAAUCCAAGGUGGAAAAGAACUAGGGUUUGUGGAAAAUUUUUAGGCUUCUAGAAAGAGAAUAGGCACCACUUUUUUAGGCUUCUAGAAAGAACAUAUUUUGUGGCAGAAAUUAGGACUUCUAGAAGGGUUUGGGGCGUCACCUUUCUAGGUCUUCUUGAAAGGUGGGUGCGGCAUGUGUUUAAGGGAAGAUAUCGGCCUUCUAAAAGGGUUUUAGGUGCCUUUGCAGCUGACUAUUCAUCUUCCAAGUCUUGAAUUGAUUUCUCCAUCUCUUUAGCACGUUCCUAGCUUCACUUGAUCUUCAAAAACGUCCAUUCCGGCCCAUAAUUGCUCUAAAAUGCUUCAAAAUGCACUUUCUUGCCAACUUUGCCAAUUAAAUCUACAAACAAACGAAAAUAGCUUAAAUCACUAUAAUAAACACAAACUAACUAUGAAAAUGUAAGAAAACAAGCUAAUUAAGUCGCAUAAAUAUGCUCAUAUCACGUUUUAUGAAAUGUUUAUGAUUAAAUUGGUUUUACGCUUUAUGAUAUUUCAUGAUUUAUCGAAUUUACGUUCUUUGUGGUAUAUAUGAUUGAUGACUAUAUACUAUGAAGAUGAUUUAAGAUAUGAUGUUUGAGCUACUAAGCUCUGUUGAGAUAUAUAUACUUAUAUUCUGGAAAGAUUAUGUUCAAUGAUUUUUAUGUUUAUCUAGUGGUCACUAUGUUGUGCCUACGGGCAUAUGAUCUGCCUACGGGCGACUGAUCUGCCUACGGGCGACUGACCUGCCUUCGGGCGAUACUCAUAAAUUUGCAUUUGCAUAUCAAGCUUAUUUUUCCAGAUUCCUUAUGUGUAGUGCAGUUGUCUAGUAAAAAAUUUCGUCUAUUAUCCAGUUGUCUAGGCACACAAAUUAAGACAGCCCACAUGGGCCAUCUAACACUUUUUUCCCAAAAAUGGAUUUUCAGCCCUAGGUCUUUCUAUAUUGAUUUUACACAUGACACGUGACUUUUCAUCCCCUAUCUUUGUCUGACACUCAGCCAUCUUUAUAAAGUCAUUCUAGGGCUUAUUUGCUGUUGGGAAUUUGAGAUUGGAAAAGUUUUUAGAGUUUUAUUUUCAUCUCUACCUCAGAUCUCCUAGGAGCAUCAAGCAUAUUUUAUGUGCAAUGUUCUUCAUUGAAUAUUUCUAAACCUAUCUUUGAAUUGCUUGCUUAAAUUCAUUUUAUAUGCUCUUUUGUUUUGGCUAGGAGUUUUACACUUUUAGAAAAAAGUUGAUUUUAGUUUUGAGCUACCUCUUAUGUUUUUACUUGAAAACCCUAGCUACAAAAUCACACUUAUGCGCUAAAUACCCACCAUUGCAUAUUAGGGUAGCAUUGUUUUUGUGAUUUUGAUUUUUGUUUUAGGUUAAGUUUUCCAAGUUUCAAAUCUGUGAACUGACCUGUUUUGGAUUCUCAUCAAUUUCAUUUUUAAAGUGUUUGAUUGGUGAACUGACUAGACAUCGAAUCCAGAUUUGCAUAUCUUUGUCAUAUCAUCAUAUGUAUAGUUUGUGUGUUGGUUUCAGUGCCACAAGGUGAAGAGUUCAGGAAGAGCUAUCAUCUUGUGAACACUGAAGACAACACUAUUUCAAUUUCAUAAGGUGAAGAGCUCAGGAGGAGCUGUCACAUCGUGAAGAUCGAAGGAAUCUAUCUCGCUUAAAGAAAGGUUGCACAAAGGUAAAAUUGCUCCGUAGAUAGGGAUCUAGGAAUUGAGCUUGUGUGGUCUUUGUACGAACCUUUGUUUACACUAGUGGAUGCAACUACUAAAGUGCAGUGGACGGUUGUAAUAUUUUGUGUAUGUUUUAAUUAAAAAAAAAAAAAGCUUUCAACCUUUUAUGUUUAAAUUGUACAAAUUAAACAUUUCAUCUAUAAACCUUUUCGAACCUCUGUUCUCAAUAAUGUUAAUGUUUUGUGAUACCAUUUUUGCAUCUUUCAAACACAGUUUUUAAUACAGUUUUCAAACCUCUGGCAAUGCGCGUGUGACCCAUUCUAGUAUAUAUUAAAUGACAUGAACGAAAUUAAAACUUGAGCAAUGAAGUUUCCAUAAUGCUGGCUCUUGACACCCUUGAGUUUUAUUUCCAACUUGCAUCUAUGUUGAUUUUCACUCAUAGAGAUAAUAGGGAGAACCAAGUAGGCAGGAGAUACUUGUCUGCUCUCCACUUUUCUUCUGAUUUGUAUUCUUCGUUGUUGUCGUUCUAAAUUCACAUCAAGCCAUUAUAAAGGAUAGGGUAGCCUGCACAUGAGAAGGGGGCCUUGUAUUCAAUUAAACAUUAAUGAUCUAAGUUAGUUAGAGAGCUUUACUAUAUAUGUUCAGGUGAGGGGGCUUUGUGCAUCCAUCUUGGAUUCAACUACAAAACUGAUGUAUAAUCUUGUAUAAGUAUGUGCAUACAUCACACUUCCCACAACAGAUACAUAAAGUAUACUUUACCUCUCUCUCACUUUCUCAUUUUGCAAGUCCAAAAGAUCUUUCUAGAAGAACAAGUCUCUCACCGAACGCCUCUAGCACCAUUUGACCUCGCACGCUAUAAAACCUAACACCAAUUCCCAACAUUAAAAAAUAAAUUCAAUUUAAUUAAAUUAAAUCAUAAGAAGCAUAGAUUUGAGGAAUAAAUUUCUGUAUAUAUUCAUCAAACAAGAAUUACAGCUUUAUACAAAGACUACCACGAUACUAUCAUAUUUUAUUGCCUAUAAAUAAGGCUAAUUAACAACUAAACAGGAAAGUAAAUAUCAAUACACGAUAUUGAAUAAUUAAUCUGAGAUUCCUUCCUUACACUCCCCCUCAAGUUAGAGUGUAUGUUAAUGACAGUCAACUUGUUGAGCAACAUUUCAAACUAUGUCGAACUCAAUGGUUUGGUGAAUAUGUCAACUUGCUGAUCACCUAUCUGUAUGUAGGUUGUACGUAUCAUUCCUCUUUGAACCUUCUCUCGCACUAGGUGACAAUCAAUCUCUAUGUGCUUUGUUCGUUCAUGAAAAACAGGAUUCGAAGCAAUGUGUAUGGAGGCUUGAUUGUCGCAAAACAAUGAAACCGGUUGUUGAUGAUUUACUUCCAAAUCGUUUAAGAUAUUUCUCAGCCAUGUAAUCUCACAAUACGUAGUGGCCAUAGAACGGUAUUCGGCUUCUACGCUAGAGCGAUAUACAGUGGUUUACUUAUUAGUUUUCCACGAAAUUGGUGCUUGGCCAAGUAAAACACAAUAACCCGUUAUCCAUUGUCUAGUAUCUUUGCAUCUAGCCCAAUCAGCAUCACAAAAUGCUCGUAACUGUAAUGAUCUUGUGGAAGGAAAGAAAUUACCUUGCCCAAGUGCCUGUUUAAUGUAUUUUAGUACUUUGUGUGUGGCAUCAAGAUGUGGUUGCUAAGGCUUAUCCAUGAACUAACUUAACACAUGCAUGGCAUUGGCCAAGUCUGGUAUUGUUAUUGUCAAAUAUAUCAAUCUACCCACAAGUCUUCUAUAUGAUGAAGGAUCGUCCAAUAACCGUCCUUCCAUUUGCGUGAGGGCCAAAUUUUGGUCUAAGGGAAACCGGGAAGGUUUCAUGCUUAAAAACCCAACAUCAUCCAAUAUCUUUUGCGCAUAUUUGCAUUGACAUAGAGUGAUUCCAUGCUUUGAUCGUGCAACUUCUAUCCACAAGAAAUACUUGAGCACCCCCAAGUUUUUCAGUUUAAAAUGGUGAGAGAAACUGUUUAGUCUUUUCAAUUUCACGUAAAUCGUUCCCUGCCAAUAUUACGUCGUUAACAUAGACCAGUAAAGCAGUGAAUAUACCUUGACGACUUCAGACGAACAAUGAGUAAUCAGACAAAGAUUGUUCAAACCCAGCAACCUUGAGAGCAUUGGAUAAUUUGAUGAACCAUUGCCUCGAAACUUGCUAUAAACCGUAAAAAGAUUUGUGCAACUUGCACACUCGAGUCUCCCCCUUUCGUCCGAAACUAGGAGGCAAAGUCAUGUAAACAUCCUCUUCCAAGUCACCAUUUAAAAAAGCAUUGUUCACGUCUAGUUGAUAAAAGGUGUUAACCUUGCAAGGCUGCAACAUUGAGGAGGACAUAGAUUGUGGUCAACUUAGCCACGGGAGCAAAAGUGUCAUGGUAAUCAACCCCCUCGAUUUGACUGUACCCCUUUGCAACAAGAUGUGCCUUGUACUGUUCGAUUGUCCCAUCGGGUUUGAGCUUCACCUUAUAAACUCACUUGCAUCCAAUAGGGCCUUUAUGAGAAGGAAAAGGCAUGAGCGUCCAUGUGUUAUUUGCAUGGAGGGCAGCAAGCUCAUGUUGCAUGGUAGCAUGCCAAUGUGGAUCUUGGACAGCCUGGGAAAAGCUAGUAGGUUCCUUAAAGAGGGUGAGAUUAACAGUAUAUGCUUUAUAUGUGGGUAAGAGAUGAUCAUAGGAUAAGUGAGUAGCGAUGGGAUGAGAGGUACUUGACUUAACCACGUUCGUUGAAGAUGCGGGAGCAGUCCUUAAAGGGAGAUAGGCCUUGACGUGAAAGUCAUGCAAAAAGGAUAAGGGUUUUGUGGGUCGGGUACCGCGGCGGAGUAGGGGUGGGGUAAGUGUAGGCGAGGGUGCUGUGGGAUUUGAAGGUAAAGGCAUGGAGGUGGGGUGGUGGUAUCAUCUAAGGGAGGAUUGGAAAGUGAAGGUAGGGAAGACAUGAGAGAUGAGGUAUGAGUAGCAUCUGAAGGUGAAUGGGAUCAUUGGAGGAAGAGAGAGGUUGAGACGAUGCAAAGAAAUGAUCCAUGUCAAAGUGGAGCAAGGAGGCAGGAGGGUGAGGUGGAGUGGUAAAGGCAGCGGAAUUGUCUAAGUGUUGAUAAGGGAAUUGGUCUUCGAAGAAAAUGACACCCCUGGAGACAAACACUUUUUGAAGAUGAAGAUCAAAUAGUUUAUAACCUUUUUGACCAUAAGGAUACCCUAGAAAAAUACAACGACGCGCACGGGGAUCAAACUUGGAAGGUUUUUGUGCAUGAGUGGAUGCAAAACAAACACAACCAAAGACCCGUAAGUGUGAGUAUUUGGGUGGUUUUUGAAACAACUUUUCAUAUGGUGUUUGCCCAUGAAGAAUGGGUGUUGGUGUGCGAUUAAUGAGAUAUGCUGAAACAAGGAUUGUGUCCCCCAAAAAUCGUUUAGGUAAAUGAGCUUGGAAAAGCAAUGCUCGAGCAACAUUAAGCAAAUGUCUAUGCUUGUGUUCAAUGAAACCAUUUUGUUGUGGUGUGUUGACACAACUAGUUUGAUGGAUGAUUGCUUCUAAGGCAUAAAACGUGUCAAGUUUAAACUCGGGACCAUUAUCACUACGAACCAUUUUGACUUUAGUGUUGAAUUGUGUUUCAACCAUAUGAAUGAAUUGGGUGAGAAGCCCCUUGGUGUCAGACUUAUGUUUCAGCAAAUUGAUCCAUGUGCACCUAGUAUGAUCAUCAACAAUGGUAAGGAAGUACUUGGCACCGAAAAGAGAAGACACUUGGUAACCACCCCAAAUGUCAACAUGUAUCAAUUCAAAACAUGAUGUGGUAGACAUGGAACUUAAAGAAAAAGGAAACCUUGUUUGUUUAGCCAAAGGGCAAAUUAAGCAUUGACUUAUGCCACAAGUUUUAUUGGAGACAAAAGGAAGUAACAUGGUAACUUUAUGGGAUAGGUGUCCUAGGCGUUGAUGCCAAAAGCUGGAAGGAGUGGUUUAGACGGCAUUGCAUGUUCCUUUCUUUGGUGGAUCAAGAUAGUAGAGUCCCUCCCGUUCAAUUCCCAUCCCAAUCAUCUUCCCUGAGAAUAAGUCCUGUAUGACACAAAAAUGGUUUAAGAAAAUCAUAAUGGAGAGGGAAUCAUAGGUUAAUUUGCUAAUAGAGAUUAAAUUUAACUUUAAAAGUGGAACAUAAAGGACAUUGUCAAGAAUAAGGUUAGGAGAAAAAAUAACUUGGCCAACAUGAGUGACCGUGGUAAUGGAUCCAUUGAGUAACUCAACGGUGUGAUUUCUAAUGGGCCUUGAGGACGUAAGGGAGUCGGGACUGCAAACUAUGUGAUCUGUAGCACCACUAUCCAAGAUCCAAACAUUUUUCUUGCCAUGAUGUAUGAAUGAAAAAGCUUUACCUGAAAGGUCUUCGUGAUGUGAGGAAUUACCAACGUGAUUGGCAAAAGAUGGUUUGUUCUUAUUCAACAUUUGGAGGAUUUGUUUGCAAUCUUCUUCAGAUAAUGGAAAAUUGGACAUCACCUCCUUAUUGGUCACGACAACUUGAUUUCCCUUGGAAGAACGACUUGGUUCGAUUUUUGUGGCUGAUUUUCUUUUGCGGCAAUACUCAUAUGAAUGGCCUUUCCAUCUGCAGAAAGUCCAUUUGAGAUGGGUACGGCAGUUCUUUGUGGUGUGGUUCGUCUUGUUGCACUUUCCACAUCGUAGACCACCUUCUUCGGAUUCCUUCUCUCAACUAGCACCUUUCACAACGAACACAAUAGCUUCUGGUUGGGCAAUGCUCUUUCCUCUUCAAACUUCGGCUUGCCUCUCAUGGCAAAGGACAAGUGAAUAAGCCUUGUUUAUAGUGGGCAAAGGCUCAAGAAGAAGAGUAUUGUUGCGAAUGGUAGAGUAAGAUUCGAUCAAACCCAUGAGAAACUUCAUCGUCUUCUAGGUUUCAAUGUAGGAGGUGAUCUCUUUCUUCGUGUCACAGCCACAAGUCGGGAUAGAACAAAGCAUGUCUCGUUCAUCCCAAAGGCUUUUCAGUUUGGUGAAAUACGAACUUACCGUCAUAUUGCCUUGUAUGUAGUCGUGAAUCUCGUUUUCUAUGUGAAAUAAUUGGACAAUGUUCAUAUGAUAAAACCUUUCUUGCAGGUCAAGCCACAUCUGCUGUGCAUCCUUGCAGUGCAUGACGCUCCCAUAGAUUUCCUUUGACAUGGAACCAAGCAACCACAUUUUCACCAGGUUGUUGCAUCGAUUCCAUUGUUGUAAUUCUUCAAAGUGUUCUUCACUUGGCUUCUUGAUCGCUCCAUCAACAAGCCCUAAUUUGUUUUUGACCGUCAAGGCUAUGGUCAUGGAUUGAGCCCAUGUACCUUAGUUAUCUUCCACAAUAGGCUAUGGCACAAGUAUUGCACCAAGUUGAUUCGAGUGGUGGAGGUAAAGUGGGUGAUUGGGAUUUUCCUACUUUUAAUGCGAAGUCAUGCCUAAAGAGAUUGACUUGUCUGGUUUGUCGCCCAUGGCUAUGUUUGCUAGGGUUUGUGUUUGUUUCUUUGUUUUUUAUUUUCCCAGAUAUCGUUCACUCUGGUACCAUCAUAAGAAGCUUAGAUUUAAGGAAUGAAUUUCCGUAUAUAUUCAUCAAACAAGAAUUACAACUUUAUACAAAGACCACCAUGAUACUAUCCGAUUCUAUUGCCUACAAAUAAGGCUAAUUAACAACUAAACAAGAAAGUAAAUAUCAAUACACGAUAUUGACUAAUUAAUCUAAGAUUUCUUCCUACUUUAAAAAAUAUAUAACAUGCGAAAAUUAUAGAAACGAAAAAGAAAAAGAAGGAAUUUUAACGCAAAGCUUCCAGUACUGUUUACUUUAACGAACCUCAUUUUUAUACUAAAAAGUCAAUCAUGAUACUAUUCACUUUAUCAUUUAUUUGGUCCUUAUCGUUAAAACUUUUUCAUUAGUGUAAAAAAAAAAAAAAAAAAAAAAAAACCCCAAGCCUCAUUAAGUUGAGCAUAUCUUCUUCUUCUUCUCCCCCCCCCUCUCUCUCUCUCUCGCAACCUUUUCUGUUUCUCCACAAAAGCGUUCCCGCAGAGGCUUCGAGAAACCCUACGGAAGCUCUUUGUCUCGCAACCUCCUCUGUUUCUGCACAAAAGCGUUCCCGCAGAGGCUUCGAGAAACCCUACCGAAGCUCUCUCUCUCUCUCUCUCCUCCCUCUCGCUCCUCGCGUCCUCAGACUCUCUGUGGAUCUCCCUCGAGGUACGGUACGCUCCCUUAAACCAUAGACUUUGCAUCGAAUCAGAUCUCUAUGUAAAAAUGUUGUUAGAUCUGAUGUAGAUUUUACUGUUUCCCGAUUUGGACAUUUUACUCUGGGUUUAGCCUCCGUGGGGUUUUAAGUGUUGAACUACCUCACUUUCUGCUUCGAUUCAAUUUUUUGCUUCAAUCUUUUGGGGUGUCUAUAUUUGGGUUUGAGCUAGAUUCGGUGAAUAUAUGAUUACAUUAGUUUGAGCAGAUUCUGGUAAUUAGAUAAUCAUGGGGUAUAUAGACUGCUUGGGUGAUUAGCGUUGGUUGGAAUUUGCAAUUAGGAUCGGUUAUUUUUAAUUUUUUUAAACAUUAUUGUUUUGUAUGUUAUGUAAUUUGAAUGGGGACAGGGGUUUUUAUCCAAGAUUUGCGGAGGUGUAAUUUGUGGUCUUAUUUUUCUGUUUCCUUUAGCUACUGUAUUAUUUAUUUCUGAUACUGUAAUCACCUUGAGGACGGUGAAGAUAUUCAUCGUCCGAUUUUUGGUUGUUUCUAUGAUUGAAUGGUAGUUUCCCUUGUGCUUUGUUUGAACUGGUGUUAUUUAUUUGGAAUUGAGUUUCAGUUGUUUAGUGUAUGUGGGUUCUUGCUUGAUUUGGAAUUUCAGUUUCAGUUGUUUAGUGAAUGUGGAUUCUUACAUGAUUUGGAAUUUUAGUUUCGGUUGUUUACUAAAUUUGGGUCUUAGUUAUUUUCCAGACUUAAAAUUCUGCAAGGAUGAGUGUGGUGGGGUUUGAUUUUGGCAAUGAGAGCGGCAUUGUGGCCGUAGCCAGGCAGAGGGGUAUUGACGUUGUGCUCAAUGAUGAGUCCAAACGUGAAACUCCGGCCCUUGUUUGUUUCGGUGACAAGCAGCGGUUCAUUGGGACAGCUGGGGCUGCUUCCGCAUUGAUGAACCCCAAGAACACAAUUUCCCAGAUUAAACGCUUGAUUGGUAAGCAAUUCUCUGAUCCUGUGUUGCAGAGGGAUAUCAAGUCCUUGCCUUUUGCUGUUUCUGAAGGGCCUGAUGGAUAUCCAUUGAUUCAUGCCCGUUAUUUGGGAGAAGCAAAGACAUUUACACCUACCCAAGUUCUUGGAAUGCUGUUUUCUGAUCUGAAAAUCAUAGCCGAGAAGAAUCUCAAUGCAGCUGUUGUCGAUUGCUGUAUUGGGAUUCCAGUGUAUUUUACUGAUCUCCAACGAAGAGCUGUUAUGGAUGCAGCAAAAAUUGCUGGAUUGAACCCUCUUCGCUUGUUCCAUGAAACUACAGCAACUGCUUUGGCUUAUGGUAUUUACAAGACGGAUUUACCAGAAAAUGACCAAUUGAAUGUUGCCUUUGUUGAUGUUGGGCAUGCUAGCAUGCAAGUUUGCAUUGCUGGUUUCAAGAAAGGGCAGCUGAAAAUAUUGGCUCAUUCCUUUGACCAGUCUUUGGGAGGUAGGGACUUUGAUGAAGUACUGUUCCACCACUUUGCAGCAAAAUUCAAGGAAGAGUACAAAAUUGAUGUUUUACAGAAUGCAAGGGCUUGCCUUCGCCUUCGUACCGCUUGUGAGAAGUUGAAGAAGAUGCUUAGUGCAAAUCCUGUGGUACCUUUGAAUAUAGAGUGUUUAAUGGAAGAGAAGGAUGUUAGGGGAAUUAUUAAGCGGGAUGAAUUUGAGCAGAUUAGUAUUCCUAUUUUGGAACGUGUGAAGGGACCUUUGGAGAAGGCCCUUCUUGAUGCACAGCUUUCAAUAGAGGACAUUCACACAGUUGAGGUUGUCGGUUCAGGCUCUCGUGUUCCUGCUAUAAUCAAGAUAUUGACAGAUUUCUUCAAAAAGGAGCCUAGGCGAACUAUGAAUGCAAGUGAGUGCGUUGCCAGAGGUUGUGCUUUGCAAUGUGCAAUUCUUAGUCCAACAUUCAAAGUUAGAGAGUUUCAGGUGAGUUUAACUCUUGCUUUGUCUGUGAAUUUGUUUCCAUUAGUUGAAUCAAUCUGUAUAAUGUCUGACCUGCUGGCUUUUGCAAAAAAUUAUGUUUUGUUAUUAACUAAUGCUAUCCCAUUUAAUAUGCAGGUUAAUGAGAGCUUCCCAUUUUCAAUUUCCUUGUCCUGGAAAGGUUCUGGUCCAGACGCUCAGAACGGAGCAGCUGAGAACAACCAAAAUACCCUUGUUUUCCCCAAGGGAAAUCCUAUCCCAAGUAUCAAGGCCCUUACAUUUUUCAGAUCGGGCACUUUUUCAGUUGAUGUGCAGUAUGCUGAUGUUAGUGAUUUGCAGGCACCUGCAAAAAUCAGCACAUAUACGGUGAGUGGCAGAUUGAAUAUUGGAUCUUAAACUUGUGCGCUCUAAUUUCUCUCAACGCUAUAAGGUCAUCUGCCAGAUAUUUCCUAACAUUCUACUACACUAUACAUGUGCAGAUUGGUCCUUUCCAGUCUGUUAAAAGUGAGCGAGCAAAACUAAAGGUCAAAGCUCGCCUAAAUCUGCAUGGGAUUGUGUCUGUAGACUCAGCAACUGUAAGAUUGUUAAAAGCAUUUUGUGCUUCUAGAUGUCUUUGGUUGAUUAUCUUUCUAAUUCUAUUUGUUUUUCUUCACAUGCUGUAGCUUUUGGAAGAAGAAGAAAUUGAGGUUCCUGUCACAAAAGAGCAAACAAAGGAGGCUGCUAAGAUGGAGACUGAUGAGGCACCCAGUGAUGUGGCUCCCCCAAGUACCAAAGAGACUGAUGUGAGCAUGCAAGAUGCUAAGGACACUGCUGAUGCUCCAGGUGCUGAAAAUGUUGUUCCCGAGUCCGGGGAAAAGCCUGUGCAAAUGGAAACUGAUGCGAAGGUCAGUUUUCAUGAUUCAUGUGUUUUUUCCAUUUGUUAUUUUCCUGGACCGCAACAUUUUUUUUUUUUGGGGGGGGGGGGGGAGGCAAAUAGUGUUUAGCUACUCAAUUUGAGUCAGCUAUAUGUGGGACUAAGGAAAUGAAUGACUUAUGCCUAACUUUCUACGGUUUGCUUUGAUAUAGUCCACUGGUGCUAAGCUUUUCCGUGAUCAUUCUUUUCAUGUUCAAUCACGUUAACAACAGGGAAGGGUUGUCAAAAGUCAUCAUAAUCUUUAACUUAUAUAAUCUACAUUUAAUGUCACCACAGAGAAGAUAAGGGAUGAUGGACUGUACUAAGUGUUGUUUAAAAAUUCAGUUUUGGAAUGGUCAAAUGUUAUCAGUGGUUUUAUUUGGUUCUAUUUGUGGGUUCUGUACUCUUAAUGUCUUGGUUUUUGGAAUGCAGGCUGAUGCUAAAAAGAUAAAGGUAAGGAAAACAAACAUUCCUGUGACAGAGUUAGUUUAUGGAGGGAUGCCACCAAAUGAAGUGCAGAAGGCAAUUGAGAAGGAGUUUGAAAUGGCCUUACAAGACCGUGUUAUGGAAGAAACAAAAGACAAGAAAAAUGCUGUAGAGGCAUACGUCUAUGACAUGAGAAACAAGGUAGUUUGCUUGUAUGUUCGUGACACAUUUUCCUUUUUAUUUUACCAUUUUUUUUUUUUUACUAAAUUUCUCUUUUGUAUUGCCAGCUCAAUGACAAGUAUCAUGAAUUUGUCACUGAAUCUGAGAGGGAAGCGUUUAUUGCUAGACUUCAGGAGGUGGAGGACUGGCUGUAUGAAGAUGGUGAAGACGAAACCAAAGGAGUUUACAUUGCCAAACUUGAGGAGCUGAAGAAGGUGAGGAUUUUCUUUUAAUGUGUUUUGGUGCGAAGUUCUCUAUUUUCUCUUGUCCAACUUGAUGUCGUUGGUUUUGAUUCUUUUGAGCGUUGGUGAAUUUUUCAAAUUCCAGCAAGGUGACCCCAUUGAAGAGCGAGUCAAGGAGCAUGCGGAGAGGGGAACAGUGAUUGAUCAACUUGCUUACUGUGUCAAUAGUUACAGAGAAGCUGCAGCAUCAAAUGAUGCAAAAUUUGAACACAUUGAUCUGGCCGAUAAACAGAAGGUAAGGGACUCGAUGAGCUGUCUUCCCCUUCCCCAGUCUCCACCUUUUCAACUCACAAUAUUCUUUUUGUGUUGUUUAGGUAUUGAACGAGUGUGUUGAAGCCGAGGCCUGGUUAAGAGAGAAAAAGCAGCAACAGGAUCUGCUCCCCAAAUAUGCCAACCCAGUACUCUUAUCAGCUGAUGUGAGACGGAAGGCUGAAGCAGUUGACAGGUACUAUUUCUUGCAUUGAUAAAUUUGUUUUCUUUGGUUAGUUGACGAACUGGUUGUCUUAGACAACAAAAACCUAUUUGCUUAUUCAUAAAGUCUUUUGGAAGCCUUUGGGAUAUCUGACAGUGGUAACCUUUUCUUAUAUCCACUUUUGUUGACAGGUUCUGCAGACCAAUAAUGACGAAACCCAAACCAGCACCAGCCAAGCCAGCUGCUCCUGAAACUCCACCAACCCCACCUCCUCAGGGAAGUGAGCAACCUCAGGGCGGAGAUGCAGAUGCCAAUCCCGGCCCCAUGGAGAAUCCUGCUGAUGGCGACAAUGAGGCCCCACAGGCUACUACAGAACCAAUGGAAACCGACAAGCCAGAAGCUCCACAAAGUUCUGCGUAGUUCUGUAGAGUAUCCGCCUUUCUAUGGUUCUUAUGGCGUUUCGGUUGUUCUUAUGGUCAGGAUUUGAUUCGUUAGCAUAAUACACUUUCAUUUUGAGCCUUAAAACACGGUUUGGACGGAGAGGGAGAGGCCCGUGGUGUGCUAAAUGGAUGAUAUACCUCUAGGUGUAAAGCCUUUUAUCUGCUUGUGGUCUGUCAGUUUUUAAUUAUUGGUACAAUCGGUCUCUAGAAUUCCGGAUUUUUUUAAGAGAAAUUUUACCCUCGGGGUCUCUUUCCCCCCUUAUGAUGGGAUGGAGACCGAUACGUUUUCAUUCUAAUCUUGUUUUACAUAUGUCAUUGAUACUCUUUCUUCCUGUAUCUUUGAACUUAUCUCCAAAAUUGCUCGAUUUUGUUCUACGAAUUUUGCAUUGAUGCUCUUGAGGACAGGCUUUGAAUUUUAUAGUAGCAUUUUGUUGUUGUACAAAUAUAUGCGUCAAGGUUCUUCGUCGAUGCAACAUUCAGUGCGCUUUCGUUGUCGCCCGGUGGAAGUGUGGGUUUAGGUCUGAGACUGGCUUUUCGAUUUCCGUUCUCACCGCCAAAGAUGAUUUUUGUAGUACUGAGUGGCGAGAUGAGAAUUGUAACAGGAACUUCGAAGAUGGAGCAUGCGGUGGAUGCUAGUAAAACUACAUUUUGUAUCUGAAUUAUCUUUCUAAUAGAGAUAAGAUCCACCGUUACAAGUAGGUUUAAUCAGAAGUUGGUGAUUACGCUGCUAUAAUAGGGACAGGGCUACCUAUAGAGUGGGAACGAUCAUUAAGAGACUAAACUGUUACAACGGUAGAUGGUGGUUGUAUUAACAACGAUUAUAAGGGAUGGUUGUAAAAAUAGUGGUUGAGAUGUAGGGAUGGUGGAGGUGGUAGCGGUCAUGUAGAGGAUAAUGGGUGAAUUUGGUGAUGGUGCGAGAUGGUGACAGUGGUGGUGGCUACAAUGGUGAGACGAUGGAAGUGGUGAUGACCAUGGUGGUGGGGCUAUGGCAGUAGAUAAUAUGAGGGGUGGUGAUGGUGGUGGCGGAUAUGGUGGCCAUGCUGAGAUGGUGGAUAUGGUGGUGGCAGGCUAUGGUGGCUAGAGGGAUGGCGGUGGAGGAUAUGGUAGUAUGACAACGGUGGUGGGAGGUGGUGGUGUCAAAUAUGGUGGUCCAAGGGGUGGUGAUGGUGAGAUGGUGGAUAAUAUAGUGGUGGUGGUAGUGAUAUACCGUUGCAUAACACUAUUGAAAUCACAUUAAAAGUAAUUAGAGACUAGAGAGCGGCAGCAACAACAACAUCAACGAUAGUUCCCGUUGUCUUGUCUUGGGGUUUUCCCUCUCCUGUCUCUUCUGUUAUCUGCUUUCACUCCUUCCUACCUCCUCUGUCCUUCUCUUGUCGUUGUUCAAACGACACCGGCGCGAUUGUUACUUCACUCUAACUCCGAAACAGCAGCUCCUGUCUCAAGAUUUUCGUUUGAUGGCCGUCCAGAACAACAUUAUUUUAGACGAAUCAUUGCACUAGUUAGCAUGAGUGGAAUCAUCCACUCUGAUCUGGAGGUGUAAAUUCGGUUGCAAAACAUCGUGCAUUAUAGUAAAAUUGGUUGCGAAUUUGUUUGCUUUGGAGCGAUGUGGUCGGGCGAAGAUUUCUCUAGAGAAGGAUCCUCGGACCACAGCACAACUCCCCAAGGGAUUGACACUUUGGAUGUGUAGUCGGGCUCUUGUUGAUGUGCUAUAAGAAGAGGAUAAAGUUAGUUCUAAAAAGUGCCUUUGUGGGGCCUUAGGUGUAGGCCUUGAGACUUGCAAUCAAAACUAACUGAGUGCUAGACGUGCCACUGCUAUCUUAGUAUAGCAGAUGUAGAACAAGAGUGUUUUAAGUUGAUUACAUGUGCCCCAAGUUACUCUGACUUAUUGUUAUCAAAGGAUUGUCGCAGAUGGGUUAAGUCUACAUUAAGUUCUUUUUCUUUCAUGAUCUUGUAUGUUCGAAUAAAGGGAGUCCAGAGCCCCUUAAGUGAUCCUAGAUUGCUUUUAAUGAUAACAUAUCCAUUAAACUAAACGGAUCCAGAUACAAAUGAGACUCUUAAAGUAGUAGAACAGGUGGAUAUGACUUGAAUACAUACUGGAUAGUGCAUUAAGUAAUAGAUCUAUUAACUUAGAAAACAAACAAAGAGCUUCGGGCAAGAUUUCACCUUGUAUAGUAAGGUUGAACUUUUUGCAGUUACUUCUCUUUAAAAUUACAGGGUUUAUAUGCUAAAAAGGGAUGGAUGGUAAACAAGUUUACACGAGGGAAUCGAUACUACACCACUGAGGGAGAUAGCAGAGCUCUAAACUAGACAAGAGAUAGCUUGUUGCUUAAAAGGACUUAAUUUGGGUUGAUUUCAGCUUUUGAAUGCAAAUCUAGCUUGAGAGGAGAGUUUGUAUGUUUGUUUGUUUGAUUAGUUGAGUGUCCUUAUCUCUGGGGCCUUUUCUUCCUCUUAUAGGCAAAUUAGCUCGACUGCUGUAACAUUGCUCUUGCCCGAAAGCAUCUAAAGGGUAGUGAGUCAUCCAUCAUCUUUUUACUUGGAAUGCCACUAGAAAGUGUUAUUUGGCUGGUAGUAGGAUAGUCUUCAUCACUUGUCACUUUAGUGGUAAGCACGUGGCUUGUAUCUGGGCUUCGGGCAAGUCCCAUUUUGUUGGCAUCCUUGGGCUUUCCAUCAUCUAGGUCCAAUGUUCAAAUAUUAACCCAAACACGAUGCAUAUCAACCUCUGCUCAUCUCUCUGGCAGAAUUAAUCAAAUAGGUAAUCUACAUUGUCUAUGCUUCCAUUUGAGCUUAAUUUUAUGUGAAGCAUUUGCUUCCUUUUUAAUUUUCUGCAACUUGUUUUUCUUUGUUGUUUGUGUUUUUUAUUUGGUUGAUAAGAUUUUGCUAUAUUAGCAAUUGGGUUUUGUUUUUUUUUUUAAUUUCUUUUUUAUACAAACGAUAGAAUAAUCUACUAUAAAUUCAUCUAAAAUAUGAGAGGGGGGAGGCUUUGAACUUUGGUGCAGCUGGUUUUGAUUGAAUAUACUUCCUGAAUGUUGUGUGAUAACCUUUUUUCUGUGUUUUGUUUCUUCGAUUUUUUUUUUUAUACAAACGUCAGAAUAAUCUACUUUAAAUUCAUCUAAAAUACGAGGAGUGGGAUUCGAACUUUGGUGCAAUUGGGUUUUGAUUGAAUAUUCUUACUGAAUGUUGUGUGAUAACCUAUUUCUGUGUUGUGAUUAAGUAAAAAGUGAGAUAGUUAAAAUGUUCUAGUUGCCUAGAGCAAACUUUCCCAUGAGUAGAAACAUGUCAAGGAAGGACCCUUCAGUUAGGAUGUUAGAUGCGAGUUUCAUAAAGAUUUUGAAAAUUUUCAAGUGGGGACCUGAUGUAGAAAAGGCGCUGGAAGUUCUGAAGCUUAGAGUGGAUCAACGAUUGGUUCUCACGGUCCUCAUGAUUGAUGUGGAACAGUGGAAGUGAAUGUUAAAGUUCAGUUUUUCAAGUGGGCUAGGAAAAGAAGGAAUUUCCAACAUGAUUCAACCACCUACAUGGCGUUGAUCCACUACUUGAAAGAGGCUGGUACGUUUGGUGAAAUAUGGAGAACCAUCUAAGAAAUGGCUCAGAGUGCACGUGUUAUUGAGCCGGCUAAACUAUCCGAAAUCAUAAGAAUCUUGGGUAGGGCUAAGAUGGUGAACAACGCACCAUCUGUCUUCUACUAGAUCAAAGGCCACAAGUUCAAACCAACUGCAAAUACUUACAACUCCAUGGUAUUAAUGCUGAUGCAAGAAGGGCAUCAUGACAAGGUCCAUGAGCUCUACAAUGAGAUGUGUAACGAGGGUUACAUACAGUGCACUGAUAUCCGCAUUAGAGAAAUUGGGUCAUGAUGAUUCCGCCAUUAGGUUGUUUGAUGAGAUGAAGGAUAAUGGUUUACAUCCAACUGCAAAGAUUUACACUACCUUAUUGGCAAUUUUUUUCAAGUUAGGGACGGUUGAGCAAGCUUGAAGCCUAGCUCAGGAUAUGAAAAAGAAUGGGUGUCCGCCUACUGUUUUUACUUAUACAGAAUUGAUGAAGGGGCUUGGCAGAGCGAGGAGGGUAGGCGAUGCUUAUGCUAUAUACAAAAACCUUAUGAGAGAAGGGUUGUAAGCCUGAUGUUGUGCUCAUGAACAAUUUGAUAAACAUUUUGGGAAAGGAAGGUCAUAUAGAAGAUGUUAUUAAGAUUUUCAACGAGAUGUCAUCUUUGCAUUGCACACCUAAUGUGGUGACCUAUAACAUUGUAAUCAAAGCGUUAUUCGAAUCCAGAGCUCCAGCUUCUGAGGCAGCUACAUGGUUUGAGAAGAUGAAAGUUAAUGGCAUUGUUCCCAGUUCGUUUACCUAUUCAAUUCUUAUUGAUGGUUUUUGCAAAACAAAUAGAGUGGAGAACACUUUGUUGCUUCUCGAAUAGAUGGAUGAAAAGGGUUUUCCUCCUUGUCCAAGUGCCUAUUGCAGCCUGAUUAACAAUCUUGGAAGAGCAAAGCUGUACGAAGCUACAAAUGAGUUAUUCCAAGAAUUGAAAGAAAAAUGAGGUCGUUCAAGUGCUAGGGUGUAUGGUGUGAUGAUUAAACAUUUUGGGAAAUGUGGGCGUCUUGAUGACACUUUGGAUCUUUUUUACGAGAUGAAGAAAAUCGAAUGCACUUCAAACGUGUAUGCUUAUAAUGCACUCAUCUCAGGGAUGAUGAGGGCUGAUAUGAUAGAUGAAGCACAUUCCUUGCUUAAAGUCAUGGAAGAAAACGGCUGCAUUCUCGACCUAAACUCACAUAAUAUCAUUUUUAAUGGCUUGGCUAGGACGGGUGGUCCAAAUCAGGAUUUGGAAAAGUUUUCCAAAACGAAGCAUUCUAAGAUUGAACUGGAUGAGUUACUUAUAACACUAUUCUUGGUCGUCUAAGCCGAGCUGGUUUGCUCGAAGAGGCUGCAAAACUGAUGAAAGGGAUUCGAAAUGAUUUGAAUAUGAUCUCAUUACUUAUCAAUUCUUGAAGCGGUUGGCAAGGUCGAUGAUGUUUAUAAGUCUUCCUCAAUGGGACCUGGUAUGAUAUUACUUUCUCUUCUUUCACUAGUAAAAUUGUUCUUAUAGUUUAGUGUCGAGGCACUUGCACUCUGCAUACAGCCAAUUUUAAUGAUUGUUUCAGAUUUAGGAUGGUUGGAGACUUUCUUAAGAACAAGCAGAGUGUGAACUCACUCAUGAGUGACUAAUUCUUUCGCAGGUCAUACACCCUAUUAAUUGACAGCUUAGCAGCAUUGCAUCCUCUAGAGUUUUAGUAUCGUCGAGGUUGGAACUUGGUAAAGAAAGGAAAAAACUACUGGUCGUUAUAAAGAUGACGCAUUAUAGAACUUCCUCUUGUACCGAAAUUGGAAAAGAUGCCGGCCUACUAUCAGGAAGUGGAAAGAAAACCACAUUCAAAAGCUACUACGACCUGAAUAAGGGUUGUGGUUUGGCUUCAUAAUCUGCACGGCCUCAUGUUACUUAUACAGGAGCUGGACAAAUUUAGCUCAUUACAGCUGAAAAGGGUAGCAAUUUUGAUGCUCCUCAUCAAGCCAUCUAACAUUCCAAACCGAGUAUUUGCAAUUUUUCGUAUUCAAGCUAUCUAUACUCCUAACUAAAUAUUUAGAAUUUUUUGUGCUCUCACAAGCAUGGAGUGCAGCCGGGUGCCCGAUGAGUGUCAGAAAAACAGGCCUUUCAAACAUCGCUUACUCCUUAAUUUUCAUCUUUAAUAACCAUUUAGUUUUUAGUUUUUAUUUUCUGUGCUAAAGAUAUAAAGAAAUAGUUGGGAGAAAUGAAGAAUAGAGAAGGAUGAAGGGAGGUGGUGAAAAGGAGAACUGAAAGAUGCUAUAUGAAAACAAACACGCGAAAAUGGGUUGUUUUCAAAUUUUCACAUCAUUACAUAUACGUUCCUUUCUCAUUUUUUCACCGACACUCUUUCUCCCAUGUAUCUUGAAGACGAAUGAAAACUAAAAGUUAAAAACAAAAUUGUUUUUCGAUAGGCCCUUAUCAUAUUACUCCAAUCCCAUGAUUUCCAACUCAAAUUGGAAUAAAAGGGAAACAAAGGAGGCAACCCAGUAGUAAUACGAAACAUUUAAUUUCUAAUUACCAUAUCUGAUACAAAAUCAACAACUUAUUUCCUUAAAAGAUAUAGAAAGGGGAUAACAUCUUCCCCAAUUGAUACAACAACAACUUGCAGUUAAUAUAACCCAUUAAUAUUACAGAUAGAUACCGAUAUUACCCGCUAUCAUUUUCGACAGAGUUAUCAUUCUCCGCGUCAUCGCCCUGCUGUAUUUUCGCUAUCUCAGCAUGCACUCUCUCCAUAAUCUGCUUUUUUUGCAGUUUCAAGUCUCUGUGGAAAUCCAUCCUCUUCUUCUCUAGUUCCGCCAUCUACUUCCUUUUACUAUUUUCAAUCUUCUCAUAUAUGUCGCUGAACUUUUGAAUGAAAUCAGCAAGCAAUCUAAAGGAACCCCAAUCAUCAUUCUCCCUUCCAUACCUUUUCUUCUUGGGUGGUAGCCCAUCUGAAUCGUCGUUCCCUCCCUCAGCUGAUUAAGAAUUUCCUGGACUAUUCCUCAUCUCAUCCAACCCAUUUGCACGGUUUAAAUACACUUUAGGGUUCAUGAAAACAUUACUCCCGUGAGUCUAAACCAUAAGAGAGGCCGGCUUGCUGUUGUAGUGAUGACAUCAACAUAUCCAUCUUUGUGAAGUAAACCCACUUACUAGUGGCACCACCAGACUCUGUGAACUUGGCCUUCUCCUUCUUGUACUUUUUCUUCAACGUAUCCAACCGAUUGCGGCAUUGUGUGUCUAUCCUUUCAAUCUUAGACACCUCUGAUACUUUCUCUGCAACCUCUUGCCACUCCUCAGAGCAAAGACUUUUUUUCCACGUUGAAGGAACGGGUCACCCCAAGCAUCUUGUAACAUAAAAGUCUCACAUUCAAUCCAAUCUAUAAGCCCAUUCUGACCACCAAUUGAAUGUCUUGGAGCAGAAGGUGCAGCAGCAAGAGGAUGAGGAACUAGCAAACGAGGAGCAAAUUCAUAACUUGAAAUCAAACUCUUUAACUUACACUUCUUUGGGUGCGUUUUCAAAUCAUCAUCAUCCAUCAUCUUAUAAUCCUCUUCAUCAUCCUCAUCGUCUUCAUCAUCACUAUCAUCCUCGUGAUCAUCAUCCCCAACACCUUUAUGAACAGAAGGAUAGCCAUUUUGACCAUUGUUAUCUUCUUCUUCCUCACCCAAUUCUUCUUCAUCAUCAUCAGUCUCAUCUUCCUCCUCAUCAUAGGCAUAGUCAGUAUCGACUGGCCUAGGAUAUGGAACACCACCACCAGCAUGGAGCUUUUGGCGUUGCGAAGAACCAUAACUCUGCUAGUGAUCCCACCAUACAGGUUUAGAGGAUACCUUACGUCGUCUUCGAUGUCAUCCAUUUUAGCAUGAACUCAAGAUUAACAACAAAACAAAUACAAAGAAGAUAACCCAGUUUUGCCAUUUCGGGAUUAAGCUCCAUACACCCCCAUUAUUCUUUUUCCCUUCUAGAUUCUAAAUCUAACCAACAACUUCUACUCCUUCAUAGAACUAAACUAGCUCCAAAUCAGCAUUUCGUUGUAAAAAAACACAAAAACAACAAACCCAACAUCAAAAUCUUCCUCAAAACAAACUAUUGCCCAAAGAAAGUCACAAUCAGAGAAUAUAUCACACUUAGGUCAACAAAAUUGGGAAGUAAACCUAAACCCCAUCCUUCUAGUUAAAAUUUACCAAAUUUAUCUUCCCAAAUGCAUUACUUUAGUCUAAAGUAGAAGGGGGAACGGCAGUGUGCAAUUUUGCCUCGAUUUCAUUUUAUUUACGAAAAUGCCACUGAGUCUUUCUGCCUCCUUAUUUAACGUUAUUUGCAAAAUUGCCACUGGGCUUCAGAAAGGGUAUUAGGUCUUUUGGUGCUAGGCUUCAGAAAGGCUAUUGGGUCUUUGGGCUAGAUGUGACCUUUCACUCAUGGAGAGAGACGAAAAGAGGACGGGAGGGUUGUCAUGUUGGAGGGAGAGGAUCGUCGGGAAUUUUGGCUCAGGGGCUGGUGGGUGUGGCUGUAGGUGAUGCAUCCGUCAUAAGGUCAUUGGGGGAGGAGAGAAGGGGGGCAGAGGGACUGACAGGUUGGAGAGAGAUGGAAGCUAGGGGUUUCGACUGGGUGGGAGAGAGAUUUAGGGAUUUUGUUGAAUUUUUUAGACAAGGAUGAAGAGUGAGAGAGGGGGCAGAAAGCAUGGUUUCAAUUGAGUGGGAGAGAUAUUUAGAGAUUUUUUUUCCCACUUUUUGAGAGAUAGAUAGACAGGGAGAGAGAGAGAGGGCCGAGAGCAUGCCGUGCAUUUUUUGGGGUUAACGGGUUACCCCACGAGGUUGGUGAAGAGAGGAUGUCUGAGGGAGGUAUGGGAGAAAGUGGGUUUUCAUUUUUGUCCUCUGAUUCAACAGGUAAAAGAAUGUUCAGAAAUCAUUUUUUAUUGUUUGGUUUCCCAUUUGCUUUGUUAAAACUGUGAUUGACAGUUUUUUUUUUUUUUUUAAUAAAAUUGUAAUGGAUGUUUAUAAGCUGUUUAGUUGGGUGUUAGGAAGAUUGGUCUAUUUAGUGCACUAUUUCGUACAUUUUUAGAGUCACGUUUGUGUCUUUAUUACUUAGGGGGUUGCACUGUGCUCAUUUAUGUGUUUCUUCAUGCUUUGCUGCUGUUUUCUUCUUAGCAAGAUUGGGUUUUAGUCGUGCUUUACAUCCUUUGAAUAUCCCUCUGUUGCUAGAUUGUUUCUCCAUGCUUUGUUGCUUCUGUAUUUGUGUGAUAAGGAUGUUAGAAGGCUAUUUUACUUAUUGUUUUGCUCAUUUAUUGAUGAAUUUUUUUUGCCAUUCUUGGUUGCUUAUGUAUUUAUGUAAUAAAGUUUUAAAUUUUAUUCUUGACAUGUAUGUAGAUCAAACACAAGUCUUGACAAUUGGUUGUAAGAAGCCCUUUAUGCCCUGUUGGAAGCUAAACAACUUCUGAAGUCGAAGGAUCGAAGGCAGCAAGGAGCUCCCGAGCAUGGCUUCUAUCUGUAUCGAAGAAGAAAGGGUUUUAGCCUUCAACGGCUAGUUUUUUCAGUUUAAAUGUAUGCGUAAGUGUGUGAGUGACAAAUGUACAUUCCAGAUUAGAUCACUUAAAACUGAAAUGAAGGGCUAGGAUUUAAUCUGGAGUAGUAAUGAUAAAAGAGUUGUUUAAGUCUCUUGUCUCACUCCCUUAAGCAAGCAUGGGUCAUGGCAAUGCAUCAUACCCUACAAGAUUUCCUCUACUUAAUGAAGUUAUGGCUGCUGCAUUUCUUACACAGCCUUUGAAGCUGUCAAUCACAUCUCUAAGUCAUCUUCAUUCUCUGUUAUUCUAACCCUAAGAAAUCGAUCCAAACUAUCAACCAAAACAUCUAAACAAACAAACUUUAUCAUGGCCUCAGAGCUUAGUUUAUGAUCUUAUAACUUUAUGGGCAUAAUUUGUGCAAGUUGAGAUCUUUAGGAGCACCUACAUAGUGUCCUCAACAACAACAAUCAAUAAACAACCCUGCAAAUGAAAGGAUCAAGCAGUAGCAAUGAGCUAAAAACUCCAGUCUUUGAUGGGGAGAACUAUGAUUUUUGGAGAAUAAGAAUGACAACCAUUUUCAAGUCCUAUGAUAUAUGGGAUAUGGUUCAACACGGGUAUGAACUACUUGAGAUGGAGGUCGAUGCUUUAUAGGAAGACCUCACAGAAACACAAUUCAAAGAGAGCUUGGGAAGUUUUACAGCAAGAGUACAAAGAAGACACCAAAGUCAAAAAGGUAAAACUUCAAUCCUUUAUAAGAGAUUUCGAGUAUACAAGAAUAAGGGAAAAUGAGCUAUUGAAAUAUUACUUUACUAGGCUAUUUGAUGUUGUAAAUAAGAUGAAAACACAUGGUGAGGAAUUGCCUAAUGAGAGAGUUGUCCAGAAACUGUUGAUCAGUUUGACUAAGCCCUAUGAUUCAAUAGUGAGUGUCAUUGAAGAAACCAAAGACAUUGAAACUCCUAGUGUGCAAGAUGUAAUGGCACCCUUAAUAGCUUUUCACCAAAGGCUCGAAAGGCAUGCAGAUUUUGCCACUGAGAAAGCAUUUCAACCACUAUAUGUUGGAUCUAGUAGUCAAGCUAAUGCAAGCAAACGAAAACCACAGUGGAAGGGUAACAACAAAAAAAAAAAAAAGGAAGGAAAGGGGUAUCAAAACCCUAGGCCUAACCAAGGCAGCAACUUAAAUGAAGUUCCAAGAACCAAGCAGCAAUGCAAGCAUUGUAAAAAAUUCCAUUUUAGGGAGUGUUGGUUCAAGGAAAAGUCUUGAUGUCACAAAUGAAACAAGUUCGGGCACAUCAUGAGGGAUUGUAGAUCAAAGAAUGUGCAGCAAGUGAACUUUGUAAACCAAGUGGAGAAAAACACUGAAGUGUGAUACAUUGACAGUGGCUGCAGUAAUCACAUGACUGCACAUAAGUCAUUACUCAUUGACAUUGACACAAACUUUAUUGGAAAAAUGAAAAUGGGAGAUGGAAACAUUGUCAAAAUAACACCAAGAAAGGAAGAAGAUGCAUAAGGGAGGUGAUGCUAGUGCCUGGAUUGGAUGAUAAUCUACUUAGUGUGGGUCAAAUGAUGAAGCAUGGUUUUUCCUACUCUUUGGGGGAACUGUGGUCGAGAUUUAUGAUGACAGGUCCCUAUCAAACCUAGUGACUAGAGUGGAAGUGAAAAACAGAAGCUUUCCACUUAUGUUGAAGUACCUAGAAGAGGUGGCAAGGAAAGCAAGUGUGAAAAGUUCUAUGAAGUUAUGGCACAAGAAGCUUGGUCACUUAAACAUGACAAGUCUAGAAAAUCUACAAAAGCAUGAAAUGGUACAAGGUAUACCAAAGUUGGCUCAAUGUAGUGAAACUUGUGAAGGGUGUGUGUUUGGAAAGCAUCAUAGAGAUUCAUUUAAAGUUGGAAAGGCUUGGAAGGAAACAAAGCUACUUGAAUUGAUUCACACGGAUGUGUGUGGACUAAUGCAAACAACAAUAAUCAGUGGAAACAGGUAUUUCCUAACCUUCAUUGAUGACUACUCACGGAUGUGUUGGGUGUACUUCAUGAGGUUUAAGUAUGAGGUAUUCAUAAUAUUCAAGAAUUUCAAGGCAAUGGUGGAAUUGCAAAGUGGAUACCAAAUCAAAAGACUAAGAAGUGAUAGAGGAUGAGAGUACACCUCUCUUGAGUUCAAUGCAUUAUGUGAAGAUGUGGGAUUGGAGAAGCAACUCACAGUGGCAAAUUCACCACAACGUAAUGGCAUUGCAGAAAGGAAGAAUAGGACUAUAGUCAAAAUGGCUAAAUCUAUGAUGCAUGAGAAGAACAUGCCCUAUACAUUUUGGGGUGAAGUUGUGAGCACCUCAGUGUACUUAUUGAUUAGGUGCCCUACUAAAGCAUUGGACAAGAAGACUCCAUUUGAAGUGUUUGGCUCAGUGUGCUACACUCACAUUCCUCACCAACUAAGACACAAGUUGGAGAAAUCAAGCAACAAGGGUGUUUUUGUGGGUUAUGGUACCAAAGAGAAAGGGCACAGAGUUUAUAAUCUGUUAGCUCAGAAGAUAAUCCUAUCAAGGGAUGUUAUCUUUGAUGAAGACUCAACAUGGAAUUGGGAAACAAGUGUAGCAGAGAAAGAUAGUGUCUCUUUACAACUUAACCUGAACAAUGGGCGAACAUGAGAGCCUAUGGAGACCUCAAUUCAAGAAGAAACCAUAGAGAAUGGUGACACACAAGGGACUCCACAUCAAGCAAACAUGAGUUCACAACCGAGUCAAUCAUGGAUAACAACUCCAAGUUCAACUCCAGUGAGGUUGAGAAGCUUGGAUGAGAUAUAUGCUACAUGUAAUUACUGUGUAGUGGAACCAGAAACAUAUGAAGUAGCUGAGAAAGACAAAGCUUGGAAGAAAGCAAUGAAGGAAGAGCUUGAAAUGAUAGAGAAUAAUGACACUUGGGAACUUGUAAAUCGACUAAGUGAUAAGCCUGUGAUUGGAGUGAAAUGGGUGUACAAAGUGAAGCUAAACCUAGAUGGUUAUGUGCAGAAGAACAAGGCAAGAUUGGUAGCUAAAGGCUACUCACAGAAGCUUGGUGUAAACUUCAAUGAAACCUUUGCACUAGUAGCAAGGUUAGACACCAUAAGGACCUGGAUAGCCCUAGCAGCCAAGAAGCGUUGGAAGCUGCAUUAAUUGGAUGUCAAAUUUGCAUUUCUAAAUGGAGUGCUAGAGGAGGAGGUGUUUGUGGAACAAUCUCAAGGGUUCAUAAGUGAAGCAUUUCUAAAUAAGGUGUACAAGCUAAUGAAUGCACUUUGUGGCCUAAAACAAGCUCCAAGGGGUUGGUACAGUGAGAUUGAUUCUUAUUUAACAAGACACUCAUUGUCUCAAUCUAUGUGGAUGAUGUUGUCUACACUGGAAAUGAUACUGCAAUGAUUGAAGAGUUCAAAGAAGAAAUGAUGAAGAGGUAUGACUGACCUAGGCCUCUUGCAUCAUUUUCUUGGCAUUGGGGUAAUUCAAGAGGUAAACAACAUCUUCAUUCAUCAAAGGAAGUAUGCUGAAACCUUGCUUGGAAGGUUUGGUUUGAAGGGUUGCAAACUGGUCUCUACACCUCUAAUUGCAAAUGAGAAGCUUAAGAAGGAUGAUGGAAGUGAACCUGUGGAUGCUAGUCUCUACAAAAGCAUUGUUGGAGUCUAUUAUACCUAACCGCAACAAGGCCGAAUCUAAUGUUCUCAGCAAGCCUACUCUCUAGGUUUAUGCAGAAUCCUAGCAAGAUACACAUAGGGACAACAAAGAGAGUUCUAAGAUAUGUGCAAGGAACACUUGAUUAUAGCAUCAAGUAUGAAAUGGGGAAGUCAACUAUCCUAAUUGGAUUUUGUGACAGUGACUGGGGUGGCAGUGAAGAUGAUAGCAGAAGCACAUCGAGCUAUGCUUUCACCUUUGGUUCAAGGGUUUUUUCAUGGGCUUUUGUGAAGCAACAAAGUGUUGCAUUGUCCACAGCUAAGGCAGAGUACGUGAGUGCAUCAAAAGCAACGGCCCAAGCUAUUUGGCUAAGGUUUAUAUUUAGACUUUGGUGAAUUGUAGGUUGAAGCCACACUUCUAUGUGACAACACCUCUGCAAUUGCCAUGACCAAAAACCUAGUAUUUCAUCAGAGAACAAAGCACAUCAAAAGAAGAUAUCAUUUCAUCAGGGAGGCAUUGCAGGACAACACAAUCAAGCUAAUCUAUUGCAACACAGAAGAUCAAAUUGCAUAUAUUUUCACAAAAGCAUUACCGAAUCAGAGAUUCAAUUACUUGAGGGGAUUGCUUGGAAUGACUCCCAAAGGCAGUUUAGAAGGGAGUGUUAGAAGCUAAACAACUUCUGAAGUCGAAGGAUCAAAGGCAGCAUGGAGCUCCCGAGCAUGACUUCUAUCUGCAUGAAGAAGAAAGAAGAAGAAAGGGUUUUAGCCUCCAACGGCUAUUUUUUCAGUUUAAAUGUAUGUGUAAGUGUGUGAGUGACAAAUGUACAUUCCAGAUUAGAUCACUUAAAACUCAAAUGAAGGGCUAGGAUUUAAUCUGGAGUAAGGAUAAAAGAGUUGUUCAAGUCUUUUGUCAAUCACUACCUUAAGCAAGCAGUCAUGGCAAUGCACCAUACCCUACAAGAUUUCCUCUACUUAAUGAAGUUAUGGCUGCUACAUUUCUUACACAGCCUUUGAAGCCGUCAAUCACAUGUCCAAAUCCUCUCCAUUCUCUGCUAUUCUAACGCUAAGAAACCGAUCCAAACUAUCAACCAAAACAUCUAAACAAACAAACUUUAUCAUGCUCAAGGUAAACAAUUUCAUUUCCCCCUUUUUAAAAUUUUUGAAUUACAAGAAAAGUUUGAAUUUGAGGUUCGGAUUCGAAGAUUACUGCUUCUUGUAGUUUUAAUUUUAUUUUCCAGUCCAAGAAAAUGUAGAAUUUGGAGAUUUUCUAAUUUGAUUGCAUCCCUCUUUUUCUUCAGUUAAAACCCUAGAGAUGAUUGCAAGCGAGGUGGAUAGUGAUGUGAGCGACAAAGGUGGGUAAUCUCUGCAAUUCUUGCCCUUUUAAUUUUGUAAUAAAAUUAGGAAUUGUUGCUACUGAACUGAGUUGUGCGGAUGAAGGAGAAAUGGAAAAUCCGGAGUUAUGCCCAAAAUGGAUAGCUUUGCUGACUAUGGAGAAAGCUUGCUUAUCUACUAUCUCUCUUGAAGGUCUGAGUCUGUUGAAGCUUAUGGUUUUCUGGUUAUGAUACAUAUUUUUAUGCAUUAUUUAGUCAGGAUCUCAAGCUUUUGGCCUGAACUUUCAGAAACCACUGGUGCAGUAAGGAAGUUGGGGGGCAACUUUAGGGAAAAAUUACGAGAGCGUAGAGGUCUUGAUGCUGUAUUUGAGGUGACCAUGGAUUGCCAUUCCAAUUUGGAGGUGUGAACCUGUAUGUUUGUUUGAUCUCACUGUGUGUUUCAUUAAAUGUUAAAAGAAUACCAAGGGACCGUAAUGCUUUAAAUAGUUAUGAGAGAUAUUUACUUCACUAUGCUACUCCAAGAAUAAUUUGUUGGUUCACUAUGUAAAUAAUAAAUUUCUGUGCAAAAAAUAAUGCAUGUGUUGGUAAAGAACCAAAAUGAUGGUGUGCAGCCUUAGUUGUAUCUAGAUUCACAAGUUUCUUCUGUUCUGUAACCUAUAUAUUUCUUCAGUUUAUGAGCAACACUGACUACACUUUGGUAGUUUUAUAGUAACAAAUGGGCAGUUAUCUAUUUGCCUUUGGAUAGCGUCAUCUUCUUUAUUGUUCGUUGUAGUUCCUGAUUUUCUUCUUGGAGUAAUAUGAGUGGUUUUGCAUGCGAACAGUAUCACUUCUCAGUCAUUGAUUUGUUUUCCUUACUUAUUAUGUGCACAUCAUACACAUUGAGUUAUGAUAACCAAAAUUCCUUAGACAUAGUAUAACUUUUUCAUUUAUAUACUUACCUUUUCCACGCUUUUCUUCUCCUUUUUUGACUUUACAAUGAAGUGAUUGAGCUUAAGGGCAACAUCCGAGUUUUCUGCACAUGUAGACCUUUGAAUCAAACUGAAAUUUCACGCGGAUCUGGUUUCGUUGUUGAAUUCGAAUCCUCCGUAGAUAAUGAGUUGCAGGUCAUUUGUUCUAAUCCUCGAAAAAGCAGUUCAAGUUUGACCAUGUCUUCAGACUUGAGGACAACGAAGGUAGUUGAGAACGCAUACCGAUUUUGUAAUUGCACUAUCUAAUACUCCACAGUUGAUUUUGUUAUGAUGGAUAACAGUGCUCAGUUUUUUUGUUGUUGAUAUUUUCGGCCUAUGGUCUGAUUGAAGUUGGAUUUGCUCGAGUUUACAGGUCUAUGUGUGCAGCAAGCAAAAUCCUUUCAUUCAUAUGAGCUUCUUGGCCUCUUUACCUUGGUCAGUUUUCUUAAAUUGAUUUCUUGAUUUCUGUUGUUGAACGUUUAUCUUAAAUUGAUUCCUUCCAGCUUAUUUCUGUCUGCAGCUUUUCUUUUGGCUCCAGAAUAACAUAUGGAGACAUAUCAUCUUUCUCUUCUCUCUCUAUCUGUCUUUCUCUCUGUAUGAGCGUUGUCUCUCUCUUUAGGAGCGCACCAUCAGGGGCCGUAAUUAAAUCUUAUCGUUUUGCUAUAUUUCUCUUACUUUUGAGUAUUAUGAGGAUGAGAUUUUAGACUCAUCAGCGACAAAAAAAAGUUGCUUUCAUUUUAUAGGAGUGAAAGAUUUGAUUUUUCAUGCACUUAUCUUUUAAUUUUAUUUGUUUAUUUAGUUUUCCCAAUAUUUUCAUGCACUGAACUUUUUUUUUUCAUGAGUUUUUAUUAAGCUUUGUGACUUUUUUUGUAUUGGUUGAUUUCUAAAUUACUAUAGUUAAGAAGAUUAGUGCAUUUAUAAUUUGCUGCUUAGCUUAACAUGAUCCUUCAAUAAAAUUUGGGUCUUAGUUAAAGUUAGGUCAUAUUUUUAAGAAAGGUAAAAACUAAGGAAAUUUUCUGCGUAAGUCCUGCUCAACUUUUGUUGGCAAAUUGGUCUUUGCCAAUAAAUGUUAUUUUUGGGUGCUAACUGUUUUGGUCUUUAUAAAUUCUGGUAGUGGUGAUUUCUUCUACACUUAUGAUGUGACAACGUUGUGUAAUGAUUGUAGGUUUUUGAAAAAUUUGAGCUUCACAAACUAUGGAAAAAGAAACAAGUUUUGCUGAAAUCAAUUUAAAGGCACAAUAACAAAGGUAUUAAAAAAAUCUCUUGGAUGAUGUAAUUUGGUUUGGAUUUGUAAUGUAUGCUUUUCAAUGUGGAUUAAUUGUUUAAAUAAUUUUAGAUUAUGUUGAUUGUCCAUCACCCUGUGUUGUUGUUGGACCAUGAGGUGGAGCUGGCGGUGAUCAUCUCUCAGAAACCUCACGAUGUUUCGCAGUCCACCGCCGUGGAUUACGUCAUGGGUAAAUUUGUAAUUUUUGUUACUGUUGUUUGUUAAUUAACCAUUUUUUUAAGGCUGCACCUUUUUGGUGAGCUAUCUGUUGUAUUAUAUCCUUUGUCUUUCUAUUUGGAGAUUCUUAUUUUAAUCCUACCAUAAUAGGUUACUGUAAUUGACUUUUGGAUUUGAUUCUUCACUGGUGAGAUGUUGUGGGGGCGUCAUUUGGGGGAGAUAGGGGAGGGGGUUGGUUGCCAAGAGAGGGUGAGGGCGGGUGCAUGAUUAGGGGGACAGAAAGAGAGUUGAUUGGGUGCACGGUUUGAGGGUAGGGUUGAGAGAACGAGUGUGUUGGCUGCAGAGAGAGGAUGCGGUUGAGGGAUUUUAUCUCUCCCUCUCGGUCACAUCUCUUCUUGCAUUUACCCUUUCCUUCCAUUUGGGAUUGUGUUGGGGUUUUGUUUGUAGCCUGUGAUUCUACGUGUGUUUGUUUAAUGGGUUUUUUGUUUAAAUUUUUUGGUUGUGAUUUUGGGGAUUUUGUUUGUGGGUUCGGAUUCAGCUUUAGGAGGUCGUGGUUUUUCAGAUUUGGGACUUUUCUUUGCAUUCUACGAAGCCCUCUAUAUUUAAGGUGACCAGUUUCAAAAUUCCAGAGUUUUGAUAUAGAGUGUUUGGUUUUUUUAUUAUAUUAGACUUGAAUUUGGUUUUUUGUUGUUUUAUUUUAUUGAAAUCACAGUUUGGGUUUAGACUUUUGUUUGGGUUUGAGUAUAAUUUUCUGUGCUGUUAAAUUUGAUAACUCUAAAAUUGAUUAUUGGUUUGGUUUGAUAGGUGAGGCAGAUAUAGGGGGAGAGGGAAAUUGUGGUUUCAGCACUCUCACUUCUGUUCUUGGAAGGUACUUCUUUAUAGAAGUUUCUAUGUUGAAUUCACUUUGUUUCACCUUGAAUCGUUGUCAAGGGACUGGUUGGGGAACUUUGUGGUGCACGAGGAAGUUCUUCGGGUUAUUCAAAUGUUCGGUGGUUAACUUUCCGUUUGGAGAUUCUAGAAAAUAAGUUGUAGUCAUGAAUUUUCAGUUUCAUUUAAAAUGGUGUACAACGACAUCAUAAUUCCGUGUAAAGUUUUUUGUUUUUGGGUUAGGCACUUAUAUGGUAAUGCCUCUGUUCUCUACCUCCUCCUCUGAUUCUUUUUUUUUUCUUCUUCUUCUCUUUGUGCAACUUCCAAAUUAGGUGGAAUCGGUGGAGCUUCCCACUCACCUAGGCAUCUUUCCUUUCUGAAACAAGGUCCUUCUACCCUGCGCCUUCUUCAAAUUCACUACACUUCACCCAACAGGUACCUUUAAGCCUUAAAAUUUGUCUUUUGGUUAAUUGUUUUUUCUAUUUGAAUCCCAAGAAAACUUUGUAUGUACCUUAAUCAGUAGCUGUUUUAGCUCAGCACAAACUUUAUAGGUCUGCAGUUACUUUGCUUGUUUGGAAAUUAUGUUCCUUUUUAUGCUCUUUGUUACCCAAACUGUGUCGUUUAUUUUUUGCUGGAAAUUUUUUGCAUAUUUUGUUCUUCAAUUUUGCCAGAGUUAAUUUCAAAUGCCAACUUUCCUUUUUCCUUUUUCUAGGUAAUUGAUCAUUAUGCGGUUUGUAAGUUGGAUUUUUCUAACUGGUGGAUUAUCAAAUUGAUAAAAUUGGGGAAUUUGAUUAAGGUAGUGUCAAAUUGGUGGAGCAUGAAUUAUGGCAGCGGGAAGAGAAGGGUUUAAUUGGUAUUCUUCCCGUUCAAGAUGUUGCCGAGGCAACAACAGUGGACUCUUUGUUGUCUCAAGGUGAGAUGCCUAUGAUUAAGUGAAAGUGAAAUCUAAGAGGUUUUUUGUUGUUAUUGUUGGGAAUUUACCUAAUUUUAGGAAUGGGAAGUGAUUCUGGUGAACGAAGCUCUAGAGUUCAAGUUUGUACUCAUCUCUCAUUCUUUUUUUAUAGUUAGGUUGAAAAUCAUAUCGGUAGAUUCUUUAUUUAAUUGGUCCAAUUUGUAACACAUGAGAUUGUUUUGUUCGAUGUUUCAAUCAAAAUUUAAUUUUUUUUUGUGUGCAAUUAUAAUGGAAUUGCAAGUCAAGUGUAUCUUACAUUCUUGGUUGCAUACUCACCUUCCCACAACUAUUAUAUUGUCUCUUGACUGGAUGAAUUUUUAUAAUUUCCUGGAUCUACAAUUACAAUGCUUUUUAUAAUUUCCUAGAUCUAUCAUUUUUGUUCGUUCAUGAUUAUGUUGAAUGUUUUUCAGGUUAAAUGUAUCUUAUUCAUGUAGUUAAGACUGCUGCAUUCAAGUCGCGCAGCAUCGCGUGGGCAUAUUACUAGUGAAAUCUAAAAACAAAAACAAACCCACGAUUCAAUUUUCAAAGAUUCUUGAGCUAAAUUCAAAUUCCAAGAGUUUCAAAGACAAGAAAUGAAUGAAACCCUUAGCUCUUACCUCAAAAUCCAAACUUCCCCAGAAAUUUGUUGGGUGGAAAGCCAAAUUGAAGCUUCCUAAAGAGGUUUAACUCGACAUCUGCUAAAAAUUUGCAAUCAAUUGUCUCUUUUGGGGAAACUAAGAUGGGAAGAAGGGAAAGACAAGAAGGCAAAGGGAGAGAGAGAGAGAGGGAGUAAAAGAAUUGGGGAUUAAAGAGGGUCAUAGCAUCUGCAUGCGGCACGCCUGACUGCCUGGUACUUUAUUUUUUCUGCGGUGUAGAUGCCUUACUGUUGUAUUCAGGUGGGCUGGGCCCUGUGGAUUUGGGCUUCUUGUAGUUGUGAGUAAAGGUCUUAUCUUGAUUAGGGGUUUUCGUCGAUUUGUCUCCGAAUUUGUAUAGAGCUGUUAAUUUUUCUUCGAACUUUAAUUUUAGUGAUUUCCCACUGAACUUCUAUACUUGGCCAAUUUCCCCUUAGAACUUUUAACUUCAGGCAAUUACCCCCUAAAAUUUUAUAAAUAGCCAAUUUCUUCCCUAGCAUUAGAUUUUAAAAAUUUUCAUCCAAUUUUUCAUUAUUGGCCCAAUACAGUUGUCAUGUGCUGUCUCGUGAUAAAAAUAGAUGGAAAGUUGGAUGAAAUUUAUAAAGGGGAUAAUUAACUAUUUAUAAAAGUUCAGGGGGAUAAUCGGCUAAAAUUAAAGUUCAAGGGGGAAUUGACAGCUCUAUACAAGUUCGGGGAGCAAAUUGACAAAUAUGCCUUUGAUUUUUACCCAUUUUUGGUUUAAAAUUUUUCCCAACUUCAGAAAUUUGGAAAAAAUGUCAUUUUCUCAAGGUUUGGAAAAGAGAUGGCUUAACUAUGGGUUUUCUAGAUGUUAGUGCCAUGCCCCGAUCCUAACGUACGUCCAAGAUCGACACGUGACACCACCAAAUACCCAUAUAUCUAACUUACCUAGCCUCCGGCUAUGAACAAAGCACAACUCAAGUCCCAAUUUCAUAGUAAUUGUUCAUAUGCUUUAUGACUGCAUCUAACUUCCUUGUUAAAUUGCCUACAUACCCUGAAUAGGGAUCAAGCCAUUCGUAGUUCACAUUUUUAUUUAUUUAAUUUGUCUAUCCAAAAAGAAACCACAAUUACCAAUAUCACAGCCAAAAUUCCAUAACCUUAAAUUAGCAACCUAAUCGAUUUCUACUAAAAUUACUAAACGGGAUUUGAUUUCCAAAUUCGAUGUCCUAAACCCACAUUCACUAACGUAUAUAUUUUUAUUUUAUAAACUAGGUUAGAGUGUAAAAGACGUUCUCAAAGUGCUAAACACACUACUUUUAAUCAAACUACCAAUCUUUUCCUUUUCUUUUGGUGGUUUUCUUCAAGUUACCAAAAGUCAUGCCGCCAAGCUGUAAUAACAUUAAAUUCUAACUCUAAUAAACCUUGUUAGUCAUGAAGGUAGUAUGUAUAUUAAUUAUCAAUGAACCAUGCGAAAACUGAAUGCACUUCGCCAUAUUUUUCUUGACAUUACAUUAGUUUGUCAGAGAAUCGAUCAAUUAUUGGACUUACACAGGAUGAUCAAAUAUGAUAUAUAUCUCCUUCAUGUAAAUGGUAAAAGACUCUCAAACUUGCUAUGCAUAAUUGGAACGAACAACUGAAAAAUCAAACAAUUAAUUUCUAUAUACUCACGUCUAAGAAAGAAAACAACGAAAGGAAAAAUAGAAUGAUCACCAACCCAUAUAGUUGAAAUUGUCAGUAUCAAGUGAACUAUGCAAACAAAUGAUCAUCAUACUAAAAAUCUAAACCAAAUAAUAAAAUUUAUCAAUUAAUUUGAGAGGAAAGUAAAGGGAAAAGGAAGAAUUGCCUACCUCCUGAUUUUGGAGAGAAAGAAACGCAAUAGGGGGAGAGAGAGUAGCAAGCUAGAUUAAGGAACCCAGAACAAUGAUAUAGAGAUAUUUUUGUGGGAAGUUCUCUCUCCUUCUUGAUUCCUCCUCCUCCCUUUUCCCCCUUCUUUCCUUUAUUUUGUUUUCUUCCUCUUUCCCGAUCCUUCUCUGACACACCCUGACCCGGAAUGUCCACUAGGACUCCUAAUCAAGCUGCGCUGACUGACACCUAGAAGGUGACGAAGCCAUAAAGUGAUGAUGUGGAAAAAUGUGAAUAAAUUUAAACCUAAGAGUGCCCAAAGUGCGCUGGUGAGCGGGAAUGAACCCACUUCACACGUAACGUUAGAGCAUAAGUAAGUACAGUAGAGUGAAUUAAAAAUCGUACUCUCGAAAGAAUCUCCAAUAAUAAGAAUCGCCACAAAUCUUCGAUGAUAAGAAAGUUCAGCUAAUAAAACCUGGAGGGUGAAAACAAAACAAGGGUGAGUGACCCUAGAAAUAAAAUUUUAAUAGAAACCAUAUAAAACAUUAUAACCACUACUAGCAUGCAAGUCGGGAAGAUCCGUAUAUUGAAUUCCCAAUUUGUAAGUUCCUAUGAUCCUUAAAUAUUAUGUACUAUAACGUAUUAAAGUUUGGUGACGAUCCAACGGUCAGAUCGUCGAUUCAUACAAUGACCUAUUAACGUAACGUAGAUAAUUUAGAUCCCAACAAUCAACCCGUGUCAUACAAUUACAAAAACUGAACUCAAGGCAUCUAAUUAGCCUAAGAAUAACAUCAAUGCCCCCUGGCCACGCGCCACCGCACACACCGCUGUGGGUGGCGGUCGGCCGCCCCGACUCGCCGGAAAAUCCAACUAUUUCCAAAAAUUACCACAAUUUACAUAAAUGAAGAUCUCAUUGAGUGGAACAACUUUUAUACCUGUGACGAAGUCCAAAAGUGGAUGGAAGAUGGUCAAUUUUUCCCAUGAAGCUGGCGGGUGCCUAAAACUUCCCGAUGUCGAUUUGUCGUCUACAGUGGUCCAAUGGGGUCAAGGUUGGUUGGGUUUUGCUCCUGGGAUGAUGGGCUACAAAGCCCAAGUGGUGGCAUCGGCCAUCGCUUUGCCGAUUUGCGGGAAAAAUAAAAAAGGGUGGCCGGAGCACCGUGAGAACCGUCAACUUUCGUGGCCUCAAACCGCCACAUACAGAGGAUAAUCAAGGUGGUUCUUGGGUGGGUUUUGUAGAGGGGAAUGAGAGCUUCAAGAUGGCAGUGGUGGUGUCGAAUAAUUCCACCGUAGUUGGCUGGAAUCAGCCUUGGAAGUUGGGUGGUCAUGGUGGUGGCGUGCACGGGAAAGUUGGGAUCUUUCUCCUUUUUUUUUUCCUCUGAUUUCUGAUUGGGCUGCUAUCCUUUUUCUACCUUUUAUCUAAUUGGUCCUCCUUAACCAAUUAAUUAACUUUAAAUAACCAACUUCAAACGUUCGUAACUAUACCAUUAUAAUCCGGACUCACAAAUGGCUUUCGCCUAUGUGUUCGUACCAAUGAGUACUACUUAAAUACGCCAAAAGAAUAAGUCAUAUGUUCCUCUAGACGAUGGUCAACAGAAAUCAAAAUCCUUGCCUCUAGGCAUUUUCGUCAAUUCCCUCGAUUGAAAUAAAUAAAAAAUGAAAUUUUAGGGACGGGUUGUCACAUUCUCCACCUCUCCUCUCUUUUUUUUUCUUCUUUCUUUCUUUUUUUAUUUUUUUUUAUUUUUUUAUUUUUUAUAUAAAAUUAUGGAUGGGUUGUAACAGUUAGUGAUACUUUUAAUCGUGUCAAAUUUUUUUCUUGUGGGCUUACAUCUUUUGUUCGUAUCUCAUGAUAAAGUUGGCGCGCUCUUAUCUCUAUGUACUUGACAUAUUCAUUGGCAGUUUUGUGUGCAUAGUCUUUAUAGAAGUGGUCACUAAUUACUUGAUUAUUUGCAGUUUCUCUUUGAAAAUGGUGCUACUUGUAUUCAAUUCAAAGCGUGGGUGCUCCCUUACUAAUCGCAUUGGUAGUUUUGUGCAAAAACAUCUCUUAUGUGACAGGAAUUGAAGAUUUUCCUACUUGGCAUUUUCUCAUUGGUUCACCUACCAAGUAAAUAGUAACUACUAACCUGACUUUUCAAUGAGCUUGACUAUUGCAUUUAGAAUAUAGCAAAAUUCAAAAUUCAUUAGGAUAAAACUUGCUAUCACUGCAUUACAGUAGGCAAUGCUGUCAAACUAGAAUUUUUUUUGAAGAAGGAAAUGAACAAAACAAAACUAGCAUGAUUGUUUACUAACAUAAAAUCCCAAAAUCACUACAAGUGAAAAUUUUCUAUCAUGAUAUACAUUAUUUAUUGGGAGAAAGGGAAAAAAAAACCAUUUUAUGGUAGGAAAAUGAGUUAGAAUAAAACUAGGUUAAGUGUUCGAUACUCUUUUAUUAUAAUAAAAAAAUGAAACAAGGAACACUCUAAGGAAAAUCCUUGCAUGCCUAUCAAAGACGAGUCGAUAAUGAGUGAACCAAAAUUAAUUGGAGUUUGUACUUGAAAUUGGAUAAAGUAAUACAUUAGUUACAUGAUCAGGGUCAUCCAAUAAAUUGGCAUCGAACUCACUAUUUUCAAAAAUCACAUAUAGUUAAUAAGAACAGUGCUUGACGAUAACACUAUGUCAUCACAAAUAAUUAAUUAAAAGGCUUAAAUAUCAAAAUGGUCUCUGCGUUAUAGUUAUAUGGCAAAUUUAGUCCCAUGUUUUUGAUUUGGCUAAUUUAGUCCUCGUGUUUGUUUCUGUUAGCCAGUUAAGGACAUUUCAUUCAAUCUCUUUUAAAAAAUCAUAAGAAAAAUCAUAUGAGAAAUAAUUACCCUUUCUCUAUACAAAAAAUACAAAUCAAUGAGUAAUAACACAUAUAAGAAAUAAAACUUCUAAUCUGAAAAAUGAUUAAGCUUGUGACAUAGAAAAUAUAGGGGGUAAAAAUAUUAGGGAGGAGGUCGAAGAGUUGGAAGAAGAAUAAUUUUUCUUUUAAUUUUUAAUUUUAUUUCAUUUUAAAUAUUUUAAAUCAAAUAAAUUAUAAUUUAACAAAUAAGUUUAUAAUAGGAAAAAUUACAUAUAGAGUAUACUUUUAAUACUUAAUUGUAUAUUGAGACAACACUUUAACAUUUCAAAGAGAGACAAAAGUUAAUACAUGUGAAAAAUGAUAUUAUUGCCUUUUUUUUUUUCUCUAGAGUGUAAGUUACAAAAUUACCCUUUAUAGUGGAAAAGUUUUUUUCACAUUUAUAUCUCUUCAACCGUUGCGCUUUUCUCUCUUCAAGAAAUAUUGGUUCCAUUUAAUUUUUCAAAUGAAUGAAUGAACUUGUGGAUCUACGACCUCUACCCAGUUUACCAUCCCAUUCUCAGUCCUAGUUGGACAAUUAUAGUUCCCAUCUAGUUUUAAUUAUUUGUUAGAUGGGUUUAAUUCCCUUCUUUUUUCCCUUUUCAAGUUAAAUGUGCCUUGAAAUUGGAUUGAAAGAUGUUCUUGGUGCUUUACAGUAUAUAAUAUUCAAAUCAAACACGAUUUAUCACAUAUAACCUUCCAUUUACCAAUUUAAGAUGAGUUUCAAAUCAAACAAAUUCUGAAUUAGAAGAUCUUUGCCUUGCUUCUCUCCCCCAAAAUUCUACUGUUUUAUUUCAAUCUCUGUUAACGAAAAAAAAUUCUAUCAAAAAUUCGAAUUUGGAAAAUGAAAAAAAUAAUACAAGAACUGGAUUUUGCAAAUGAAAAUUUAUUGAAAACACCUAUGACUUAAUAAACCAAAAUAUGAAUUAGUGAAAUUUAGUAAACAGUGUCAUUUAUCAAAGACGGGUUGAGCUGAUUCUACAAAAAUGGUCAAGGACGGGUUGAACUGCUGCAAAAAUGGUCGAAGAUGGGAAUUGAUUCUAAAAAAAUGUCGAUGACAGGUUGAAUUGAUUCUGCAAAAAUGGUUGAGGACGAGUUGAAUUGAUUAUGUAAAAACGUUGAACUGAUUCAACAAAAAUGGUCGAGGACAGGUUGAACUAAUUUAGCAAAAUGGGUCGAGGAUGGGUUGAACUGCGUUGAACUGAUUCUGCAAAAAUGGUCAAGGAUGGGUUGAAUUGAUUCUACAAAAAUGGUCAAAGAUGGGUUCAACUGAUUCUGCAAAAUUUGUCGAUGACAUAUUCAAUUAAUUAUGCAAAAAUGGUCGAUGAAUGAUUGAAUUGAAACAAACUGGUUCUGCAUAUAGUUUCAAAACCGAUUCUACAGAAAUAGUCGUAGAUGGGUUAAGCUUAUGGCACAUUAAUUUUGUUGGAGUUAUGAAGGUUGUGUUCUAUUAUUAGCUCUAAAGCUUUAAAGCUAUGACUGGUAUUUUAAAACAUUGUUUCCAUGUUUUUGGGCUAGGCUUUAGUUGUUUUUAUAUUUUUGUCUCUUCUUAACAUGCUUAAAAACUAGUGGAGUUCCUUGAAAUAUAGUAUUGUCUCUCUAUAUAGGUCCUUUUUUUUUCUAUUAUAAAUAAACGGUCCAAAUUUAAUUUAGAGUUUCUUAUUAUAUAGUCCUCAAAUUGAAGGUUAUAUUAUAGAAACUUUUCCAUUACAUUGAAGAUGCUCUAAGAAAGACAUCCAUCACUUCUACCUCUUGUAUGAUUUUAUUUUGGUUGGUUAGUUUUGUUUCUAACCUUAGCAGAAUAAAGUUAGAGAAAUUGAAUUAUAUGGUUUUACAAGAGAUAAUCCUAAAGUGGGAACGAAACUCCCAUGAAAAAAAUGUAUAAUAACUUAAAUAAGUAUGGUGGCAUAAUGUUUAGUUUAUGCACGUUUUUUCAUUUGAUUAAUCAAAUAAGUAAAAUCUUUUUUAAACUAGAACCAGAUUAUAAUCAUGAAUAAAAUCCUUUGAUUAUUGUAGUAAACAAUAAAACAACGAGUGACCAAGUUAAUAGCAGUCGCAUGUCCCUUUUUUUUAAUAGCAUUUUGUACUGCUUUGUGCCACAGCAACUCCAACCUUUUGUUUUCUCUUCCACUCAAAGGGAUCACUCUGUGUCGUCUGUGUGCUUUUAUUUUUUUAUUUUAUUUUAUCAAACUUUUUUUAGUUAAAUUAACGGAAUGACUAAAAUGAUUUGCAGUGGACAAACUUAUAGAACCACUUCUAUAUGUUUUCAUUGUCAAAUGACCAAAAUAAAGAGUUAUGCCAAUCUCAGAGACCAUUUUAGUUAGCUUGUUUUCUUUCGUUUUCGUAGUUAGUUUGUGUUUAUUGUAGUGAUUUAAGCUAUUUUCGUGUGUUUAUAGGUCCAAAUGACAAAGUUGGCAAGAAAGUGCAAUUUGGAGCAGUUUUGGGCAUUAAAUGGAUAGCACAUGUAUGGGCCAAGAUGGAUGGAUGUUUUUGGAGUUCAAAAGGCUAGGAAUCUGAUAAGGAGAUGAAGAAAUUAAAUUAAAGACAGAGAAGAUAAGGAAUCAGCUCAAAAGAAGGAGAUAUUAUCCAAAAUCUUAUCCAACCUUAUCUUAUCCAAACAAACAUUAUCUUAUCCUAUCAUAUCCUAAUCUUUUCCUAACUUAAUUCCUACUACAAGGGGGAGUUAAUUUCUUAUUUAAAUCACCUAGAAACCUUUCUAGAAGACCUUAUAUGUUCCUACAUUGGUGUUGCAUGUUUUUAGGCCUUGUUCUUCUAGAAAUCAGCCACAUAACAUUGUUUCUAGAAUUCCCUACAAAAGUGGCGCCCCAAACCCUUAUAGAAACCCUAAAAUCUGCAAAAACCCUAGUUGUUUCCCCCCUUGGAUUGAGGCCCAAGCCUUUGCCGAAAAUCUUAAGCCUUUUCCCAUCAGAAUUUGUCAAAACCCUAGACUAUAAAUAAGUGUUUUCAGCCACAAUUUUGUAAACCACCCCUUACCAUUUAGAAACACAACCUGCCGCACCAUAAACACCAUUCUACAACCCUUUUCUGCAACUUUGGAGAAGAAUGAGUCUAGUCGUGCCUUCCAUUGAUGAAGGAGGACCUUGUGCACAAGCCACCUGCAUCCUUAGAAGUUCUAAGAGUUCUUUCUUCCCUCGUUUUAGUUUCAAUGUUUAUUUCAAUUUGCUUUUCAAUUGAUGUGAACAUGUGUAACUAAGCUCUUAUUAGUUAGUGGUGAAUUCGAAGCCAUGGACAUAUGUUAAUAUGAAUUGAUUCCUUUCAAUUAUUGUUUCGUAAAACAUGAAUGUGAUUUACUUAUCUAUUUGAUUGAUAACUUAUUCUUGUGUGUUGAUUAAGGAUGCAUACUUAGUUUGCAUGCAUGAAUUUGAUGCUAAAUUAUAAGGAACUUUCACCUAAUCGUUAGGAACUUAUAAUGACAAGUAGUGAAGAUUGUUAGUCACAAUCGUGUUAAGUAGAUUCUUGGCAAGAGUAUUAUGCAGUUCAUAGUUAUAAUUACCUUGUCAAUGCUUAUGAUUUCCAUGGAACUUAAUGAUCUUUGAAUGUAUCUCUAUCAUGUUGUUCAUAUAGGGAACUUGAUGAGAAUAAUUUGGUUGUGAUGCAUUGUCCAUUCAAUUCAAUGAAUUUAGGGAAAUCUAAGAGUUAAUUUGUGCAUUCAUGAUUAAUUUGCGGCAUUGUCGUUCAUGGUUUAAAGAAACUGGAAAUCGAUUUAUGUUGCAUAUGUUUAUGUGUGGAGAAGGACUCUCUAACUAGCCUUUUUCACCAUUCAAUUCACCCAAUUUCAUACCUAGUUUGCUUUAGUUUACAAUCUAUUUAGUUUAAUCAAAUUCGUCCAAAUCAACCCCCCUUUCAAUUAAGUGUCUUAGAUUAGUUAAAAAAGUAUUUAAAUCUGUCUAAUUUAGUGUUUUGAGUCUCACUAGUGUUAAAUUCGUCCAAAUAGUUCUUAGAACUUGUUUUGAGUCUUUUUAGUUUGUUUUGAGUUCUUUGAGUCUAGUUAAGUGUUUUUAAGUCUAGUUUUGUGUUUUUGAGUCAUAUUUGUGUAGAUUAGCAGCCCUAGUUAAUCCCUGGCCUAGAACGAUCCCUACUUUCAUAUACUACAACUAUCUUAAUAGGGUUUAAUUUGUGUGUUAGAAUAUUUCACAUCAGAAGGUCCGUAUAAGAUUAGCAGAGUAGGAGGCAAAAGUAAUUACACCAUCGCCACCAUGAAACAAUAAAAAGAUCGAAAAGUAGUGGAGCGCCUACAAUCUGAGGAAGUAACAUGUGUGACCUCUUGCUAAAUCAAAGCUCGAAGACUCAAGAAGCUAGACGGACACCACUUCACAAGCCGAGGACUAUCCAGUUGUUAUGUAGUUCCUACCUUACAACUAAGUUCUUGUUCGUUUCACUCGUUUUUCAAUGAGGAAUUCAGAAGUAAUCACAACUUGGCUCAGCUGCAUGCUUACAACAACUGAUCAUUCAUGCACUUCAAAAGAAAACUGCACCCUUCUUAGGGACUCAUCACAGGAAUUGCACCCCCCGAGGGGACCAACCAUGCUCUCUAGUGCUACAGGGUAAACCAAUUCCCCGACACCCACAUGGGCCAGCUCUCUAAAACGGGAGGAUAAACUUUACACUUCGAAUAUCUAGAUAUGGAUGAGCUUGGCUACCCUAGUAUAACUAGAUGCAUGAUGGCUUGUGUUGGGAUUCCUAGAAGUAGCCACAAAGGUCUUUUUCAAGGCUUAACUAAUUGAAGGAUUUUGGGUCUCUUAGCCUAAUCCGUGGGGAAUCGGGCCUUAGAGACGGAGGGGGCACAUUACACAAUACGCCAUACAGACGACUGCCCUAGAACCCUAAAGUUGCUACCGAGUGCACUAAGGUAGCCUACGGUUUCGGAAGAUUACCUACGGCUUGCCUUUCGAGCAGUAAAACCAUGCUAGACUUAUACAACCGCACAUUCUUGUGAAAGUUUAAACAAGCUAGCGUGCAUAUACGAAGCUUUAUCCACUACUGACAUGCUACAUAGUCGAUAAGCUUCACCUCUGGCAAGCAGAAAACAACCUAAACCAAGUCCUAAAGUUUUGUGAUACUUGCUACGCAGCCGAUGGAAUUGGAGAAAACUAAGGUUAACAGCCUAGUGGUUACGCAAACUUGUCUACUUCUGUAAGUAAGGCAUCUGGUUGCCAACCCUAUGGCUAACAACUUUGCAAAGUUCUACAACACUUACAACUGCAUAGGUUACGUGGGCCUAUCUGCUUAUAGAAAAGUAUCACAUCUGCCACUGGUCUAUAAAGUCUAAAGGUUAGGGCAUGAACAAAAGAAGUGAAGAUGAAGAAAAGCUAAGGAAACAUGUUUGUAAACAACUUGCAAAGGCCGAAUGAGUUCAAACAAAACAAAAGCUACAAGGAAAAACAAAGAAAAUCCUAAAGGCUACCUAGAAGACUACACUUCAGCAGCUUGGACAUCCCACGACUACUCAGUCGCCACACCUUCAGCAGCCACGACGCUCUUAGCAGUGGCAUCAUCCAGCGCUUCACCCAUGGCUGCCCCAGCCUGGGCACCAACUUCUCUAACUACUCUAAAAGUAAAAGUAAGCAAGUCUUCCGGAGAAAUAGAGAAGGUCUAGAAACCUCAAGCCAAUCCGUCUCACCCUUUAGCUGCUCAUCCUCCUCGAGCAGUCCAACACGAACGCGCUGCAACUCAUCCACUUCCUUCUUCAGACUUUCGUUGAUCUUCAGUACACCUUGAAGUUCAAGCACUUGGGCUUCAAGCCUAUCGACGAUUCUCUUGAAGUGGAUCACUUGAUUAUAAGAAGCAAUCAAUUCUUCAUCAUUUGCAUAAACAGCGAAACGAAGCUCAGAAACUGCAAACUCAAGAUCUUGAAUCUAAGGUAUGCAACAUCCAAUCUCCUUCUUUGCACUUUCAUACUUAACUUGGAUUGCGUCAAGCUUAGUUUUCAAGUUAACAAUAUCUUAGCGAGCGGUCUCAAGCUGCAGAGAAGUAGGGGCAGAAAUAUUAGACCCUUUUAAAGCAACGAGCUCAGAAUUCAGCCUCUUGAUCUCCUCAGUUGAGGUAUAAGCUUCAGCUACCAUAGUUUUCGCCACCUCAUUGGUAACCUUACUAUAUCUACAUCAUAACAAGUAGAGCAGUCGCUCUAUAUUGGGUCGUAUACUUCGCCAAGGAAUUUGGGUAAACAAACCUUUCUAAACGCCAUAAAAAAACUUGGCACAAAUGUCUAUGUCUUCAAGCAGAUCUGGUUUCAAGAGCACACAGAUCUCAGCAACCUCCCCAGAAGCAAGCUUAGUAGAUUUCUCAUAGCUGCCCACGCGAGCAGUUUCCUCCUUCCCAGCAGGCGAAUCUGUUUUAGCAGUAAAAGGAGUGGGCCUUAUCGCCAUUUUAGCAGUAGAGACCACCUUAUCGUUCUUCAUAAUAGUAAGCAUUUCCAAAGGUGAACCGGACUUGGCUCUCAAUGGACGUCUUGGUACAGACUUUGGCACUAAGGGCAUAAUAUGACCUUUACGUUGAGCAACAUUAUCAACAAUCGUACAGGCCAUUCUCAACAUGGUAGGCGCCAUAUGCUCAGAUCUCACAGCCUCAUUUUUCUUCCCAUUGGAAGAAGUCAUGCCAAUCACAGGACUCUCGGCAGCAGGUGGACCCUUACAAACAGCGAAGGAAGUUUUCAGUUUUCUCAACCGACAUCUCUUGAGCAGGCAAGGAGGAUCUCGUCUGUCCACCUUCAUUCAUAAUAGGCUUCAUGACAACAUUCAGACGAGCCAAUGCAUCUGCCUCGAUCCUAUUUACCUUCUCUCUCGAAGGGAGCUCAACCUAUACUGACUUUUCCUUCAUUUUUUUUUCUCUCAGACCAGCAAGCAGGAGGCUUACAUGCCCAACAUUCUAGCAGUCCAUGAGGCUCGCGACCUUUUCAUUUCUCUCAAUGUCAGCCUGGCCCGCGUUAGGACCAAGAGCCCAAAGGACAAAAACCAUGCGACUCGCCUAGCACUGCGGCCCAGUGCCUCAAUUCUCGGCCCCAGCCGCAUAAGCUGCCCUUGGCACUAGCCAUGCCCUUGGCACUAGCCAAGCCAAGCGGCCUAAGCAGUGGUCCCUGCCACAAAGCCUUCUUAGCCCAUGUCGAGUCGACUCCUGGCCCCUACCACCUGACGUGCCGCACCACCCCAACGGAUACCCCGCGACCGCACUAUCCAAGAAGAAGACAAGGAAAAUUAAUUUUUUCUUACUUCGGUGCGGCGCGAAGAAGACGAAGAAAACAACGAAAGACAGUCUUUUGCACGGGCAAGAUGUAGAAGAUUGCUAGUGGAGGGGGAAUAAAUAUCCUCUAAACUCUCCCUCUCUCUCUUGUAGGGUAGAAUAAAUUGCUCUCCAAAGUUCAUUUAAUAACCCACUUAAGGUGGACUUAAAUAGGCUUUGAGAGAAAUUUAUUUCCCUUCCCUAGAAGGAUUUAAUUUCAAAUUAAAGAGAGAAUCAACAUCAAAAUAGAAAAAAAUCUUAUGUUUCCUCAAGCAAGAGGAUCUCUACACCUGCUGCCCUUUCCUACUAGCAGUCCAACAGGUGUGGGGGCAUUUGUGGAGCCAAAAAUAAUCACAAGGCGACAUGUGGAAUUUUGGACAAAAGAGGACAAAAUUACCCUAGAGUCACACCAGAUUUCCUACGCGUGAGUAGUUAAUGCGAAAUAUAUAAGCACACAAAUUAAACCCUCUUUUUAUCAAUUGUAGCAAAGUAUGUAAGUAGGGAUCAUUCUAAAACACUUAAAACUGACUCAAAAAUGUAAAACAAAGUUUAAAACACUAAACUAGACUCAAAGAAUGCAAAACUAAACUAUAAAACACUAAAACAAACUCAAAAGACUCAAAACAAGCUAAAAACACUCAAAACUGCCUAAAAACACAAACUGGGCAGAUUUGGACUCUAAACAUAAUUUUGGACAAACUUUGGGUUUUCCUUGACUCAAAACACUUAAAAACACAAUCUAAACAGAUUUCAACUAGUUAGACACUCUAAAGUAAAAGGGGGUUUGGUUUUGGAUGAAAAUCAAGUAAAAUAAAACAAGAAAGACUUAAACAGAUUUUAGACGAAAUUGGGUGAAUUAGAUGAAUGAUUGGCUAGCUAGGAGGUUCUUCUCUACACAUGUCACACUUGCAUACAAAACGAUUUCCAAUUGCUUUUCAAUAAACCAUGAAUUCCCAACGCCCCAGAUUAACCGUGAAUUGCACUAAUUAACCCUCAGAUUUUCCUAAAGUUAUUGAAUUGGAUGAUUGCAUACGACAACCCAAAGUAUUCCCCACAAGUUCUCCACAUGAAUUGUAUAAUAGAGAUACAAGCAAAGAUCAUUAAGUUCUAUGAAAAUCAUAAGCAUUGAUGAGGCACUUGUUACUAUGAAUUGCAUGAAACUUAUGCCAAGAAUUUGAUUAACACGAUUGUGAUUAGCAACCUUUACUACUCUUGAAUAUAAGUUCAUAACAAUUAGGUGAAACUCCCUUAUAUCCUAGCAUCAGAUUUAUGCAUGAAAAUUAAGCGUGCACUCUCAACCAACACACACAAAUCAGUUUUAAUUCAUAUAGAUAAGCAAAUUGAAUUUACAACUUAUGAAACACAACUGAAAGUAAUCAAAUCAUAUAGCUUUUGAAUUCACAACUUAUGAAACACAAGAAAAUGGCUUAAAAGACUAACUUAACUAAGAAAACACAACGUAAAUGCACAAGAACAAGCUCACUAAGUCGCAUAAAUAUGCUCCUAUCAAAUUCCCCCACACUUAGCUUUUGCUAGUCCUCGAGCAAAACAAAGAAACAAAAGAAAACAAAACGAAACAAAACAAACAAAACACAACCUAAACCCUCCAACAUUUGCCUCAGGGAUUUCCAAUGCACAUGACAUGUUAAAAAUCAUUAUUCCCACAGAUUUUAGUCAUCUUCACACACAAGCACAUACUUAAUCAUAAUCACCACUUACUAGUUCACAUUUAACCAAUUAAAACGAUGUUUUGAAUGUAGUAACAUGCCUUAGAGAAUUCGGUCAAUUCCUUACAAGAUAUGCACUCAAUUUUCACUCAGAUUUUUUUACUACACACCCUAUACUAGUUAUAUGUGAGAAGAUUGAUGUAGACAUGAAAACGAACGCUCACAUAUAUGUAUAACAAAGAAAGCAAUUUCUUGAGUUAGUAAGCAUGUUAGAUAUGAUCUCAUAAAUGGAAUGCUACUACUUAGAUGCGAGAACCAGUGACACCAUAUGCUCAUACCAAAUUCAAACUCCACAAAUUGAAACACACAACACUCAAGAUUGAAGUCAAGGGUUGUAAUGGGGCUUGGGGUAUUGGUUAAGAAAGAAUAAUAGGGAUAACAAACGUUCUUAAAGCACUAGCAAGCAAAGUAAUGAAAUCGAAACUUCAAAUUCAAUUUCGACCGCAGAAAUCAACUUUUGACACAAAGGAAAGAGUCAUACAACACUUAGGGCCGAAUUUAAUGUUUUGGACCCUAUCUUCAACAAACAACACUUUAGAGCUCUUUUUCACAUCUUUUUCAGCUAUUUUCCAUACUUUUCACAACUUUUCUUUUUUUCUUUCUAUUUUCCACGAAUUUUUCUCUCUUUUUUUUUCCUUUUUUUUUCUACCCGUGCCACAUGAAAGACUUUGGCACACACACACAACAAAUCCCUUCCCCCACCCUUGUUUUCUGCAAUACAUUGAUCAAAAGGAAUUCAUCUUGAGUCAUGCUUUACUAUGCUUCAAGAACAAGGGUAUAGAUGGUCCUAAUCUAGGCUAGGUGAGGAUAGUGUGGGUUAACAAAGAACAUAGGCUACACAAGGCUCAAUGGGGGUAACUUAAACAUAUAAUGAAUUAGGGCACACGACAAUUUGGCUUUGGUGGUCACUACACAACUUCAUCUUGAAUAUGUGUUAUGCAAUCAAUAGCAUGCUUUGAAUGAAAUGGGCAUGAGUUCUAGCAUUUGGAACUAAAUGAUGAAACGCCUUCUAAGUAGUAACCAAGCAUAGAAUAAUGAGAUCAUGCAACGACUUUAGAAAACAACAAUGCACAGAUUAUUAACUCUCCAAAUAAACGUUUAGGCUCAAGUCUCACAAGGUUGUAGCUUAAUUUGAGUUCCUUCCUUCAAGCAUGUUACAAAAACUGAUUUUUUUCUUUAUGAUUGCAUGUGAAUUCAUAAGUUAUAACCACAACCAAGCAUAAGCCAAAGAGUAAAUCAACUUUCAUCCAUGUUUAUAACUCUCUUUAACAGUCAUGCAAUUAAAAACCGAAUCUUCAUCAUUGUGUUGGAAGGUACCCUAAGACACAAACAAACACACAAACACAACUAAAAAACAACUUUUUUUUUGGGUUUUUCAAAACAAUUUUUCAAAUUUUUAUGAGAUUUUCGGAUUUAUGUCAAAACACACUAAAAUGCAUCAAAACAGCUUAAAAACACUUAAAAACAGCAAGGAACAACUUUGGAAGUUAUGGGUGAUAAAAUCCCACGAAUUUGCAUCAAAAGCACUUAUUUACCCCCCACACUUAAAUCAAACAUUGUCCUCAAUGUUUCAAGCAUAAACUCACCCAAAAACACAUAAACAAACAAACAACAACUAAACAACUCAACAUGGCAAAAAUGAAAUAACAACAAAGAGAAGGGUUUGAAGAACGCAAAUCUGGAAUUGGAGUGAUUCCUAGGUCAUCCUUUGUUGAAUGCAUGGGUUGCCUCCCAAGUAGCACUUGCUUUAACGUCGUGCAUUCGGACGAAGAACACAUUCACUCCCCAUUGGAGCCCACGACAUGCAGGUCCACGACAUGCUUCUUAAAGUUCUCAUAAUAGGGCUUCAAACGGUGGCCAUUCACCUUGAAUUCGUGUCCUGUUUUCAAGCUUUGGAUUUGGACUGCACCAUGAACAAAAACAUUAGUAAUAACAAAUGGUCCAAUCCACUUAGAACGUAACUUACCGGGAAACAAACGUAAACGGGAAUUGAACAAUAGCAUUUUCUGCCCUAUGGAGAAUUUUUUUCCACGAAUCAUUUUAUCAUGGAAAGCUUUGGUCUUCUCCUUGUAUAUGCUAGCAUUCUCGUACGCCUCAUGCCUUAUCUCAUCAAGUUCAUUUAAUUGGAAUUUUCUAUGACUUCCCGCUACAUCGAGAUUCAUGUUGAACUUUUUGACGGCCCAAUGAGCUUUGUACUCCAAUUCUAUGGGGAGAUGGCAUGGCUUGCCAUAAAUGAGCCAAAAUGGGGACAUCCCAAUGGGUGUUUGUACGCCGUACGAUAUGCCCACAGUGCGUCAUCUAAGCGUAAGCUCCAAUCCUUCCUUGUUGGACCCACGGUUUUCUCUAGGAUUUGCUUGAUCUUUCGGUUAGACACCUCGGCUUGGCCAUUAGUUUGAGGAUGGUAAGGUGUAGAAACCUUAUGGUUGACAUUGUACUUCCUCAAUAACGCCUCAAUGGUCCGGUUACAAAAGUGAGACCUUCCAUCACUUAUGAUUACACGUGGCAUGCCAAACCUUGCAAAUAUGUUAGUUCUAAUAAAAUCUGCAACCACUUUAGAAUCAUUAGUCCGGGUGGCUUUUGCUUCCACCCACUUUGACACAUAAUCAACCACAAGAAAAAUAAACAUGAAACCAUACGAGGAAGGGAUGGGACCCAUAAAAUCAAUACCCCAAACAUAAAAAAUUUCAACAUUAAGGAUAGAAACCUGUGGCAUUUGAUCCCUAGCACCUAUGUUACCCAUUCUUUGUCAUUUAUCACAUGUUAAGCAAAAAGUUCUAGCGUCCUUAAAGAUACUAGGCCAAUAGAAUCCACAUUGUAACACCUUAAGUGUUGUUCUUUGUGUGCCAAAGUGCCCACCACAUGCAUAUGUAUGACAAAAACUUAGAAUUGAUUGAAAUUCAGAAUCAUGCACACAUCGACGUACAAUCUGAUCAGGGUUAAAUUUCCAUAAAUAUGGAUCAUCCCAUACAUAAAACCAUGCAUUAUGUCUUAACUUAUCACGUUGGUGCCAAGUGAAUGUUGGAAGUAUGCCCACAAAGCCACUCAUUUGAUGUAAUAGCUUUUUGGAAUACUUAAUGUAUUAAACUUUUAUAUGUUUAAUGGAGGGCAAAGCUUAUUGUUAAUCAUUAUUUAUUGUAUCAUGUGUUUAAGCAAUAAGGGAAUCCAAGGGAUGUAUUUGAUCUAAGAGACAAGUGAUCUAAGUGAGUUAGAUUAUCGAGACCAUUCUCUUAUGUUCAUUCCUAAAACGUUCCUAGCCAUAGGAUUGCCAAUUGGGCAUUGACAAUCCGCUAAGGUUAGUAUGUGUUAUGUUGACUCAAGCGUGAGUAUGACUAGUCUCAAGUCAUUUGGUGUUGGACACUAAGACAAACACAUAGGUGCUCGAAAGAGUAAUCGAGUACACUGAACUACGAUCAAAAGAGAGUUCGAACAUACAUGUCAUGUAUGAACUCUAAAGUUGCAAUAUGCAAAGUAGUCCUUUGACCUGAGGCAUCAUAGAUGUCUAAUGGUUAGGUCCUUGAUCUUUGAUCAUGUCAAACGGCAUUCCAUCGGAGUGUCCACGGCAUUGUUGGGGUCAAGCUAUCUAGUCAUGUAGGCAUAUGAAUGCACAACAAGGGAUCUCUAACCUUUCAUGGUGGAAGGAGAAUACUCUAAGAUAUGAUUCUAAAGUCUUUGGCCAAAGCAUAUGAAUAUGACUUAGGAAGUUUGUUCCAAAUCAUAUUCAAGGGAAUCAUAUAGAGAUGUAUCACAUUGGAUAGUAGACAUGAAACAAACUAUCACUCAAACAAUGUGAUUAAGAGUAUUGUAUUAGAGAAGGACCGUAUUGCAUUGUAGUUGCAACUAGAUAGGUUUUCCAACCAAUUCUACUUAGCUUGGGUAACCAUGACAUACUGCUAGGUGUCACUCAUGGUUUGUGGAAGCCCUAAAUGAUUAGCAAACACUAAUCAUUAAAGGAGAAUUGAAAUGUGGUUUCAAUUUCACAAUCGAUCGUUAAGAGUAACAAUCGCCCACUACCUUGCUAAUUGGAACCUAAUGGAUCGUACACCGAGUAAGGAUGUAUGUGAGGAAAUUAAAUGAAAUGGAUAAGCAAUUAAAUGGUUUAAUUGAAGAAUGGUCAAGAUUAAUUAAUUAGUUAAUUAAUUUUACGAAAGGUUCGUAUUGGGCUUUUAAGUUGGUUUUGGGCUUCGGGGCUCAAAAGCGUUUUGGUCCAUAAGGCCCAUUAUGUUUAAGUUGUAUGACAACUAAAACAAAAUGGGCAAUUAGCCCAAUAACAAAGGUAAGGCCGGCCAUAAGGGUGAGGGUAGCAAACUUGGAUUAAUUACAAGUUUGCCACUCACUUGAAAUGAAGUAUAAAAUCAACUUUAUAGCUUUAUUUCUACUUAGGGUUUUCUCAAAGAAAUUGGGUGAAAGACUUUCUCUCAUUUUUUCUCUAAAGAGGCCGGCCACUUAGGGGAGGGAUAUCUAGCAAUCUCUUCUUCCCUAAGUCAUCCAUAUUAUCUUCACAAAAUACAUCCUUGGUGUGGAGACUUAGAGACAUCAAACUUUUGGUGUUUUGGAGAACAAAUCCUCAAAUCCUCAAAGAAUCAAAGGAGCACUAAAAGGAGGAAAAUCACAAGGAAUAUUCAAGGAGCUUGGAGGUGACUUGAAGGCCCUCCACUUGGGUGAAUCCCUUGUGUAAACAAGGAUGAGCUUCAAGGGUAAAGAAACUCUAAAUCUUUACUUCUCUUUAAUGUUGUUAAAGAGUUUAUUGGUUCACCAUAUACUAGGCUUUGAAAGUCAUAGGUUUUAUGAAUUGUUUUUGAAUGCAUGUCUACUUUAAAGUGUUAAUAGCUUGCAUAUGUAUUCAAAUGUUCAUACUUGUUCUUAGCUAGGACAAAAAAAUUUUCCUUCAGUGAAAGUGUUUGGAAUUCGUUUUGACACCAAAAAGUUUACCAAAUUGGCAUACCAAGGCUCACUUACCUUUAUGAACAACAAUUGUUCAUCGGGGAAUGUUUCAGCAAUGGGUAGGGGCUCUUCAUUAUGCACCAUUCGGCUUAGGUGGUCAGCCACCACGUUUUCACUUCCCUUCUUGUCUCGAAUCUCAAUGGCGAACUCUUGAAGUAGCAACAUCCACCUAAUUAACCGUGGCUUGGCAUCCUUUUUGGUGAGCAAGUACUUCAAAGCUGCAUGAUCAGUGAAAACAAUUACUUUAGUACCAAUUAGAUAUGAUCUAAAUUUAUCUAAAGCAAAGACAACGACAAGAAGUUCUUUUUCCAUAGUGGAAUAGUUCAAUUGAGCAUCAUUCAACGUCCGUGAGGCAUAAUAGAUGACAUGCGGCCUCUUGUCUUUCCUUUGUCCUAAAACAGCCCCUAAAGCAUAAUCGGACGCAUCACACAUAAGCUCAAAAGGUAAGCUCCAAUCAGGUGGGACAAUGAUUGGUGCCGUGGUCAACAACUCCUUGAGUUGGUUGAAUGAUGCUGUGCAUUCCCCAUUGAAAUCAAACGCCACAUCUUUUUGUAGGAGUCGACAAAGAGGUUAGGCAACUUUUGAGAAGUCUUUGAUGAACCUACGAUAGAAACCUGCAUGGCCAAGAAAAGAACGAACCUCUCUAACCGAAGUAGGAGAGGGUAAGUGACGUACAAGAUCUAUCUUUGACUUAUCAACCUCAAUACCAUUUUCAGAGAUGAUAUGACCUAAAACUAUGCCUUGUUUAACCAUGAAAUGACAUUUUUCCCAAUUAAGAACAAGGUUAGUUUCAACGCAUCUUUUUAAGAUCAAACUGAGAUUAUGCAAGGAACCAUCAAAAGAAUCACCAAAAACGCUGAAAUCAUCCAUAAAAACUUCAAUUAUUUUCUCAACAUAAUCAGAAAAUAUGCUCAUCGUGCAUCUUUGAAAUGUGGUAGGUGCAUUACAUAAACCAAAAGGCAUGCGACGAUAAGCAAAUGUACCAAAAGGGCAUGUGAACGUGGUUUUUUCUUGGUCCUCGGGUGAUAUGACAAUUUGAUUAUAACCAAAAUAACCAUCAAGAAAACAAUAGAAAGCAUAACCUGCUAACCUCUCAAGCAUUUGAUCAAUGAAUGGCAAGGGGAAGUGAUCCUUCCUUGUGACGUUUAGCUUCCUAUAGUCGAUACACACCCUUCAACCGGUUUGCAUGUGAAUAGGCAUAAGCUCAUUUUCGGCAUUUGUAACCACUAUCACUCCAGAUUUCUUUGGAACGUAUUGAACGGGCGAAACCCACCUACUAUCCGAGAUUGGAUAGAUUACUCCACAAUCUAAAAGCUUGAUGAUUUCCUUCUUCACAACUUCUAUCAUAGGAGGGUUGAGUUGGCGUUGAGCCUCUCGAGAUGUUUUAGACCCCUCAUCCAAAAGUAUGCGAUACAUGCAUGUAGUAGGGCUAAUUCCUUUUAUGUCGGCUAAUGUCCAUCUAAUUGCCGUUUUGUACUCCUUUAGCACCCUCACCAACUUGCCUUCUUCUUGUGCCGUGAGUGAGCAUGAGAUAAUGACGGGCAACGUCUCAUCAUCUCCCAAGAAAACAUACUUCAAAUGACUAGGUAAUGGCUUAAGUUCAAGUGUAGAUGGCUGCACAUCUAUGGGAAGCAUCUUAUUAGCCGAAACUGAACUUAAAAUUAGGUCCAACAACUUACCAGAUUGUGGUGGCAAUGAUUCAAGGGCAGCCACCAUCUCAAUGACACCAUCACUAGGGGGCACGGCAAGGGCAAGUUCAUGCAUGUCGUGGGUGUGCAUGGUUGCUGCUUCAAUGUUUUGCAUGUCCAUUCCUCGUGCAAUGACCCAUUCAAGUGCAUCUUCAUUCAAUUUGUCAAAAUGGUCCUGCGCCAAAGAGUCAAUUACAUCAAUAGCAAAACAUGAAUGAUUCUCACUAAGAUACUUCAUAGAAUCAGAAAGAUUGAAAUUAAUAACUUCCCCAUCAAAUUUCAUCGUCAACGUUCCAUUAAACACAUCAAUCUUUGUCCGGCCGUUUUCAUGAAUGGCUUUCCAAGGAGGAUGGGCAAUGAAAGGGCAUGGUCCGACUCGUCCAUCUCAAGCACGUAGAAAUCUGCCGAGAAGAUUAAGUAAUUAACCUGCACUAAAACAUCUUCCAAAAUUCCCUUUGGAUAGGCAUUAGAUCUAUCGGCCAAUUGUAUAAUCACACCAUCAUUUUUCAACUCUCCUAAAUUCAUAGAUGCAUAAAUUGAAUAUGGCAUGACAUUUAUAGAUGCACCUAAGUCUAGCAUGGCAGAUUCAAAACGAGUAUUACCAAUGACACAAGGAAUUGUAAAACUACCCGAAUCCUUGCAUUUAGGGGGCAGUUUGCGUUGCAAGAUGGCUGAGACGUUUUCACCUACUUUUACAACUUCCUUGGUCGAAAUCCUCUUCCUAGUGGUGCAAAGUUCCUUCAAAAACUUGGCAUACCUCGGGACUUGCUUAAUUGUAUCCCAAGGGGGGGAUAUUGACUUGAACUUUUCUAAACGUUUCCAAAAUGUCCUUUUCAGCUUCCUUCUUCUUUGAUUGCAUAAACCUACGAGGAAAAGGUACAUUGGGUGGAAUAUGGUUAGUAUUAACCGAAAUUGGACCCAUCUUACCUGAUUUGGACGGAUUAGGAUGUGGAGAGGGUGUAAGGGUUUGUGGCAUAGAUUGCUCAAUCCUUACCGUGGCCUUGUCUUGGCUUUCCUCCUCGAAUUGCAACUUCUCAUCCUCAUUUUCACUUGAUUUGGAUGGUCUAUGGUCAGCUCCAACUUCUUUUCCACUCCUUAGCAUGAUUGCCUUGGCAGAUUCAAAGCCUCAUUUCAGAUUCACAACGGUUGAACUAGGAAGUUUUCCCUGUUCUCGGAAUUGCCCCAUGAACUUCGCAAUUUGCCCUACUUGCUUCUCCAACUCGUCCACCUUUUUGUCCCUAGUUUGCAUACCCUGCGCCAUAGAAGUUAGUAAUUGAAAAAUCUGAUCAUUAUCAAUAGACGAACCUGAUUUGUUUUGGGCAGGUUGUGCUUGAGGUUGUGUGGGUGCAAACGAUUUUUUAUAGAAACCCGGGGGUUGUUGCCUAAAUGCACUUUGUUGUUGGCCUUGUUGGGGUUCUCUCCAUUUGAAAUUUGGAUGAUCUCUCCAUCCCGGAUUGUAUGUAUUAGAAAAUAGACCAUUCCUUGGUUGGUAUUGAUUCCCAAAACCCACGGCAUUGAGGGUCUCCCACCCUCCGUUCUCAAUCAAUUGUGGGCACUUAUUCGUGAGAUGUCCUUGCAUGGAGCACACAACACAAGCAGCCACAUUUUGUACUUUUGGUCCUUCCACAACCUGAGAAAGAAGAGUAGUAAGGUUAGCCAUUUGAUUUUGAAGUUCAGAAUGGCACUUACCUCAUUCACUUGGUGUUGCCGUGGGGUGCUCCUUUGUCCAACACCUUCGUAUUGUUAAGCAUUCAACGCUCGAUUAGCAAUCAAAGUCUUUGCAGCCGUGGGGGUCUUAUCCACCAAGGCUCCUCCCGCUAAGGCAUCUAGCAUUUGACGUUCAAUUGGUAGAAGCCCUUCGCAGAAGUAUUGUAGAAAAAGCUCCUCCUUCAUUUAAUGCUGUGGACAUAAAGCAACAAGAGAUUUAAAACGUUCAUAAUAAGUAGGAAAUGAUUCACCUUCAUCUUGCUGAAUUCCACCUAUCCUUUUUCGUAAAAGAAUAACUCGAGAAGUUGGGAAAUUUUUUUCCAAGAAAGCCUGUUUCAUGCUCUCCCAAGAUGUGAUAGUUCCGGGAGCUAAUUCAUACAACCAAUCUUUCGCCUUUUCCAAUAGAGAAAAGGGAAAGGCCUUCAUCUUCAAUAUGCUCCCACCGACGUUGAUGAGAGUCAUGCUUGAACACACCACCUCGAACUCUUUCAAGUGCUUGUUGGGAUCCUCCAUGGACAACCCAUGGUACUUUGGAAUAUGGUGCAGCAAGCUUGACUUCAACUCAAACUCUUCGGUCUUGCCUUGAGCAGCUGCGGGGUAUUGGAUGCAUAGGGGUGCGGCAUUGUCUAAUCCUGAAGCGGAAAGCUCCUUGAUUAUUCGGUUGUCCGAUGCCAUGUCUUGCACUACUUCACCCACCCUUGUCGUGGGUUCUUCUUCCUCAAACUCAGAUUCGGCCUUUGAAUUUGAACUUGAUUCACUAGGUUCUGGAUUCUUCCUCUUUCGUCUCAACUCUUGCUCGAAAUCGUCGUCAAAGUCCAAGAUAUGUUCACGAAUCGGAUGAGAACUCAGAGUCAUAAACUAGUACCUAAAAACAAGAAAACAAAACAAGGUCAGAAUCUGGAAUCAAUUAAAACAAAAUAAAAGAUCCAAUGGAUUAGCAACUUUGCUAAUCCCCGGCAACGGCGCCAAAAAUUUGAUGCGAAAUGUAUAAGCACACAAAUUAAACCCUCUUUUUAUCAAUUGUAGCAAAGUAUGUAAGUAGGGAUCAUUCUAGGCCGGGGAUUAGGAGGGAUUGCUAAAACUUAAAACUGACUUAAAAACAUAAAACAAAGUUUAAAAUACUAAACUAGACUCAAAGAAUGCAAAACUAAACUAUAAAACACUAAAACAAACUCAAAAGACUCAAAACAAGCUAACACUCAAAACUGCCUAAAAACACAAACUGGGCAGAUUUGGACUCUAAACACAAUUUUGGACGAAUUUUGGGUUUUCCUUGACUCAAAACAUUUAAAAACACAAUCUAAACAGAUUUCAACUAGUUAGACACUCUAAAGUAAAAAGGGGUUUGGUUUUGGACGAAAAUCUAAGUAAAAUAAAACAAGAAAGACUUAAACAGAUUUUAGACGAAAUUGGGUGAAUUAAAUGAAUGAUUGGCUAGCUAGGAGGUUCUUCUCCACACAUGUCACACUUGCAUACAAAACGAUUUCCAAUUGCUUUUCAAUAAACCAUGAAUUCCCAACGCCCCAUAUUAACUGUGAAUUGCACUAAUUAACCCUCAGAUUUUCCUAAAGUUAUUGAAUUGGAUGAUUGCAUACGACAACCCAAAGUAUUCCUCACAAGUUCCCCACAUGAAUUGCAUAAUAGAGAUACAAGCAAAGAUCAUUAAGUUCUAUGAAAAUCAUAAGCAUUGACGGGGCACUUGUUAUUAUGAAUUGCAUGAAACUUAUGCCAAGAAUUUGAUUAACACGAAUGUGAUUAGCAACCUUUACUACUCUUGAAUAUAAGUUCAUAACAAUUAGGUGAAACUCCCUUAUAUCCUAGCAUCAGAUUUAUGCAUGAAAAUUAAGCGUGCACUCUCAACCAACACACAAAUCAGUUUUAAUUCAUAUAGAUAAGCAAAUUGAAUUCACAACUUAUGAAACACAACUGAAAGUAAUCAAAUCAUAUAGCAAGCAUGAACAUGGUUUCGAAUUCCCCCUAGCCAAUGGGGGUUUAGUUCCUUAUAUGCACAAAGCAAAGAUAAACAAAUUUAGACAUUAAAAACAAAAGAAAGAAAACACCUAGACGCUCCAACUUGAACAGUAAGCACGUCCACAAACUUUCCUCCUUCCUCUUUGUUGCGGCACAAGGCUUGGGAACAAGUUUUGGGGGUUAUGUGUAUGGAAGAAUGGAUGGGAGAUGGUAUGGUAGUGUUUAGGAUGGAUGGAAGGUGCGGUAAGGGGUGAUUUAGGUCAGGAACUAUGGAAAAUUGGUGGUGAUAGCUGCGGCAGAGAAGGGUGAUGAAUUUCUGGCCUGAAUUGUGAACAUGAGAGGUGGUGGUUCGGCCAAGGCUGAAAUAUAAAUAUAUAUAGGCACAUAAAACCCUAGGAAAAUCAGGUCAGGACUUGGACUUAGCAUAAAAUAAGGAUUAGGGCCCAAACAAUCAAAAUCCAAAGGGGAAAAGGUAUAGUAAAGUGCGGCAGAUAUGGAAAGGAAGGAUAAGGCUUCUAGAAUGCCUUGCAAGGCAAGGAAAAAGGGUUUCCUUGCCAAAAUUGGUGUGGCAAAGGUCCUAAAUCUGAAAGGGAUUGGUUUUCUUGUGCAACAAGGAUAGGAAAUGAAGGGAUAGGGCUUCUAGAAUCCCACAAACCCAAGGAGAUGCACGGCAAGGAUAGGGAAAUGUUCUAGAACCUUUCUUUGUGUCCAAAAAUGCUUAGGAAACCUUCAAUGUUACUGGAACUUAAGGCCAUCUAGGUUUAGGAAAGAUCAACCCAAAAUAGGAAACUUUAGGCUUAACUUUUCUACUUUAAGUAGGAAACCUUGUUGGAGUAGGAAUCCUCAUUCUUCUAGGAAUCCAUCUUUGAUUAGGAAUCCUUCUUCAAUUAGGACUCCUCACAUCUUCAAAUCUUCAAUUUCGUCCAUUCCUUUUGCUCCAAGCAUGUGAUAUCCAUUCCAAGCUCAAUUUUGCUCCAAAAGGCUCCAAAAUGCACUACUUUGCAUACUUUGCCCUUAAAACCUGAAAACACAAGAAAAUGGUUUAAAAGACUAACUUAAAUAAGAAAACACAACGUAAAUGCACAAGAACAAGCUCAUUAAGUCGCAUAAAUAUGCUCUUAUCAGCAGUGGACAAUCAUCCGUUAAUCAAGCCAAGAGUGCCCAAAAUAGGUAACAAAUUCAAAGUUAUUUCAUCCAUCCUCAUCCUAUAUUUUCCACAAGGUAAUUAUUUCAUAACCUUCAAAACAUUCCUUAUAAAUUGAGUUAAUUGCCAAAUAAAUCACCCAUUACACUAAAAAAUUACCCAAAAGGCCGACCACUCUCUCUCCCAAGAGGGUCGGCCAUGCUCUAUAUAUUGAACCCCAUUUUCUCUAAAAAGCUAAGUCCAUACUCUUGCAAAACUUCAAAAACUCUCUAAACACUUUUCUCUCUAAAUUCUAACUUUGACAUCGGAGGUUCUUCGACAAAAGCCCCUCAUUCAUCGUGCGCGCAAGAGGCCUUUGGCCUUAACCAAAGGUGUUAAUUGUUUUGUAGGUGCAAUUUUGUCCAAGAUCAAGGAGGAAGAAAUUUGUAUCCACAACAGGCUCUUCAGCCUCUUCUGGUGGUUGCUGAUUAUUUACGAGAUCUUUUGAUGAAUUUAUUUGACUUCUUAGCCGUAAUAUUUCACCCUUAGCAGAUACCAAUUCCUCUUCCAAUUUUUUGCUUCUCUUCUCCAGACCCUUCCUUUCCUCGCCUAGUCUCAUGACAAGAUUAUGGACAUCUUCCAUGUUUUCUUGGGCCUCUUUGGACGCAAUCUUAUGCUCUGUUAAGGAAAUGUAAACCACAUCUUUCUCAUCUUCAAGCCUAGAAAUUAGAGAAUUAGCCCUCUCUAUAACUUGGGAAAACACCAUUGCAUUUCGAUUCAUCUCAUCCAAUGCUUUGGUAGCCUCUUCCAGGUCUGUUUCAAGAGAUUUCUAAGACUCAUUGUCCUUCAAAAUCUGUUUAUCCAAAGCUUUAACUUCUUUUUUCAAAGAAGAAACUAUUUCAUUUUCUUCUUUUAAAUCACUUAAAGCUCUUUCAACUUUUUUGUAGACAUCAGCCAAUUCCUCAUGCAAGCUGUCACGUUUUUUUGCAACAACUAUUAGUUCAUGGGACAGAACUUGUAGCUCCUCAUUUGUCUUCUUUAUAAGUUCUUUCGCUGUAAAAAGCUCACCAACAACCGCAUCACCACUUAACGUAGCCUUAUCAAGGGUUAUCUGCAGUGAUUCCCUAACUCCAGUAAACUUGGCCCGAACCGAGAUCUCAGCUUCAAGUUCCGUGUAUAAAGUUUUUGACUGUUUUAAUUGAUUUUCCAUAUUGGAAGCUUCACUUCUUGAUUUUGUAAGAGUUUCUUGAGUGCUCUGGAGUUCAUGUUUCAAAUUUGUUUCAAUUUCCAGUUCUCUAUCCAUAAGUUCCUUCAAGUUUUCCUUCUCUCAGGUCAAAUCAGAAUUUAAUUCUUUGUUUCUACUUGUGUCACUCAGAGCAAGUUCAAGCUUUUCCUUUAGCUGCUGAAAUUUCUCUUCCCUUUCUUCCAAAAGCUUAGCAUCCAAAUCCGCCUUUCUACAGGAGGAUGUUUUCAGAUUAUUGUAUUCUUCCUGAUCAAACUCCCUCUUCGAAUCAUCUAAUUCAGAAGUGAAAGAACUAACUGUUGCAUUCAAUUCAUCGAGAUAGGAAUUCUUCAAUUCUAAUUCCUUUUGAUUUUUCAAGAGUUCAUCUUUCAACAUUUGACUAUCUGAAAGUGCAUUCGUUAGUUCAUCCCUCAUUUGAUUGUAGGUAGCUUUCAAGUCCCUCAACUCCAAAUCUUUUUCGGCAAGAGAAGAACUAAGACUUCGGACAUUGGUUUCUUUAUCCUUGAUUUCUGAAUUGAGCAAAUCAAUCAUUCCCUGUAGGACUUCAAUUGAGUUUUGCUUUUCCUUCAAAUUCUCUUCAAGUACUACCUUUUCUUCUCCGGCCUUUGAAAGGUUGGUUUUAAAACUGUCAAUUUGAGUUUUAAGCUCCUCAAUCAAUUUCUUUUCCCCAUUUAACUCCUUUCAUAAGCUUGCAAUUGUACUUUUUACCAAAUUCAAUUGGCUUGUUAAAGAAUUUUGCUCGUCCUUUGCCUUUGCUAGUUGCUUGCUCCGUUCUUCCUGUUCACCUAGUAAAUUAGAUUCAUAGCUCUUCCCUAAUGAAACAAUAACAGCUUCCUUUUCUUUCAGCUUGGUCUUCAUCUUUGCAUUUUCAACCAAAGUAAAUGUGGGUUAAAUCAAACAAAGCAUCUAAUAGUAUUUUUAUGAACAUAACCCAAAAGUAAAGGAGUAUGAUCUUUCGAGCUCAGAGACUCAUACAUUAACGGGUAGAGCUAAGUAUGCAUUUCUAUAAAAUAGAGAAACCAGGAAAGAAAAAGGGACCGUUAGAGUAGGGAUCGUUUUCAAGGAAGCAUUUAAGAACACAAGAUUGGGAAACAAGAUAAAAGACACAUUACAUUUUUUUGUACAUUUUGAAUUUCCUUUUCAAAGAGACUAGACUCCUAUCAACAUAUGUGGUAUGUCUGUGUUGUCUCAACAUGUAAAGAAAAUCUUUUUCUGUGGUAUUGAAUAGGGACUUACAAAUUCGACUAUGGCAUCAGUGGCUUUCUUUUCUGACCGAAUCAAUGCGUACAGCACACCAAGGACACCAAAACUGAAAAUACCAAUACCAUUCAGGAGAGACAAAACGGGAUUUGGUGCUACAUUUGUUUGAGGUGCUUCCUGUUCAAUGAAUAACUCACUUUAGAAAAUUAAACCUUAUAACAAACAAUUAACAAAAUAAAAAGGAAAGAUAUUAAAUACAGAUUUUUUUAGGGAGUCUUAUAGACAUUCGUAACUUCGUACCUCUGUGUUUUUACUCCCCUCUGGUGUCUUUAGCUCACUUUCUUCUGACAAAAAAAAGGAAAUAAAGGAACUAAUGCAUAAACCGCAUGAAAUGAGAUGGAAACUUGUUACAAAAGAUAAUAAUUUAUAGUAACACCAGUCCAUGUUAAGAAAAGAACUAAAAAUGUAGCACAUUGUAAGAAUCUUCGUAAAAAGAAUAAAUAAAGAGAAGGUUUAGUAAAUACCCUAAACUACCUUUGAAAUAUUAUUGCCUAAUUAAUAGGAUCUGCACAUAUAGCCUAACUUUGCGCAUUUCAAGGAUAUGAACUAUGUUUUGUGAAACCCAUUAGGCCCAAGCCCAGGAACCAAGCCCAGACCCAGACUUGAAUCCAGCCCAACCUAGUCGGAUCCCAAUAUCCCAGGCCACGUGUGAGCCUGCGCAUGGGUGCGCGUGGGUGCCUACCUUGGUCGGCAUGUGGAGCACAUGUGCCUCCACCGGAGGUACUGUGCUCCGCCACCAUCCACGGCGAUGCCAACGACUUUUUCGGCCACCCAAAAUGGCGUGUGGCGGUGCAUGAGGGCCCGUGCGGCAGAGUGUGGGGGUACCCGAGGUCUCCCUUAUGUUUUUUGAUAUCCUGAAUCCAUUUACGACGUUCUUUUCCAAAAUUCAAUCGUUUGAGUAUGGUUUUAUUAAGUAGACCCUUUAUGUGCUUAGUAUUUAUUGUGAUGUUUCAGUCUUCACUAGUUACAUGGCUUUUCGACGGCAAAUUAUCUGUAAGUGGACCCCUUCCAAAAUGCAUAAUUUUACUAUUAGAAAUGCAUACAUGCAAAACAUGAUUUAAUGGUUACGUUUUAUGAAACGUUUAUGAGUAAAUUAUUUUUACUCUUUAUGAUAUUUCAAGCUUUAUCGAAUUUACUUUCUUUGUGGUAUAUAUGAUGGAUGACUAUAUACUAUGAAGAUGAUUUAAGAUAUGAUGUUUGAGCUACUAAGCUCUGUUGAGAUAUAUAUACUUAUAUUCUGGAAAGAUUAUGUUCAAUGAUUUUUGUGCUUAUCUAGUGGUCACUAUAUUCUACCUACGGGCGUAUGUUCUACCAAGAGGCGUAUGAUCUGCCUACGGGCGACUGACCUGCCUUCGAGUGAUACUGAUACCACUAUUUAGCACCCUAUAUAUGAUCUAUGUUUUAUUGAAGAUUUUAUGGCAUGCUAGGGUUUUCGGAAAACCUUUUUCUUAUUAUGCUAUAUGAGUUUUCUAAACCUGGGGGUUAGUACGUUGAUGAAUAAUUAUGUUAGUAUUACUUAUUUAUCAACUUGGUCCACUCACCUUUUCUAUUUUACGCCCCUCAGGACAUAGAAUCGAGGCGUACAAUCCUGGUGUCAAGGCACUCCACAUUGGCAUCUUUGAGUCCUCUCGGUGUAGGACCCAUUCCUUUGUUCAUUCAAUUUUAUAUUAUUUCUCUUUAGUGUUUUAGAUUAGUUGUAUGCUCUGAACACAUUCCUUAUUUACAUAUACAUUGUAUUUAAAUUUGUAACUCUUAUUUAUAUUCAUUGGUUCUCAUGCAUAUUAGUAUGGCUUCGUCACCUUUGAGUGUUGGCCAGCACGUGCUUACCCGGGUGUUUGGAGGAUAUUGGUGUCGAGCGUGUCAUUAUUGGCUUUUCAUUUGUGCUUGGACAUUUCUUUCAAGAUCUCAAUUGACAUAUCAUCUAUUUUGUUUAAUUGGCACAUCAUUCAUUUUAAAUCCUUGGUCUUUGCCAUGACAAAAUGGGGGAGUAAAAUUUUGUGUGUUUCUUACCUUUGCAAGCCUUUUACCAAUGAUGACUUUCACUUGUUCUUGUCAAGAGUUGUUCUUUUGCAGGAGUUGUUACUUGGUUGUUACUUGGUCUUCUUCUGUUGAUUGAUGUUCUCUUGAGUGUGGGUGUUGAGUGAAAUUACUUAUAUGCUUGGGGUAUUUUGUCAAGGAGAGCCAAAGGGGGAGAUUGUGAAGUCUAAAUAUAUUAUUUGGCUUCCCUUGUCAAAAAUUGUAAAUGUUACCACACAUGCUCAUAAUUUAGAGUUAGGAUACAAUGUUGAUCUGGGAUUUCUGUUGAGAUUGAACUUGUCAAAGCACUAGCCUUAUACACUACAAAAGGUUUGAAUCAUACAUUUGCAUUUGCAUAUCAGGCUUAUUUUUCUAGAUUCCUUUUGUUUAGUGCAGUUGUCUAGUAAAAUUUUUUGUCUGUUAUCCAGUUGUCAAGGCACACAAAUUAAGAUAGCCCACAUGGGCCAUCUGACGCUUUUUCCCAAAAAUGGAUUUUCAGCCCUAGAUCUUUCCAUAUUGAUUUUACACAUGACACAUGGCUUUUCAUCCCCUCUCUUUGUCUGAAACUUACCCAUCUUUAUAAAGUCAUUCUAGGGUUCAUUUGUUGUUGGGAUUUUGAGAUUGGAAAAGUUUUUAGAGUUUCUUUUAAUCUUCAUCUAAGAUCUCCUAGAAGCAUCAAGCAUAUUUUUAUGUGUAAUGUUCUUCAUUGAAUAUUUCUAAACCUAUCUUUGAAUUGCUUGCUUAAAUUCAUUUUAUAUGCUCAUUUGUUUUGGGUAGGAGUUUUACACUUUUAGAAAAGAGUUGAUUUUAGUUUUGAGCUACCUCUUGUGUUUUUACUUGAAAACCCUAGCUACAAAAUCACACUUAUGCAUUAAAUACCCACAUCAUUGCAUAUUAGGGUAGCAUUGUUUUUGUGAAUUUGAUUUUUGUUUUAGGUCAAGUUUUUCCAAGUCUUAAAUCUAUGAACUGGCCUGUUUUGGAUUCUCAUCAGUUUCAUUUUUCAAGUGUUUGACUGGUGAAACUGACUAGACAUCGAAUCUAGAUUUGCAUAUCAUUGUCAUAUCAUCAUAUGCAUAGUUUGUGUGUUGGUUUCGGUGCCACAAGGUGAAGAGUUCAAGAAGAGCUGUCAUCUUGUGAAGACUGAAGACAACAUUAUUUCGGUGUCACAAGGUGAAGAGCUUAGGAGGAGUUGCCACUUCGUGAAGAUAGAAGGAAUCCAUCUUGUGUAAGGAAAAAUUGCACAAAGGUAAAACUGCUCUGUAGAUAGGGAUCUAGGAAUUGAGCUUGUAUGGUCUUUGUACGAACCUUUAUUUACACUAGUGGAUUGAAAAGUGGAUGCAAUUGCUAAAGUGCAGUGGAUGGCUGUAAUAUUUUGUGUAUGUCUGUAAACAAAAAGCUUUCAACCUUUUAUGUUUAAAUUGUACAAAUUAAACAUUUCAUCUAUAAACCUUUUCCAACCUCUAUGUUCUCAAUAAUGUUAAUGUUUUGUGACACCAUUUUUACAUCUUUCAAACACAAUGUUUAAUACAGUUUUCAAACUCUGGCAACGCGCAUGUGACCCAUUCUAGUAUAUAUUAAAUGACAUGAGGUUUAGAUGCACACUAUCAACUAAAAAUUGACGAAAUUAAAACUUGAGCAAUGAAGUUUCCAUAAUUCCAACCCUUGACACCCUUGAGUUUUAUUUCCAACUCGCAUCUAUGUUGAUUUUCACUCAUAGAGAUAAUAGGGAGAACCAAGUAGGCAGGAGAUACUUGUCUGCUCUGCACUUUUCUUCUCAUUGGUAUUCUUCGUUGUGGUCGUUCUAAAUUCACAUCAAGCCAUUAUAAAGGAUAAGGUAACGUGCACAGGUGAAAGGGGCCUUGUAUUCAAUUAAACGUUAAUGAUCUGAGUUAGUUAGACAGCUUUACUAUAUAUGUUCAGGUGAGGGGGCCUUGUGCAUCCAUCUUGGAUUCAACUACAAAACUAAUGUCUGAUCUGGUACAAGUAUGUGCAUACGUCACACUUCCCACAACAGAUACAUAAAGAAUACUCUACCUCUUUCUCUCUCAUUUCGCAAGUCCAAAAGAUCUUUCUAGAAAAACAAGUCUCUCACCAAAAGCCUCUAGCACCACUUGACCUUGCACGCUAUAAAACCCAACACCAAUUCCCAACAUUAAGAAAAAAAAUUAAAUUAAAUUAAAUUAAAUCAUAAGAAGCAUAGAUUUGAGGAAUGAAUUUCCGUAUAUAUUCAUCAAACAAGAAUUACAGCUUUAUACAAAGACUACCACAAUAUUAUCAUAUUCUAUUGCCUACAAAUAAGGCUAAUUAACUACUAAACUGGAAAGUAAAUAUCAAUACAUGAUAUUGACUACUUAAUAUGAGAUUCUUUCCUUAACACUCCCCCUUAAGUUGGAGUGUAUGUUAAUGACACUCAACUUGCUGAGCAACGUUUCAAACUGUGUCAAACUCAAGGUUUGGUGAAUAUGUCAGCUAGCUGAUCACCUGUAAGAUCCCACAUAGCCUAGGGGUGAGGAUCCUGUAAGCCUUAUAUCUACAUUCUCAUCUCUACCUAACACGAGGCCUUAUGAGAGCUCACUGGCUUCGGGUUCCAUCGGAACUCUGAAGUUAAGCGAGUUUGUGCGAGAGCAAUCCCAUGACCCACUGGGAAGUUCUCGUGUGUGUUCCCAAAAACAAAACCGUGAGGGCAUGGUCGAGGCCCAAAGCAAACAAUAUCGUGCUAUGACGAAGUCGAGCCCGGGAUGUGGUGGGGCCCAGGCUGAGAUGUGACAAUUUAGUAUCAGAGUCAAUCCUUGGCCAGAAGUGUGUCGACGAGGAUGUCGGGGCCCUGAGGGGGUGGAUUGUAAGAUCCCACAUCGCCCAGAGGUAAGGAUCCUGUAAGCCUUAUAUGUAUAUUCUCAUCUCUACCUAGCACAAGGCAUUUUAGGAGCUCACUGACUUCGGGUUCCAUUAGAACUCCGAAGUUAAGCGAGUUCGCACGAGAGCAAUCCCAUGAUGGAUGGCCCACUGGGGAAGUUCUCGUGUGAGUUCCCAGAAACAAAACCGUGAAGGCAUGGUUGGGGCCCAAAGCAGACAAUAUCGUGCUACGGUGGAGUCGAGCCCGGGAAGUGGUGGGGGCUUGGGCCAGGAUGUGACAUCACCUGUCUGUAUGUAGACCAUACAUAGCAUUCAUUUUUUAACCUUCUCUUACACUAGGUGACAAUCAAUCUCUAUGUGCUUUGUUCGUUCAUGAAAAAUAGGAUUCGAAGCAAUGUGUAUGGCAGCUUUAUUGUCGCAAAACAAUGAAACCGGUUGUUGAUGAUUUACUUCUAAAUCCUUUAAGAUAUUUCUCAGCCAUGUAAUCUCACAACACAUAGUGGCCAUAGAACGGUAUUCGGCUUCUGUGCUAGAGCGAGAUACAGUGGUUUGCUUCUUAAUUUUCCACGAAAUUGGUGUUUGGCCAAGUAAAACACAAUAACUCUUUAUCGAUCGUCUAGUAUCUCUGCAUCUGGCCCAAUCAGCAUCACAAAAUGCUCGUAACUAUAAUGAUCCUGUGGAAGGAAAGAAAAUACCUUGCCCAAAUGCUUGUUUAAUGUAUUUAAGUACUUUGUGUGCGGCAUCAAGAUAUGGUUGCCGUGGCUUCUCCAUGAACUGACUCAACACAUGCACGGAAUAGGCCAAGUCUGGUCUUGUGAUUAUCAAAUAUAUCAAUCUACCCACAAGUCUUCUAUAUGAGGAAGGAUCAUCCAAUAAUCGUCCUUCCAUUUGCAUAAGGGCCAAAUUUUGGACUAAGGGAAACCAAAAAGGUUUCACGCCUAGAAACCCAACAUCGUCCAAUAUCUCUUGCGCAUAUUUGUGUUAACAUAGAGUGAUUCCAUGUUUUGAUCAUGCAGCUUUUAUCCCUAAGAAGUACUUGAGCACCCCCUAAGUCUUUCAGUUUAAAAUGGUGAAAGAGAAACUAUUUAGUCUCUUCAAUAUCACGUAAAUUGUUCCUUACCAAUAUUACGUCGUCAAAAUAGACUAAUAAAGUAGUGAAUGAAUGUACCUUGAUGACUUCGGACGAACAAUGAGUAAUCAAACAAAGAUUGUUGAAACCCAGCAGCCUUGAGAGCAUUGGAUAAUUUCAUUUUGAGAGCAUUGGAUAAUUUCAUGAACCAUUGACUUCAAGCUUGCUUUAAACCAUAAAGAGAUUUGUGCAACUUGCACACUCGAGUCUCCUCCUUUCAUCUGAAACCAGGAGGCAAAGUCAUGUAAACAUCCUCUUCCAAGUCACCAUUUAAAAAGGCAUUGUUCAUAUCUAGUUGAUAAAGGUGCCAGCCUUGCAAGGUUGCAACACUGAGGAGGACACGGACUGUGGUCAACUUAGCCACGGGAGCAAUAAUGUCACAGUAAUCAACCCCCUUGAUUUGAUUGUACCCAUUUGCAACAAGAUGUGCCUUGUACCGUUCAAUCGUCCUAUCGGGUUUAAGCUUCACCUUAUAAACCUAUUUGCAUCCAAUGGGGCAUUUAUAAGGAAAGAGAGGCAUGAACGUCCAUGUGUUAUUUGCAUGGAGGGCAGCAAGCUCAUGUUGCAUGGCAGCACUCCAAUGUGGAUCUUGGACAGCCUGGGAAAAGCUAGUAUGUUCCUUAAAAAGGGUGAGAUUAGCAAUAUAGGUUUUAUAUAUGGAUGAGAGAUAAUCAUAUGAUAAGUAAGUAGCGAAAGGAUGAGAGGAACCUGACUUAACCACGUUCGUUGAAGAUGCGGGAGCAGUCCUUGAAUAGAGAUAGGCCUCAACAUGAAAGUCCUGCAAAAAGGAUGAGGGUUUUGUGAGUCAGGUACCGUGGUGGGGUGGGGGUAGGGUAGGUGUAGGUGAAGGUGUUGUGGGAUCUGGAGGUAAAGGCAUAGGAGGUGGGGUGGUGGUAUCAUCUAAAAGAAGAUUGGAAAGUCAAGGUAGGGAAGGCAUGUGAGAUGAGGUAUGAGUAGCAUCUGAAGGUGAAGGGGAAUCAUUGGAGGAAGAGAAAGGUUAAGACGGUGCAAAGGAAGGAUCCAUGUCAAAGUGGAGCAAGGAGGCCGGAGGGUGAGGUGGUGUGAAAUCCUAUUCUUGGAUUUCACUGUUAUAAUCUACGUAUUUGUAUUAUUGAGAUUUUAGAUUAUUUUUCGAGAAUUUAUUUUAAUUUGUUUGAAAUUAGAUUUUAAUUAAAUUAGUUUCGAAGUUUGAAGUUUGGAAAUUAUUUAUUUAAAAUUCGUAGACCGUUCGAGGUCACAAGUUAUAUUUUCGAAUAGAGAUCUAUCUCACGAACGCAUAGGCGAAAACCGUUCAUGAAAUGAAGUUAUAACGAGGAAAUUAGAGACGUUUUAGUUGUUGGGAAAUAAGUAAAGAAAGGUUUAGAAGCUACCAAGUGGCAUUAAAGGAGAGGGGAGAAAGGAGAGAUUGCGAGAGAGAAAAUGGGGGGUCAGCCCAAUCAGAAAAAAAGAAAGGAGAGGAAAGGGAAAGAAGAGAGAAGAGAAAAAGGGGAAACCAGGUUUCCCUCAACCCAUGACUUGACCCGAUGGAUUCUCCGAUCUUCGGCCACCUUGGACGACAAGGUUAAUGUCAAAAUGACCCUUACCACAAGGCCAACCGAUCCCUCUUCCAUUUUCACGUGAAAAUUGGGUGGAAAUUUGGUGAAUUUUGGGUAAAACCGUACAAAAGGAGGCGCAUGGGUUGGGUUCCAUUCCGCCACGAUUGGAAGCUACCUCUUCCAAUUACCAUCAUCAAUAAACUCCCCUCAAUCCCACGAACAAAGCCCAAGCAGUGGUGGAGGCGUCGGAGCUCGUAUGGAAGCUGAAUCGAAGCACACCAUUUUCUGCGGUUCUGGUAGGUUCAUGGAGAAUUGAGGCUUUUCCCGGCCAAAUUGGCCUUAGACAUAGGUAUGAAAAUUACUCCCCUCAUUGAGAUCUACAUGAAUUAGUUGAAUAUUCCUGUGAGUCAGGGCAGCCAACCGCCACGUGCAGCAGUGCAUGGGCUGAGACCCCACCUGCCCUUUUUAGACUAAUUUAGAUACACUGAUUCCUUAUGUGAAGUCUAAUUGACGAAAUCUCAUCAUAUGGCUAUAGAUUUGAUGGAGACCUCCACUUAGACAUUAUAUGAAUCGACAAUCUGACCGUUGGAUCGUCACCAAACUCUAAUACAUUAUAGAACAUAAUAUUUUAGGAUAACUGGACUGACGGAUUGGGAAUCCGAUGUACGGAUCUUUCCGAAUUAGAUUUCUAAGUUGGUAAAAUUAAUUAUUAACCGCCACCUAAUUCUAGCAAUUGGCAGAGAUCCAACCGUCAGAUCAUGAGGAGAUUUUAGUAUGUUGUUCUUUGAGCAUAAUGUGGACCUUAGGAAGUUACGGAUCUAGAUUAUGAUAUACGGAUCUUCCGAAUUAAAUUGCUAGGGUGUGGACCCCACCGUUGACUUUUGGUCAACAGGUCUUGAAACAUUUGAAUUACUAAAAUGAGUAUUUCUAGAGACUCGGUGAAGCUUUGCGGACUUGUCUCGGUGAAUGCCUUUAAUAUAUGUGAUAUGGUGAUUACUCGAUUCUUAAUAUUAAUAUCCUUUGUGGAUAUGAUAUAGUUUUAUAGACUGUUUUAUGUUAAAAUGUGAUUUGAUUCAUGGAUUGGGAAUAUUUUUGGAAAAGUGAUUCGAAUUGCAUAUUGAAAUGUUUUGUAAACUGAGGGCUAGUAGUGGAAUAUGACCCUGCUUAGUUAAUCCGCAUUGGGGGGUCACUGCCUAUUUGAUUACUUUUUUAAGUGUGACUCUGGUUGAUUAGUCCGCAUUGGGGGGGUCACUAAUGGUCUUGCUUGGUUAAUCCGCAUUGGGGGACCCUACUAUAUAUGGUCCUGCUUGGUUAAUCCCCAUUGGGGGACCCCACAAUAUAUGGUCCUGCUUGGUUAAUCCGCAUUAGGGGGUCACUAGUGGUCCUACUUGGUAUAUCCGCGAUGGGAGCCCAUACGUAUUCUAGAGGUGAUGAUGAUUAGAUGUACUUGAUACAUUUGAUUGGCGCUCAUAUUUAGUCUGGUUCCGUUGAGUGGUCCAGAACCUGAGGUUGUUGGAUUUCGUAGAGUGGUCUGGAAUCCCCUUAUUUGGAGAAGUAGGCUUGGCCUAACAGUGUCAUUCUAGCCUUAGUUUUAUAUAUAUUUGUGACAAUGGUUUCGAGAAUCUUGUGAAUUGAUUUAGAAAAGAUGUUGGACGUUUGGGUGACUCUUUCAAGAUUUUCUACGAUUCGAUUAUGAUUUCAUCAAGUAUGAAUUUAGAAAAUAUGGGAAUGAUUGUCAUUAUUUAGACCAGAUUAAUUAUUUAAUGUGGCUAGAGAAUGGUUUUGUGCUUCAUCGGUUCUUAAAUAUGACGUAUGUUGUGAAUGGCGAUGUGAUGAGACAUAAUGAUUUAUAUGUUGGAUGGAAGAGAAAUCAUGAUUUUCAUGGGGGUUUGUUAUGUAGCCUGAGUCCAGGAAUGGCAUGUUGUCAUGUUAUAAUAAAUGAUGGAGGAAUGCUAUACUUUUCUGCCUGAAUUGAGUGUGGUAAACCUUUGAUUUUGUGAGUGGUGAACUACGAAUUGCUUGAUCCCUAUUGAGGGUACGUAGGCAGUCUAACGAGAAGGUUAGAUGCAGCCAUAAAGCUUACGAAAAAUUAUUAUGAAAUUUGAACCUUGAAUGGUUUUAUUUCAUGUCCUAGAAGCAGGGUAUAUUGGAUGUUCAAGUAUUUAGUGACGUCACAUGUCGAUUCUGGGCAUAGGUCAGGGUCGGGGCGUGACAAGUGGAGUGGUAGAGGUAGCGGAAUUGUCUAAGUGUUGAUAAGGGAAUUGGUCUUCGAAGAAAAUGACAUCCGUGGAGACAAACACUUUUUGAAGAUGAAGAUCAAAUAGUUUAUAACCUUUUUUACCAUAAAGAUACCCUAGAAAAAUACAACAACAUGCACGGGGAUCAAACUUGGAAGGUUUUUUUGCAUGAGUGGAUGCAAAACAAAGACAACCAAAGACCCGUAAGUGUGAGUAUUUGGAUGGUUUGUGAAACAACUUUUCAUAUGGUGUUUGCCCGUGAAAAAUGGGUGUUGGUGUACGAUUAAUGAGAUAUGCCGAAGCAAGUAUGGCGUCCUCCCAAAAUCGUUGAGGUAAAUGAGCUUGGAAAAGCAAUGCUCAAGCAACAUUGAGCAAAUGUCUAUGCUUGCAUUCAGCGAAACCAUUUUGUUGUGGUGUGUUGACACAACUAGUUUAAUGGAUGAUUCCUUGUAAGGCAUAAAACGUGUCAAGUUUAAACUUGGGACCAUUAUUACGACGAACUAUUUUGACUUUAGUGUUGAAUUGUGUUUCAACCAUAUGAAUGAAUUGGGUGAGAAGCCCCUUGGUGUCAAACUUAUGUUUCAUCAAAUAGAUCCAUGUGCACCUAGUAUGAUCAUAAAAAAUGGUAUGGAAGUACUUGGCACCGGAAAGAGAAGACACUUGGUAACCACCCCAAAUGUCAACAUGUAUCAAUUCGAAACAUGAUGUGGUAGACAUGGAAAUUUAAGAAAAAGGCAACCUUGUUUGUUGCCAAAGGGCAAAUUAAACAUUGACUUGUCUCACAAGUUUUAUUGGAGACAAAAGGAAAUAACAUGGUAACUUUAUGGGAUGGGUGUCCUAGGCGUUGAUGCCAAAAGCUGGAAGGAGUGGUUUGGACGGCAUUGCAUGUUCCUUUCUUUGGUGGAUCAAGGUAGUAGAGUCCAUCCCAUUCAUUUCCCGUCCCAAUCAUCUUCCCUAAGCAUAAAGUCCUGUAUGACACAAAAAUGGUGUAAGAAAAUCGCAAUGGAAAGGGAAUCAUAGGUUAAUUUGCUAAUAGAGAUUAAAUUUAACUUAAAAAGUGGAACACAAAGGACGUUGUCAAGAAUUAGGUCAGGAGAAAAAAUAACUUGGCCAACAUGAGUGACCGCGGCAAGGGAUCCAUUCGGUAACUCAACGGUGUGAUUUUUAAUGGGCCUUGAGGACGUACGGGAGUCGAGGCUGCAAACUAUGUGAUCUGUAACACCACUAUCCAAGAUCCAAACAUUAUUCUUGCCAUGAUGUAUGAAUGAAAAAGCUUUACCUGAAAGGUCUUUGUGAUGUGAGGAAUUACCAACGUGAUUAACAAAAUAUGAUUUGUGCUUAUUCAACAUUUGGAGGAUUUGUUUACAAUCUUCUUGAGAGAAUGGAAAAUUGGACAUCACCUCUUUGUUGGUCAUAACAACUUGAUUUCCCUUGGAAGAACGACUUGGUUCGAUUUCUGCAGCUGCUUUUCUUUUGCGGCAAUACUCAUAUGAAUGGCCUUUCCACCUGCAAAAAGUGCAUUUGAGAUAGGCACAACAGUUAUUUGUGUUGUGGUUCGUCUUGUUGCACUUUCCACAUCGUAGAUGACACGCCCCGACCCUGAUAUGCCCUGAAUACUAGGAUAGACACGUGUUGGCCAACACUUGAGGGUGACGAAAGUCAUUAAUUGAUACAAAAGCUAAGAAUAAGAAGUAAUUAAGGGUUAUGAAUUUAAAUACAAUGAGUUAAUAAUUUAUGAACGUGUUCAGAGCCUACAACUAACUAGAGCUCUAAAAGAAUUAAUAUAAAAUUGAAUAAAUAAGAGGAUGUGGGUCCUACACCAAGAGGACUCGAAUAUGCCAAUGCGAAAGCGUUGACGUUGGGAUUGUAUGCCUCGAUUCUAAAUCCUGAAAAGGGGCGCAAAACAAGGGUGAGUGGACCAAGUUUAUAUACAUACAUAAUACAAAAACAGUUAUAAACAUACUAACCCCCAAUGUUUUAAUAAUGAAAACUACUAGCGUAAUAAAUGAUAGGUAUCUCUGAAAACCCUAGCAUGCCAUAAACAUCUCAAAAGACAUAUCACAGAAAACAUCAUGGAAACCAAAACAUCAAUAGUCUCACAGAUUGUCUCGUAAGCGCGGUGUGCUGCCAGUAGGAUCACUGAAUAAUAAUACUCUCAGCCCAAUGCCUGCACCUAAGUCUCUGUGCCCGUAGCCAGAGAUAACUCCCUCCCGGCCCAAUGCCUAUCUCCGUGUCCCUCAGCCUUUCGCUAGGGAUUAUUUCUCCCGGCUUAACUGCUAACACCAUAUCCUCGCCCCAGGCGGCAUAGUGUCCAUUGGGUACGCACAAAUAGUUACGCCUCUCAAAAUAAUCACUUCAUAGUAUAAAGUCAUCCAUCGUCUAUACUAUAAAGAGGGGUUUCGAAAACAUGUUCUAGCAUCCUAUCGUAAUCCAUCGGAUAGUAUACCAGUUCAUGGUUUUUCUAGAAAAUACUAUAUAUUAAAAUAUAGCUCAAAAUAGGCCAACAAUUAAUUCCUCAUCAAAAACACGAGACGAAAAUCAACAUAUUCAAUAAUCAUGCUUAACAUAAAAUCAAAUCAUAAACUCGUAAGGCAUGCUAUUCAUUUAUGCAAUUGAACUAUAAAAUCAUGUAAUUUUAGAAGGGGUCCACUCACAGUACUUAGCUACCAAAAAUUGGGCCACUAGCGAAGAUGGAAAUGUCACAAUAAUUGCCCCUAAGCACAUAAAUAGCACAUUUAGUCAAACUCUACUCAAACGAUUUAAUUUGAGAAAACGGACAUUGGAAACGGAUUCAGGACGUCGAAAUUAGCCUAGAAAAGGUCUCGGACGAAAACUGAAAGUGAACCUGAAAGUCAAAGUUAAUGGUCAACUGUCAACGUUGACCAGGUCAAAGGUCAACGGGUCAGUCAAUUGGGUUAAACUAGGUCAACGGGUUUUGGGCUUGGAUUCGAAUUAGGGUUAGGUCCAAAAGCCCAAGAGUUUAGAGAUUGGGCUUAAAACCCUUAUCAGAAAAUGGCCCAAGGGGCCCUAUUUGAUUUAAAACAAAUUAAAUAAAAGAAAAUGGGUUUUGGGUUGGGCCAACUGCCAGAGGCUCUAAAGAACAUGGCCCGAAAGCCUUUUGAGCUUUUAAAUCAAUUAAAAUCAAAAUAAAAAGAGAACGGGUUGGGUUAUUGGAAUGGUUCACAACGGGCCUAAAGCCCGUGGGUUUUGAAAAUGGCAUGAAGGCCUGAUCUCGCCGAGAACGAACACCGUAGAACGGUCAGAGGUUCACAACGACUUCUACAGCUCCGACUGACUGAAAACGAGGGUCCUAGACUCCGAUCUAGGUACCAAACAAAAGCACAAGGUGAGAGGAGAAGUUUACUACCUUUGGUUCGCCGUAGAACGUUCGGAGGUGACCAGAAAAUCCUUCGACGCCCAGGGUUUCGCCGGAAUGGGUGUGCCUUCCCCGGAGUCGAUUUUGUUCUAAAACCUUGUAAUUUAACGAGAUAAACUUAAUAAAUCUCAUUUAAACUUCACACUAGAAUGAAAAAGAAAGGUAAAUCGAACUUACCUAACUAGAAAAUUGAAGGAAUCUCGCGGAGAGUUCCGAGAUUCGCUGCCCUCAUAGCCACGGGAAAGAGAGAGAGAGAGAGACGAGGUUUGAUGAUGAUGGGUUUCCUCAAGCGGGUAUGCAGUUGGGUGUGUGCGUGUGUGGUCAUGGGGAAGAGAUGAGCGAGAUGAGGGUUUCAAGAGAGAGGAAAGGGAGUGUGCAGAGAAAGAGAGAAGAAAUAAGGGGUUACGAGGUAGGAGACAUAGAGAGAACAUGAGGGUUGAUAGGGUGCUGCCACGUGGCAGCUCAAUUGGGUAAAGGAAUGUGGACUAAAUUGAUAAUUUCGUUUACAUUUUGGGGAACAACGAAAUUAUACAUAUAAUUGGGGGUUGGGGUGUUACAAUAGACCACCUUUUUCGAAUUCCGUCUCUCGACCUAUACCCUUCACAGUGAACACAACAACUUUUGGUUGGGCAGUGCUCUUUCCAUUUGAGACUUCGGCUUGCCUCUCAUGGCGAAGAACAAGUGAAUAAGCCUUGUUUACACUGGGCAAAGGCUCAAGAAGGAGAGUAUUGCUAUGAAUGAUAGAGUAAGAUUCGUUCAAACCCAUGCGAAACUUCAUCGUCUUUUGGGUUUCAAUGUAGGAGGCGAUCUCCUUCUUCGUGUCACAGCCACAAGUCGGGAUAGAAUAAAGCACGUCUCGUUCAUCCCAAGGGCUUUUCAGUUUGGUGAAAUACGAACUAACCGUCAUUGCCUUGUAUGCAAUCAUGAAUCUUGUUUACUAUGUGAAAUAAUUGGACAAUGUUCACAUGAGAAAACCUUUCUUGUAGGUCCAGCCACAUCUGUUAUGCAUCCUUGCACUGUAUGAUGCCUUAGAGAUUUCCUUUGACAUGGAACCGAGUAACCACGUUUUCACCAGGUUGUUGCAUCAAUUCCAUUGUUGUAAUUCUUCAAAGUGUUCUUCACUUGGCUUCUUGAUCCCUUCAUCAACAAACCCUAAUUUGUUUUUUACCGUCAAGGCCAUGGUCAAGGAUUGAGCCCAUGUACUGUAGUUAUCUUCCACAAGAGGCUGUGGCACAAGUAUUGCACCAGGUUGAUUCGAGUGAUGGAGGUUAAGUGGGUGAUUGGGAUUUUCCAACUUUUGAUGCGAAGUCAUGCCUGAAGAGGUUGACUUGUCUAAUUUGUCGCCUAUGGCUAUGUUUGCUAGGGUUUGUGUUUGUUUCUUUGCUUUUUAUUUUCCCAGAUAUCGUUCACUCUGGUACCAUCAUAAGAAGCAUAGAUUUGAGGAAUGAAUUUCCGUAUAUAUUCAUCAAACAAGAAUUACAGCUUUAUAUAAAGACUACCAUGAUACUAUCCUAUUCUAUUGCCUACAAAUAAGGCUAAAAUUAACAACUAGAUACUAUCCUAUUCUAUUGCCUACAAAUAAGGCUAAUUAAUAACUAAAUAGGAAAGUAAAUAUCAAUACAUGAUAUUGACUAAUUAAUCUGAGAUUCCUUUGUUAACAUUAAAAAAUAUAUAACAUGUGAAAAUUAUAAAAACGGAAAAGAAAAAAAAUGAAUUUUAACAAAAAGUUUUCGGUACUAUUUACUUUAAUGAAAAAACAUAUUUUUACAUUAAAAAAUCAAUCAUAAUACUAUUCACUUAUUUGAUCGUUAUCGUUAAAAUUCAAAAUUUUUAAACAUUUUCAUUAAUUUCAAAAAAAAAAAAAAAACCCUCAUCAAGUUGAGCAUCUCUCCUCUUCUCCGCCCCGCCCCCUCUCGCGCGCAACCUUUUCUGUUUCUCCACAAAAGCGUUCCCGCAGAGGCUUCGAGAAACCCUACCGAAGCUCUUUCUCUCUCGCAACCUUCUCCGUUUCUCCACACAAGCGUUCCCGCAGAGGCUUCGAGAAACCCUACCGUAGCUCUCUCUCUCUCCUCCCUCUCGCUCCUCGCGUCCUCAGACUCUCUGUAGAUCUCCUUCGAGGUACGGUACGCUCCCUAAAACCCUUUGCAUCGGAUCAGAUAUCUAUGUGAAAAUGUUGUUAGAUCUGAUGUAGAUUUUACUGUUUCCCGAUUUGGAUAUUUUACUCUGGGUUUAGCCUCCGUGGGGUUUUAAGUGUUGAACUGCCUCACUUUCUGCUUCGAUUCAAUUUUUUGCUUAAAUCUUUUGGGGUGUCUAUAUUUGGGUUUGAGCUAGAUUCGGUGAAUAUAUGAUUACAUUAGUUUGAGCAGAUUCUGGUAAUUUGAUAAUCAUGGGGUUUAUAGACUGCUUGGGUGAUUAGCGUUGGUUGGAAUUUGCAAUUAGGAUUGGUUAAUUUUAAUUUUUUUUUAAAACAUUAUUGUUUUGUAUGUUAUGUAACUUUAAUGGGGACAGAGGGGUUUUUAUCCAAGAUUUGCGGAGGUUUAAUUUGUGGUCUUAUUUUUCUGUUUCCUUUAGCUACUGUAUUAUUUAUUUCUGAUACUGUAAUCACCGUGAGGACGGUGAAGAUAUUCAUCGUCCGAUUUUUGGUUGUUUCUAUGAUUGAAUGGUAGUUUCCCUUGUGCUUUGUUUGAACUGGUGUUGUUUAUUUGGAAUUGAGUUUCAGUUGUUUAGUGUAUGUGGGUUCUUGCUUGAUUUGGAAUUUCAGUUUCAGUUGUUUAGUGAAUGUGGGUUCUUACUUGAUUUGGAAUUUUAGCUUCCGUUGUUUACUAAAUGUGGGUAUUAUUUAUUUUCCAGACAUAAAAUUCUGCAAGGAUGAGUGUGGUGGGGUUUGAUUUUGGCAAUGAGAGCGGCAUUGUGGCCGUAGCCAGGCAGAGGGGUAUUGACGUUGUGCUCAAUGAUGAGUCCAAACGUGAAACUCCGGCCCUUGUUUGUUUCGGUGAGAAGCAGCGGUUCAUUGGGACAGCUGGGGCUGCUUCCGCAUUGAUGAACCCCAAGAACACAAUUUCCCAGAUUAAACGCUUGAUUGGUAAGCAAUUCUCUGAUCCUGUGUUGCAGAGGGAUAUCAAGUCAUUGCCUUUUGCUGUUUCUGAAGGGCCUGAUGGAUAUCCAUUGAUUCAUGCCCGUUAUUUGGGAGAAGCAAAGACAUUUACACCUACCCAAGUUCUUGGAAUGCUGUUUUCUGAUCUGAAAAUCAUAGCUGAGAAGAAUCUCAAUGCAGCUGUUGUAGAUUGCUGUAUUGGGAUUCCAGUGUAUUUCACUGAUCUCCAAAGAAGAGCUGUUAUGGAUGCAGCAAAAAUUGCUGGAUUGAACCCUCUUCGCUUGUUCCAUGAAACUACAGCAACUGCUUUGGCUUAUGGUAUUUACAAGACGGAUUUACCAGAAAAUGACCAAUUGAAUGUUGCCUUUGUUGACAUUGGGCAUGCUAGCAUGCAAGUUUGCAUUGCUGGUUUUAAGAAAGGGCAGCUGAAAAUAUUGGCUCAUUCCUUUGACCAGUCUUUGGGAGGUAGGGACUUUGAUGAAGUACUGUUCCACCACUUUGCAGCAAAAUUCAAGGAAGAGUACAAAAUUGAUGUUUUACAGAAUGCAAGGGCUUGCCUUCGCCUUCGUACCACUUGUGAGAAGUUGAAGAAGAUGCUUAGUGCAAAUCCUGUGGUACCCUUGAAUAUAGAGUGUUUAAUGGAAGAGAAGGAUGUUAGGGGAAUUAUUAAGCGGGAUGAAUUUGAGCAGAUUAGUAUUCCUAUUUUGGAACGUGUGAAGGGACCUUUGGAGAAGGCCCUUCUUGAUGCACAGCUUUCAAUAGAGGACAUUCACACAGUUGAGGUUGUCGGUUCAGGCUCUCGUGUUCCUGCUAUAAUCAAGAUAUUGACAGAUUUCUUCAAAAAGGAGCCUAGGCGAACUAUGAAUGCAAGUGAGUGUGUUGCCAGGGGUUGUGCUUUGCAAUGUGCAAUUCUUAGUCCAACAUUCAAAGUUAGAGAGUUUCAGGUGAGUUUAACUCUUGCUUUGUCUGUGAAUUUGUUUCCAUUAGUUGAACCAAUCUAUAUAUUGUCUGACCUGCUGGCUUUUGCAAAAAUUAUGUUUUGUUAUUAACUAAUGCUAUCCCAUUUAAUAUGAAGGUUAAUGAGAGCUUCCCAUUUUCAAUUUCCUUGUCCUGGAAAGGUUCUGGUCCAGACGCUCAGAAUGGAGCAGCUGAGAACAACCAAAAUACCCUUGUUUUCCCCAAGGGAAAUCCUAUCCCAAGUAUCAAGGCCCUUACAUUUUACAGAUCAGGCACUUUUUCAGUUGAUGUGCAGUAUGCUGAUGUUAGUGAUUUGCAGGCACCUGCAAAAAUCAGCACAUAUACAGUGAGUGGCAGAAUGAAUAUUGGAUCUUAAACUUGUGCCCUCUAAUUUCUCUCAACGCUAUUAGGUCAUCUGCUGGAUAUUUCCUAACAUUCUACUACACUAUACAUGUGCAGAUUGGUCCUUUCCAGUCUGUUAAAAGUGAGCGAGCAAAACUAAAGGUCAAGGCUCGCCUAAAUCUGCAUGGGAUUGUGUCUGUAGAUUCAGCAACUGUAAGAUUGUUAAAAGCAUUUUGUGCUUCUAGAUGUCUUUGGUUGAUUAUCUUUCUAAUUCUAUUUGUUUUUCUUCACAUGCUGUAGCUUUUGGAAGAAGAAGAAAUUGAGGUUCCUGUCACAAAAGAGCAAACAAAGGAGGCUGCUAAGAUGGAGACAGAUGAGGCACCCAGUGAUGUGGCUCCCCCAAGUACCAAAGAGACUGAUGUGAGCAUGCAAGAUGCUAAGGACACUGCUGAUGCUCCAGGUGCUGAAAAUGUUGUUCCCGAGUCCGGGGAAAAGCCUGUGCAAAUGGAAACUGAUGCGAAGGUCAGUUUUCAUGAUUCAUGUGUUUUUUCCAUUUGUAAUUUUCCUGGACCGCAACAUUUGUUUUUUUUUUUGGGGGGGGGGCGGGGGGGGGCAAUAGUGUUUAGCUACUCAAUUUGAGUCAGCUAUAUGUGGGACUAAGGAAAUGAAUGACUUAUGCCUAACUUUCUACGCUUUGCUUUGAUAUAGUCCACUAGUGCUAAGCUUUUCCGUGAUCAUUCUUUUCAUGUUCAAUCACGUUAACAACAGGGAAGGGUUGUCAAAAGUCAUCAUAAUCUUUAACUUAUAUAAUCUACAUUUAAUGUCACCACAGAGAAGAUAAGGGAUGAUGGACUGUACCAAGUGUUGUUUAAAAAUUCAGUUUUGGAAUGGUCAAAUGUUAUCAGUGGUUUUAUUUGGUUCUAUUUGUGGGUUCUGUACUCUUAAUGUCUUGGUUUUUGCAAUGCAGGCUGAUGCUAAAAAGAUAAAGGUAAGGAAAACAAACAUUCCUGUGACAGAGUUAGUUUAUGGAGGGAUGCCACCAAAUGAAGUGCAGAAGGCAAUUGAGAAGGAGUUUGAAAUGGCCUUACAAGACCGUGUUAUGGAAGAAACAAAAGACAAGAAAAAUGCUGUAGAGGCAUACGUCUAUGACAUGAGAAACAAGGUAGUUUGCUUGUAUGUUCGUGACACAUUUUCCUUUUUAUUUUACCAUUUUUUUUUACUAAAUUUCUCUUUUGUAUUGCCAGCUCAAUGACAAGUAUCAUGAAUUUGUCACUGAAUCUGAGAGGGAAGCGUUUAUUGCUAGACUUCAGGAGGUGGAGGACUGGCUGUAUGAAGAUGGUGAAGACGAAACCAAAGGAGUUUACAUUGCCAAACUUGAGGAGCUGAAGAAGGUGAGGAUUUUCUUCUUUUAAUGUGUUUUGGUGCGAAGUUCUCUAUUUUCUCUUGUCCAACUUGAUGUCGUUGGUUUUGAUUCUUUUGAGCAUUGGUGAUUUUUUCAAAUUUCAGCAAGGUGACCCCAUUGAAGAGCGAGUCAAGGAGCAUGCGGAGAGGGGAACAGUGGUUGAUCAACUUGCUUACUGUGUCAAUAGUUACAGAGAAGCUGCAGCAUCAAAUGAUGCAAAAUUUGAACACAUUGAUCUGGCCGAUAAACAGAAGGUAAGGGACUCGAUGAGCUGUCUUCCCCUUCCCCAGUCUCCACCUUUUCAACUCACAAUAUUCUUUGUGUUGUUUAGGUAUUGAAUGAGUGUGUUGAAGCCGAGGCCUGGUUAAGAGAGAAAAAGCAGCUACAGGAUCUGCUCCCCAAAUAUGCCAACCCAGUACUCUUAUCAGCUGAUGUGAGACGGAAGGCUGAAGCAGUUGACAGGUACUAUUUCUUGCAUUGAUAAAUUUGUUUUCUUUGGUUAGUUGACGAACUGGUUGUCUUAGACAACAAGAACCUAUUGCUUAUUCAUAAAGUCUUUUGGAAGCCUUUGGGAUAUCUGACAGUGGUAACCUUUUCUUAUAUCCACUUUUGUUGACAGGUUCUGCAGACCGAUAAUGACGAAACCCAAACCAGCACCAGCCAAGCCAGCUGCUCCUGAAACUCCACCAACCCCACCUCCUCAGGGAAGUGAGCAACCUCAGGGGGGAGAUGCAAAUGCCAAUCCUGGCCCCACGGAGAAUCCUGCUGAUGGCAACAAUGAGGCCCCACAGGCUUCUACAGAACCAAUGGAAACCGACAAGCCAGAAGCUCCCCAAAGUUCUGCGUAGUUCUGUAGAGUAUCCGCCUUUCUAUGUUUCUUAUGGCGUUUCGGUUGUUCUUAUGGUCCGGAUUUGAUUCGUUAGCAUAAUACACUUCCAUUUUGAGCCUUAAAACACAGUUUGGACGGAGAGGGAGAAGCCCGUGGUGUGCUAAAUAGAUGAUAUACCUGUAGGUGUAAAGCCUUUUAUCUGCUUGUGGUCUGUCAGUUUUUAAUUAUUGGUACAAUCGGUCUCUAGAAUUCCGGAUUUUUUGAAGAGAAAUUUUACCCUCGGGGUCUCUUUCCCCCCUUAUGAUGGGAUGGAGACCGAUACGUUUUCAUUCUAAU
RNAcentral lists this long non-coding RNA (98195 nucleotides) under Malus domestica (apple). RNAcentral's name for it is "long non-coding RNA (MDOM_LNC008274)". The stretch from base 10159 to 10217 matches the Rfam family "tRNA", at positions 8 to 63 of the family's 71-position model. The record is from RNAcentral. Lineage: Eukaryota; Viridiplantae; Streptophyta; Magnoliopsida; Rosales; Rosaceae.